GAAGAAUUCCUCUUUUGUGCUAUUUGUGUGGCUUACUCGGGCAUAGUGACUCUAGAAGCUGAAAACUACUUGAUUCACCAGAGGAGGAGUUGGUAAGUGGAUGGUCGGAAGAAAUACGAGUUGAGGCCCAACGGAGUAAGUGGCAGUAGCCAAUGUAGUGGUAGCUUGAAUUUGGAAAGUGGGAGAAUCCUAGGGUAACAAAUUAGGAAAAUUUUCAAAAAUCAGUAAGGGAUGUGAGUAAAUCACGUAUACAUAAUGUAACACCCAUAUCCAACCCGAUCGCUGAGCCCGAGCUACAGUGUGUCACAUUCAUUUUUUGAGCAACUAUGAUCAAUUUGCAAAAAAUAUACAAUUUAAUGGUAAUAUCAAACAAAAAUACAUUCCUUAAACCUACCAAAGUAAAUUUAAGUUCCAUUUAUAUAUAUGCACCUAAUAAUGUAUAAUAAAUUAACCAUCAUAUAUCUCACAUAUUUAUUGGCUAUGAGAAUUAUAAUUUGCAUAUACUUUUAUACAUAUGCAUAUCAACCAUAUAUAUUACUACUAGAAUAAAAAAUACAACAUUUGAUUAUAACAUCAUUCAUCUACCACAAAACCUAACCAUGAAACCUAACCUAUUAGGUACAUGCCAAAUAUAAAUAAAAGUUGGAAACAACAAACAUUGCUAAGUUCAUUUGUAGCACCCCAAACUCGGUCGAGUAGGUUCGACUUGACUCUGGCAAGCUACAUUAGUCACCGAAGUGACUCUCUGUUAACUCCGAACCUAACCUCCAACAUACCACUUAAUAAUAGCAAAUAAUGUGUUAAGUUAAAACACACCAACGAAAAUAAUUCACACAUAGCGGAAAACAUGCAAGCUUAUAAAACCACAAGGGUAGGUUAGCAUGUCAUCUAUGAACAAGUUCAAGCUCGCACAUAUGGUAAAAAAAUAUAAUAAAAGUCCGCAUAACACAAAUAAUAUGAGUUCGUAGAAGAUUACAAGUUCACAAAUCAAUAUAGAUUCGCAAAUAACAACUUAAACUAGGUUCAUUCAUACAAGUUCACAAUACAGAUUAAAUCAUCAUUCAUUUAAAACUUAAGUUCACAUUACAACAAUUCACAUACUAAUAGGCUUCACAUAUAAGUAAUUAUACAUGCAAAAGGUUUCAUACUCUUACAGGGUUUGUAUAUAUGCAUGGGUUCGCUAAAUUAGGGAAACAUACAGGGAUCUCGAUUAUACAUGCAUGUAAUUUUUGAACUUGCAAACAUAUAGGGAUUGCAGGAAACGAUACUUAGUAAUAAAUUUGAAUCGCAUAUCUUAAUAGCAAAUCAACGUAACAUUCAUGCAUAAAAAACAUCGAUUUUAUUCAUGAUACGAGUCACAAAGACCCAACUCAAGCUCAAGAACGUGAUGGGCUCAAAUUACCACAAGGCCCAAUAACGAGGUCAAAGGCCAGGCAAAUGCGUAUGAAACUAAAUGGAAUCAUUCAAGACUUCAUUAGCAAGGCCUUAGAUGCGUAUACAAAGGAAAAAGAAAAUCAAGAUUCACUUUCUUGUUUUCAAGAAACCGAAUCUUGGUGCAAUCUUGUUGUUUUGAGCGAUUUCAAAAAUUAAGAAAAUCAAGAUUUCAAAUCUUGGAAAUCUUGGCCCAAGAAACCGAAUCUUGCAGCUAAGGCGCAUUGGAUCUCAGUUACGAGCAUCAACGAACCAAUUUCGGGAGAGAACGGAUUACAAGCCCAAAUGCUUGAAGAAACAGCCCAAUAAGAUGUUCCAAGCCCAAUCAAGAAAUUUAAAUUAAACUUAGUUGAAAAUCAGGCCAAUUUGUCAAAGUGGCCCAAUUUGUAAAAUUUUAUUUUUUUAAAUAUUUAGUUUAAUUUUUAGACUUUAUGAUUAAAUUCCUAUGUAAAAAAAUUCAGCCUAAGAAGCCCAUUAAAAGUCUUGGCCGAAUUUCCCUUGAAGUUAAUAAUUAGGUUUUUUUUUUAGUUUUCCUAAUAGGGUUAGGAAAAUAGAUAGAAGGCCUAUAAUAAGGCUUGGUCGGCCACCUUAUACACAAUUACAUUGAAUUAUACAUUGAAAUCAGAUUUUGUUGAGUGAAAAUUCUCUUUGAGUUUUCUCCAAGAAUUUUCUCUUGAGUUUUCUUUGGAAGUAGUUUUAACAAUCUUUUUAUUGUGGGAGCCAUCUUCAGCCUUCUUCUUGCCAUUGUCCUACAUUGGAGGGGAGAUUAGAGCCGUUUGAAGGGAGUUGUGAAAUCUUUCUCGAUUUCAAGGCUUCUUAGGACUUUUCUUUAUUUUUCUUGUUGUUUAUUCCUUUUUAAAUUUUUCUGCUUGUGCCGAUUUAUUGAUUAACUUGUUUUAAUCUCUUUUGUUACGUUUCCAGCCAUUACACUCUUCAAGAAUCUGAUCGGCACCUUUCUUGGCAGCAAGAAACAUUCAUUAGUCAUCCUUUUCAAUUGAUCUUGCCGUCCUAUCAUCCUAACUCCAAUUCAAUUCGUUUUGCUAGACUUUGAAUUUAAUUUGCUGUUUUUGGUGUUAUUCUUUUCAGAUUCGGCUGUUUGGAGUCUCUCUUGAAUUCAAUUUCGUGUUCUUGGCUUCCAAGAAUAGUUAUUCAUAAGUGUUUUUGAUUCUUGGCUGAUCCUUUAUUGUUUGGGUAUUUUCGUUUCAGAUCUAAUUGAUUCUAAGUUUAAUUUUCUAUUUCAUUUCAGAUCCAAGCGUUUAGCGUGUUCAUAGGAGUUUCCCGUGACUUGACAACUCGAUCUUGGUCCGUGCGCAACCCUUCUAUCAAUUCAUAACAAAAGAUAAUCUUGAUUUUAUUCAUAACAAAAGAUAAUAAAAAAUUCUAAGUUAUAGUUCGCAAAACAGAAUGACUAAAACUUUAAGGGAACUAUAUGGAUAAUAGAAUCAAACUAUAAUAAUUCUGAAGCCCUCAUAAAAUAAACCCUAUCGCCUAUAUUCCCAGGUUCGCCAAUAUCUAGUUAGGAGUGAGUCUCUCCAAGUCAUCUACCUCGCCACUGUUAUCCACUACCUACUUACCUGCGAAGUAAGAGAGGAGUGGAUGAGUUUAUUGAGAACUCAGUGAAUAAUUAGUAAUCAACUGGGUAUUUUUUUUAAAUUGAGCUUUUAAAAACAAAAAGAAAACUUAGUCAUAAGACCGUUUCAUGUGCUAGAUUCACGAGUGAGGUUACGAGAUCUAGUUCGUAGAUCUUAUCAGAAAAGAACAGUUGUAAAACAAUUUCGCAUGUGCUACUGAAAAUCAUAUUUAAAAACUUAGCUUGUGCUUUCUUGAAAACAAAACUAAUUCAGCAUGAAAUCAUGUUCACAUGCUUAUUUUAUUAGAAUGGCUGAGAAACAUAAAAUAUGUUCUCGCACUUAACAGACUUAUCAGAAUGGUUGAGGAACAUAAAAUAUGUUCAUGCCCACACUUAUCUUAAUCUCGUUGGAUAUGUGAAUCUCCUUAUAACGCCUCAGAAUGACUCAAAGAGUCCUUAUAACAUGUCUCAUUAAUGCAGCACGAGGCAAUACACUCUCCUGCAAACCAACAUGUCCUAGUGAAUAGAGCAUAGCUCGACAUUCCUUUAUCUCUCUACAUGUCUGAGGGCCUCAAUGCCCAAAAUCACAAAAACAGAGAAGUGAGUACUUACAGUCCUUUGGUAUACCAAUAUAUCUAACAUGGCUCACAAAGGAGCACGCAUGGAUUUUUAUCACAGAGAGCUCGCACGAGGAGUUUACUUAUCACAGAGAGCUUGCAUAAGGAGCUUGCUUGAAAACACUUGUAAAAAGCUUGCACAAAAGAUCGUAAAAACACAAUUUCUAAAAUUGUUUUAUAAAAUAUAAUUAAAAACAUCAACUCAUUUAAAAGCUUGCAUAAAACAUGUCUUUCAAAUAAAGAUUAAAAACAUGUUUUGAAAACAGUUUCAAAACUUAAAAACAGGGUUUUGUCGAAAACUUUCUUUUGGAAGUUAGUUUAAAAACAAAGUCUUGAAAACCAUCAUAGUUUGCAUACAAGAUUGAACCUUAAAUAUUCAUACUGAAAAUCAUGAUAGUUAACAUACUUAUGACGAUCCAGAUCACUCACCGAAAAUUGAGAAACUAAACAAGUUUGGCUUUGCCUUUAUCAUUGCUGAUGGAUAGUCCUACUGGUUCGCAAUAUAAACAAAUAUACAGAUUACUUAAAUAGACCAUAAUUAUAUAAUUCACAGACUCAAGCGAACCUAGCUUUCUGGACAAUCACAUAAUAGGAGAGAGACUUACCUUGGAUGCUACGAACUUGACUCAGAACAGAGAUUUAAUGGUAGAAUAUUCAAUAAGAUAAUUCUCAUGAAGUAAGGGUCGUAUUUAUAAACCUAAGUGUCUUAGAAAUCUUUAGGAUACCCUACUUGACUUAGAAAAGGUGUUACUUGCACAUAAAGUAUUCUUAGAUACACCAUAUAUUAUUUCCUAAUUUGAGUCUAACUCAAUCUUUGACUAGUGAACACUAGUUCGCCAAACACACUGGCGAACACCCGAUUCACAACUUACCUGGUGAACCCACUUGUAAUGAAUCUCUCGAGCCCCCUUACCACAUCUUUUGGCGUAUACUGUACACUAAAACACUGGUGAACUCUUUGCUAUUACUCUUUUGGCAAACACCCUAGUUCGCCGAAACAUUGGCGAACACUUACUUGCAAGGCCGAAAAUUCCAAGCUUGAUUUUGGGAUGUUACAUCGACUAUAGAUUGGAUGCUAAUUUCGAUGCUCGAUAAUCUCGAAUUAAAUCUAACCUGAGCAUGAAGAAAACAAACCAUACGUUGAGUAAAGCACUCAGUGGUAAUUCUAUAAUUUAAAAAUAUAAUAUUAGCAUUAACAAUUCUAUUCUAAUUAUAUAAUUAUAUCUAUAUGCACGUAUCUACCAUAUACUUAUAACUUGGAUUUGUCAAGAUUUACAUUUUCUAUAUAAACAUUUUAAACAUAUCAAUAUCAAAACAUACCCUUAUUAGUCCUAUCUCUGAUUUACCGCUUCUAAUAUCACUUAAUUCAAUCGUUCCAAUUAAUAUAUAAUCAUUUCCAAGUUUAAUUCGAGUUCAUAGAAGCUCAAAUACUAUAAACUAAUUAACUAUUGCAUCUAAUUAAAAAUCAUGUUCAAUUAUAAUUAACUCAUCAAGAUCACUAGCAUCUUAACGUAACAUACUAAUUUUUAAACCAUUUACAAUUCAUGACCAUUAGCCAUACUCAAAUACCAACAUAUUUAAGCCAAUGAGUAUAACCACAUAGUUAUAACCAAAAUGACUCAGUUAAGGUCCAUAUCAUCCUUAAAUCGAAACGGGAAUACAAGCGUUACCGAGUCAGGGAUCGCCCUCUAGAUGCAAAGAUCUAAAUAUUGUUAGCUCGAAAAUCUACAAAACCAUACAUUGAGUAAUUAUGCUCAGCGAUAAAUCUAUGAUUCAAACAAGUAAAUUAACAUAUGUAACAUGCAACAUACAACCAUCCCAUUCCUAAUUUAAUUUCAUACUAUUUGUGAUGCAUAUAUUCACUUCCCAUUGACAAGUAUAUAUAUAUUAAGUAACAUCCUAAAUCAUUUUAUUUGUAUUCGAGUCAACCAUGACCUAUCACAAUCAAUUCAUAUUAUUUAAUAAUUCAGUUCCAUUCAAAGCAUACAUUCAACAUAGAGCAGAAUUAGAUCUAGGUCUUACAUAACUUAUGGAAGAUCUAAAGUUGACCUGAGAUCAAAUUGGGACUAAGUUGGAAGGAACUCAAAAUUCAAGGUCGACGCCGUGACAUGAGGGAGUUCCUCGUCACGACAUGACUCGUUAUCUUGGUCUCGUUAUGGUGACAGGGUUCUUCGUCGUGUCGUGACCUAGAGUUCAAACUCGUCUCGACGACUUGAAAUCGACGUCGCAAUGUAAGCUUCUCGUCAUGACGACGCUUGAGCGAUGUCACUACAUCACUAACUUUUUCUGCAACAUCCACAUAUAUCUAAAAUUGCAAGUCAACAUAACACAAUACAUGACCUUACUUCUACUCUAUUCUUGACCAAAUGAACGGUACAUUUAAUAGAUAUAACACUUUCCACACAUUCCUAUUUCAUGUUUUUACUAUUGAUCCCAUUCAACAACUCCAAUAUUAGACCUUUCCUAUCAAUUAUACAAACAUAUGCCAAAACCAAUUCUCAUUUCAUAAGUAAUCCAUAUAUGUUAUCUUCCAAUUUCAAUUGCAUACCUCAAGCCCUAUCUAAGAUACAUAUAUGAAGUUAUAUGUACACUUUCUAAACAUUGUUCUCUUUCAACCAUCCAUCACAUACCAAUAUAACUAAUCAACCAACCACCUACUAGCAUGAUUCAUACCAAUCUAUAUUUCAAAAACUAUUUUAUAUGUUUUAUAUACAUUUCAACCAUUUCCAAACAUGUCAUUAAAAACAAAGUAUUAACCAUUCGAACUAUACUUGCAUAUUUUUUUAAUAUAUGUAUACAGUCAUUAACUUCCCAAAAUCAACAUUCUGAACAUAUCAAAAUAUAAUGAAAACUCUACUAGCUACAUGCUCUUUUAUAUACUAUCAUGAUUCAUGUCCAUCAUUUUCAAUUCAUCACCAAAUCAUCAAUUCAUCAUACCAUUUAACAUAAUUCAAACCAAUUCAAAGUCAAUUUAGCAUUUUCACCAAGUUACCAUAUUUUUAGUUCUAUUCAAUUUAAUCCUAUAUGUAACACCCUUAAACCCGUAUCCAUCUCUAGAAUAGGGUUACAGAGUAAUGCCAAAAUUUACGAAACAAUUUCAAUUAAUUUAUGUCAAUUACUGUUCAUAAUUGAAAUUAAUUAUACUACAUCAUACAACAAAAUUAGCAUUCUAAACCCACCUGUUGUCUGACAGUUUUGACCCUUCUUCACUAAGAAUUAAUUAUCUCCUCGUACGGGAUUUGGAUAAUUUUUUCAUUUGUUUCUAUUGAAAAUAGACUCAUUAUAUUUUAAACGUGUAAAUUUAAGCCCCUAAUUAUUUUUCUCCAAUUUUUGAUGAUUUUCCAAAGUCAGAAUAGGGGAACCCGAAAUCAUUCUGACCUUGUCUCACAAAAUUUAUUAUAUCUCAUGAUUUACAAUUCCACUGCUUACACCGUUUCUUCUAUGAGAAACUACACUCAAUAAUAUUUAGUUUCAUAUUUUAUUCAUCCUUUAAUUUUAUUCCCACGAUUUUUGGUGAUUUUUCAAAGUUAGACUACUGUUUCUGUCCAAAACUGUUUUAAUGCAAGAUAUUGAUUACUAAGUUUAUAACUUCCUUAUUCAUUUUCUCUAUAAUAUUUCUCUUCACUUUCUCUUAUUUAUCUUCACUAAUAUAUCAAGAACAUAAGACUUUAUUUAAGAAAACUCUACUAUAACAUCAUUUCCAUGCUUUUUCAAUAAUAUCAAACUUAAAAAUAUAUUGAAAUCUUGAUGUUCUUACCUUGUCCUAUUAGUUUCAACUUUUAACUUGAUUUUCUCUCUCCUCCAGCUUCUCUUUCUUGAAUCUAACUUGAUAUUCUAGCUCCCCAUAGUCUCCUUGUUAUCUUUCUCUCUUGAUGGAUAUGAAAAUUCUUUUAAUUUCUAAGUGAAAAUGGUGAAUUUUUGGUGGAAGGACCAAAUUAUAAAUAAAGCAAAACUUUCUUUCUUUCUCUCUUCUUCUCACGUUGGUGCAUGGGAAAAAUGGUGGGGAUGGUGAUUCUUCAUCUUCCUUUUCUUAUAUAUAUACAAAAUAAAAUAAUAAUAAAAUAAUAAAAUAUUAGUAAACUAAUAUUUAUUUAUUUAUUUAAUCUAAAAUAUCUCCAAUAUCAGUAUUAUCUUCUAGAUUUCUCUUUCUUCUAAUUGAUCAUUUUGCCUUUUAUGAUCUUUUAAAAUUUCAUCAUUGAGUCAUCAUUUAAUUUGAUAAAAUUAUGAUUUAGUCCCUCGUAAUUCUUUCGCUUAUUCAAUUUGGUCCUAAUUCAUUCAUUUUUCCUUAGUUUCUAGAUCAUUCCAUCCUUAAAAUAUUUGCACUAUUGGUCCUUCAAAUUUUCUAUAUUUACACUUUAACCCCUCAAAUUUUGAGUAUUUACUCUUGGGCAAUAAAACUUUUCUCUCUUUUGCGAUUUAAUCAUUUUUUGAAUUAAUAUGUCAUAAUAUACUUCCCAAUGUUGACAUAACUCAAAAUUACCAUUUUUAUCACUUUAUUUCCUUAUUUUACUAUAUCAGAGAUAUUAUCUUAUUUUCUUACUGUAGAAAUUUUCGGGGUAUUACCUAUAUAUUCAGUAACCAAUCAAAAUCAUAAUAAUUGAACUCAAUUCAUUAAACUCAUCUCACUUCCUAAUCUUACCAUGCAAUACAAAAUAGAAAUGAAACAACCGAAGUAAUUCAAAUUAUAGAAGUACAAACCAAAAGCUCGUGUCACUUAUCAUCGACUCUCGCCUUUCCUUUUCGUUUUAAUGAUCUUGCGUCAUUUUUAGCUAUGAAUAAUAAUUCAAUAAUGGUAUAAUAUCAAAUUCUAUCCAAAUCACAUUCAAUUACAAGAUCAAACAUAUUUUGCAAAUUAUUCGAUUUAAUCCUCUAUCUCAACAAUCCAUCAAAUUCAUAUCAAUACGAUUCAAUGAAUCAUAACCGAAUAUCAGUUCAUUAAAUAUCUCAGAUUAAAAUUCAUCAUAUUCAAUGUAUCAUCCAAUUUAUCAUUUCUUUGCGAUUUAGUCUAUAUCUCUCCUUUUUGUACCAAAUUGUAAACAAAUCAAAUUACUAUCAAAUAUACUCAAGUUCAUAAUUCAAAUAUAAUUUUUUUUAACAUAAUCAUACCAUAUUAACUUACCUGGUUAAAUCAGCAAACAAGUUGAAACUCUAAUAACUAUUCAACAAUUUUGCCUUUUCCCCGAUUAUUUUCGAUUUAGGCCAAUUUCCAAUCUAUACAAUUGUUCAAUUCAAUUUAUCACUUUCACAAAUCUUAUAACAAAAUAUUAUAUACAUGUAUCAGCUCAAUUUUAUUAUUUUCAUGCCCCUAAGGUUUUGCAAUUUAUUCAAUUUAAUCCCUAAAACCAAAAUUGCCAUAACUUUCAAAUUUGAGUUUCGAUUUCGAAACUGGUCUUAAUUACAUCCUUUCAAAACUCUCUAUUAUCAAUAAUUACAGAAAUAUUACACCAAUUUUAAAAUUUAUGCAUUUUAGUCCCUAUGUUCAAAAACUAGUAAUUAAACUUUACAAACUAGUCAUUUUCACUUCUAAUAUUUAAAUCUAUCAAUUUAAUACCUAAAACUUUUAAUUCUCAAGUAUAACAACUUUCAAAACUUUAACAGUUUAUCAAAUUGAGACAUGGGUUAGCUAGAUUAAACUCAUACGAUCUCAAAAAUAUAAAAAUUAUAAGGAAAGAACUAAAUUGCACUAAACAAUUUUGUGGUUGAAAUUUAAACCCUUUUAAGGCUGACGCCCUUUCUUCUUCUCCUUCCUACGGCUCGGAUGAAGAAAAGAAAAGAAAAUGCAUUUCUCUCUCUUUUCACUAAACCAAGUGUAGUUUUAAUGUUAUGUUUUUAUUUUAAUUAUUAUUAUUUUAUUAACAUUUAUAACAUAUAUACAUAAAACAAUCCACUUGCCGCCCACUAUGUUUCCAUUGUGGUAAUUACCACUUUGGUCCUAAAUCUAAGUUUUUAAUUAAGAAAUUUAUAGUAAUUGAACUUUUAUCAUUUUUACAGUGUAGUUCCUAUAUCUUAAUUAAUCACUAAUUCAAUAAAAUUACCAAUUUAAAAUUCAAUUCACCUACUACAUAAUUUCAUAAAUACUUACGGAUUUGGUUUAUGAUAUUGGGAUCCCGAAAUCGCGUUUGUUGACUUCAUUAACUUUUGAGUCGUUACACAUAAUCGGUGCAUUAUUCCCAAACAGUUGGUGUUUAAUGUGCAAAGUGGGGUAAUUCAAUUGGGCUUAGGUGAUCAUCGGGCAACAGCCAAUGGGCUGUUGACUGAUGGGCCGAUGUUGGGUAAGUAUGAUGGGUCGCUUUGGUUUUGUGGAGUAGGCUGAUGAAAACCUUGUAAUGGAGGUUGAGGAGCCAAAAUAACAACCUAGAGAUGAUUCUAAGAAACCUGACCCUAGCUCUUUGUUUUUCAGGAAAUGUAACUGAGAAUGUUGUUGUUUCAGGUAGCUCUAAUUUAGCCCACUCUACUGUAUCGGUUAGUCACUUAAAAGAGGCCCGCCGGAAGCCAUAAUUUGUAUUGCUUGGAACUGUUAGGGGUUAGGUAACCCUCCUGUAGUGCUUGUUCUUAAAGAGCUUGUCCGAUUGAAUAAACCCACAUUUUAUUUUUAUUUGAGACUCUUGUUCAUUCAAAAUUUUAAGAAUUACGUAUUGUUUUACAAUUUGAUUGCUUAUGUGUGGAUUGCCUUGGUCGUAGUGGUGAAUUUGCUAUUUUGUGGCAUUCUUCUGAUAAUGUUACUAUUUUCAGUGUUUCUCAAAUCACAUCAAUGCUCUUGUUGAAUUAGAUGAUGGUUUUAAAUAGGAAGUGAGCUACGUGGAACUUGCUUAGGCAUUUGGCUUCUCUUAAUUCUCUCCCCUCGAUGUGCUUCAGCGAUUUUAAUAAUCUUCUACUGGUAAAUGAAAAAAAGGGAGGGAUGGUCUAUCCCACUACUUGGUUUGAUGGUUGUCGUGACUUCAUUGCUGCCAGCAAUCUUUGGAGGUGCCCUUUAUAGAGAUUUUUUUUUAUAAAAAUAUCCUAAAAAUUUGAUUAAUUACGAAAGUAACUUAUUUUUCUGAUUAUAUACAUAAAUGAUUUGAAAUCUAUAGUAAAAAUUGGUGGAGCCAAAGAGUUUGAUGCCACCAACAUGCCAUGUCAACAAACGCAAUAAAAAAUAAAUUUUUUUGGUGGAGCUAUAUUGCUAUUUUUGAAAAAUGGAGAGGUGCUUUAAAAAAAUUCUUUUUUGGUGGGGUCAAAGAGUUUGGCGUCACCACUUUUGUAUGUGUAGUGUCAUUUUUUUUUAAUUUUAAAACUAUAAAAAAUGUUUUCUUAUUGGUGGAGUCAUUCUAAAUGGCACCACUAGCUCCACUACUUUAUUACCAAAGUUUUUUUUAAUGUGUUUUUUUAAUUGAAUUUUUUUUAAAAAUAAUACUUUAUUUGGUGGAGUCAUUCUUUUUGGUGUGACCAAUUUGGUAUAUAUAACCCCCAACGGCAUAUCAAUCUGAGUUGAAGAAAUAAAAUAAUUUACUUAUAUUUUGUUACAGGAUGAAUGAGAGAGAGAUGAUGAGUGUUUUUGUGUUUUUGUUUAUUUAGUAAAUUUUUUAAUUUGAAGGUAUGUUUUGUUUAACGAUAAUCCGGUGGAACUCCGACACCGGUAAAUUUAAUGGUUAUUUUUGGAUGCCUGUUUUUUAUUUGGUAACGGUGCAAAUUGGUUAUGCAGUCAACAGGUGGAUUAUUCGGGAUUCCCUAGGUUAAUGGUAUGCUUGAAGAUUUUAAGGAAUCCUAAAUUGAACCGCACAGGUCAGAUCAUCAAGAUCGGCAGCAUUCGGGCUACAAUUUAAUAGAACCAAGAAAGUCGCUCUUAUUGUAACAAUUUAUUUUUGAAUUUGUAAGACACAAUGAUGUCGAUCUUGAACAAAAUUAUUUAAUUAUUUUUUUUUGUAAGACACAGUAUUUUGUAAAAAAUAAUUUUCAUGUAAAUCAUUUAUGUAAUGUGAAAUCAAUAAAAAUCAAGGGGACAUUUUUAAUAGAAAUCAAGAAAUAGAAGACCAAAAAAUAAAGGAAGUUUAGAAAAAAAUGAGAAAAAAAAGAAAGUGGGGGAUUGAAUUGACUGGAAAAGAAAUUAGAAAUGAUUUAUUUGUAAAAAAAAAUAACCUAGAGAAUUUUUAAGAGAAAUAAAAAAUGAAAAGGUUAAAAAAUAAAUAUACUGAUCAGUCACAUUGCUAACGUGAUGUGAUCAGUCAUGGUCAAUUUAAUAAUUAAUGGAUUAAAAAAAUAGAAGGGGAGAAUAGAAGAGACGACCAGUCAUUUAAAAAGAAAGGCGGGGCUUUGGUCCUCCCUUAAAAUUUUGUAGAAGAAGAGGAAAAAGAGAAGAGAAGAGAAAAAAAAAAGAGUUAUAUUGUUUUUGAAGCUCAUAAAUACAAGCAAGGUAUAUAUAGCAAUUUUGAUGUUCAUAUAUUAUAUUUAAAAUAGUUAUUGUAAUGUAAUAAUUAAUUAUAUUUAAUAUAUAUAUUACAAUUAUGCAGAUAUCAGAAUGUCUUCUCGAGUAAACACAGAUCACACUUCAUCGAGGAUCAACAAAAUAGUAAAAUUAUUUAUAAAUUAAAUAAAAAAUCAUUUUGGUUUCUUAGUUUUUCUUGCUCAGUGCUAUUUUUCUCUACGUGUUUUGGUUGCAUGAAAUUGAUCUCUAUUCGGUUGUUUUUAGCCCUUUUUUGCAUGUAUUUAUCUGUAAAUCAGUAUAUAUAUAUGUUGAGUUAUUCUUUUGUUUGCGAGCCUCACUGUAACAACCCGAUUCUGGGCCUAGUCGGAACAGUGGUUUCGGGACCACAAAUCUGACUAGGGAAAAUAUUAUUAUUAUUAUAUUUUUAUGAUCUAAAAUUUCACGGAAAAAAAUUUUAAAAAUUUCGUUCGAAAAUUUCGACAUUUGGGCACUCAAUUUAGUCAAAAGGACUAAAUUGUAAAAAGUGCAAAAGUUGAGUUCUACAUGUUAGAAGUGUCUAAUUGUUAUGAAAUUAUAAAUUGAUGGUCCUUAUGUGGUAAUUAGACCAUUAUAUAAUUUAUGGACAAAAAUAGACAUAAGAAAUGGGUGAAAUAGAUUUUUUUUAAAUGGGGGCAUUUUAGUCAUUUAGUAAUAAAAAAGAAUUAAAAAGGGAAAAAGAUGGCAAAAUGUGCUCAUCUUCUCCAUGAUGAACGAAAUCAGCAAGGGGGAAGCCAUAGUUAGGGUUUUUAAGCUUCCAAGCUCAAUAGUAAGUGAUUCCAAGCCCCGUUUUUAAUGUUCUUUACGUUUUUGGAGUCCUGGUAGCUUAAUUUAGCUUAUUCUAGCAAUAAUUUAACCUAGGGUUUAUAUUUGGAAAAAUACCCAUAGGUGAAAAGUGUUUAUUUUGCUGUUUUAUGGUGGAAUAUGAAGCAAGAAAUUAUGUUAAACAACUUUUGCUAAGCGAUUUUAAAUGAAAACGGGUAAAUUGACAUAAUCGGUAAAAAUAGUAAAUGUUCAAAAGCAUGUAUUAGAGUGAGAAUUUGAUGUUUCCAUAGAAGGGAAAAGUGUUCAGCACGUUGUAAAACAUGAGAAUAAGAGAUGAAAUUUAAUUUCUGAGCUUAGGGACAAAAGUGUAAAUAUUCAAAAGUUUGGGGGCAAAAUUGUAAUUUUUCAAAAAUUUGGGUGGAGGACUAUUUUAUUAAAUUUGAACAUUAAAUGAGUUAAAUUUGCUAUUAUAGAUCAAGAAAGAUGAGAAGACUACCUCAAACGGGGAAAAGAGAAGAUAGUGGAGUAAAUUGCAAAAUUACGAUAUUUUGCACCAAGGUAAGUAAACAUGUGAAAUAAUGCAUAUUUUUUAUAUUAUUUGAUAUAUGUUGAGAUUUAUUUGAACAUAGAAUAAAUAUUUGGCAAAUAUUCUAAAAGUGUGGUUAAGUUGGGAAAGGUGGUAAAGUGUUGAAAAACACAGUUUCCGGUUGAACACUCGGAAUAGGCUGGAUUACAUUGAAUAUAAAGGGGGUUGCUAAGUGCUGAUUCCCCCAAGGGGUUGCUAAGUGUUGAUUCCCCGAUUCAUUGGUGGUUGCUAAGUGCUUAUUCCACCGUAUCUUAAAUGUGAAAGGGGUUGCUAAGUGCUGAUUCCCCGACUCAUUGGUGGUUGCUAAGUGCUGAUUCCACCGUAUCUUAAAUGUGAAGGGGGUUGCUAAGUGCUGAUUCCCCCGAGGGGUUCCUAAGUGCUGAUUCCCCGAAUCAUUGGUGGUUGCUAAGUGCUGAUCCCACCGUAUCUUAAAUGUGAAAGGGGUUGCUAAGUGCUGAUUCCCCAACUCAUUGGUAGUUGCUAAGUGCAGAAUCCACCGAUAAAGGAUAACAUUCCGAAUGUUCAACGAGGAAAUUGGAAAGGUGAAUAUUUAUAUAUGGUGGGCAAGUUUAUGGGAGAAAUAUUGGGUUUGAUACUUAAUCAACCCAUAUGUAAGAUGGGAGGAAAUAUCAAAAAUACAAAAGAACAAUUUAAAUACAAAACUAUUUUGAAUAAUAACAGAUGGGCAAAUUUGAAAAAUCACCAUAAAUGGUGGAAAAUGAAUUAGAGGUUGAAUAAUAUAUGAAAUUGAAGCUGGAUGAGUUUAUUUUCAUAUGAAAGAAAUAGAGCAAGCAAAAGAGUUGUAUGUUUGGGGAUAUUUGAAUUUUAUUGAGACAGGGUUGAAUUGAUUUAGAAAUCCCUUGUUCCAAAUUUGAAAAAUCACCAUAAAUUGUAAAAAAAUAAUUAUGGCCUGAAAUUUAUAUUUUUGGAUUCCUUAAUUAGUCUAUUUUUAAUAUAAACAAACGAGAACAUUGUUUGAAUUCUAUACAGCGAGUUAAGUAAAUUUUAGUAAGGAGAGGUCAGAACUGUUGAGUAGUAAAACAGGGGAAUCUUUAGAGAAUAAACUGUACUAAUUGGCCAAAUCAAAAAUUCUGAAAAUUUUAUGGUGGAAAUUUAUAUGAAUCUAGUUUCGGGAAAAAUUUACAGAACUUAAUUUGGAGCGAUGUAGCUCCAGAUAAAAAUAAAUUAGUGACCAUGACGCAGAAAAACAGCUUGCUGGAAAUUGAACAAACAAUGAAAUUUAUGUGUGAUUAAAAUUAUGUGAGGAAUUUAUUUAUUGGUCAUAUGUUUACUUACUAAGCUAUAUUCUUACUCAUUUUUAUUUUCCCUUGAUUAUAGUGACAUCAAUCAGCUCGGAACUUGGACGACGUCAGAUAAUCAUCCACACUAUCAUCAACUUUUUGGGUAUUUUGCAAUUAAUACUUUGGAAACAUGGCAUGUAUAGAUGACUUUAUGUAAUUUGGUAUAAAUAUGUUUAUAUUCGGUAUUGUUCGGUUUAAUAUGUUGGUGUUUAUUAAUGGAUAAAUUAUGUCUGAACAUAUAACUGUAAUUGGUUGGAAAUAUUGAAGUUGUUUGAAAUUGUCUUUGAAAAUUUGCAAGGGGUUUUAUGUAAAAAUAAGCAGAAAUGCUGCCGAAAUUUUUAUAAAAAAAAAAUAUAAGUGUUGAGUUCUAGUAAUAUCUCAUACUCUGUUCCUGCAAGGAACACGGGUAAGGGGUGUUACACUUACCACGGUAUAUACAUAUGCAUUUCAUCUAAUAUUAUAUAUUGUUGAGUUAUUCUUUUGUUUCUGCACUUAUUGUUAAAAUUGAGUGACCCGAAUCCUUGUUAAAGUAAAACACAGUGGUAAAAUAAAAUAAAAGUAAAAUCCAUAUAGAAUUACACUUCUUUUAUUUUAUUUUAGAAUAAGGUUUUUCAACCUUAUUACACUUCAUCUAUUUGAUAUUAAUUAGAAUAAGGUAUUUCAACCUUAUUACACUUCUUCUAUUAGAAUAUGGUUUUACAAGCAUAUAAAUAGACAUGUCUACUUCUUUUGUAAUUAUUUGACUUCGACAUAGUGAAUUAUCUUCUUCUCUACCCGUGGUUUUUUUCCCGAAAAGGUUUCCACUUAAAAAUAUGUGUGUUCUUUAUUUUUCUUUAUCUUUUCUUUGCGAUACAUUGUCAUUAACGACAUUCUAUUUUUCACACUUAUCACUAAAUAAUAGGAUGAAACUUAGAAUUUUUGAAGGAUUUAAAUUUGUGUAUUUACUAAAUUUGAAAUACUAUGUUGAAAUGGAUAAAAUGUAAAUAUUAUUUUACUUAGAAAAUAGAUGCUAAUAUGCAAAUCUAAUUUAAAAUAUUAUAAUAUUGAAAAUUUUUAUUGGAUACAAAUAAAAUUUAAUAGCUUAUAUUACAUUUUAAGGGAAUGCGGAACAUAUAAGUUAUCACUAGAUUAGCUUAUAUUAGUUUAUAGCAACGCUUAAAACAAGUUUUAUUUUUUUUUCCUUUUAAUAACAUUUCAUUAAUCAUUUUCUUCUAGCAGGGAUGGUAUAAAUCUUAAACUAAUCAUAUAUAUAUAAUACAAUAAGACAUUAAAAUUGUGACACGUGGUGUAAUUAUAUUUUUAUUUAAUUUAAUUUAAAUAAAAAUUACUCAUUUAAUUUAACUUAAAUAAAAAUUUAUUUAAUUAUAUAUUAUCUGUAAUUAAUUUUUAAAUUUAUUUUAUGCUAAAAAAUAAAAUAUAUAAUUUCUUUAAUUUUUUUCUGGGAUCUUAUUUGAAUUAUUUAUUUUUUAUUAGCAAAAUUUAAUUUCUUUAAUGAGUUAAACAAAUAGAUAUAUAGUACAGAGUAGGUACGAAGAAGAAAAUAGAUUGGAGAAUUAUUUGAAAACAUUGACAAUUUUAUGUUUAAAUUAUAUAGAUACUUGGUUUAUCAUAUUUUUAUAAAAAAAAAUUACCAUACAGGAUGGGUACCAAGUUUUGAGGUCACGGUUUCAUUUUCCCAAGUACGAUCCGGAUAAGUAGGUCAUGCCAUACUUACAGUUUGCGAGAUUUGAGGACGUCACAUUGAUCCGAAGGUUCGACCUAAGGGCAAACCUAAUAUCCACCUUGGUUAAGCGGUGGUGGCCGGAGACCCACACCUUCAUUAUAUCAUACGGGGAGUGCACGAUCACAUUGGAGGACGUCGCUAUGCAACUUGGGUUACGAGUUGACGGUGAUGUGGUCAUGGGCCGAAUCAAAGUGUUGGAAUCUUAAGUAGUUUGCCACAGAUUGCUUGGACGGUCCCCUGGUGAUGGCGAACAGAACUUCACGUGCCUGACAUUGGCAUGGUUGAGAGCAAAUUUCAAGGAGUUAUUAAGCACUACUACUGAGCAUAAGGUGAUGUGCGCUGCUCGAGCCUAUAAUAUGCAACUGAUCUGGGGUACUUAUGCCGAACAACACAUCUAAUAGGGUCCACUUAGAGUACUUGCCUCUAUUGGAGGAUUUAAAUUGUGCUGGUACUUACAGCUGGGGAUCAACAGUGUUGGCUAUAUUGUACCGUGAGCUUUGUCGAGCAACAAAACACGGGGUAAGCAACAUGGCCAGUGUGUAAGGCUACUGCAAUCUUGAGUUUUGUACAAGAUUCCGUUUCUAGUGAUAGUUAGGCACCAACCAUAUACGUGGUCACUUGUAAAUAGGUAAAGACAAAAUUAUAUUUAACAAUUAACGACUCAUAAGUGUGGAUAAUAUUUUCCCAAGUUUAAGUGCUAACAUGUUUGUUUUGGUUUCAGAUGGGCAACAUAUUUGGAAAUUGGCGCAAGCAAUACAUUAAUCAUUUACCGCUAGAUGAUAGAGGCGUCCGCUGGAGAGAAAGUAAUAUACAUUGGUUUAACUUAUCCACUUGCAGUAUGUGACUUAACCCAUUCUGUUAUAUUGUGCAAUUCCUGUAGAUAUCGUAUUCCACACCAAACGUUGCGACCCUUAUUCCACAGUGGGUUCACGCCGAAGCCCAUGUGUGGUACAUUAACACGUCGAUGCUAUACUUUUCAACCAUUGAGUGGUACAAUGUCGAUCGAGUUAUGUGAUAGUUUGGGUGUAGAUAAUUUGUGCUGGUCGAUCCAUAACAAUUUACUGAUGUCCAUGGUAAUACUAUGAGGGGAAAUGACAAAGCGGAUUGGACUGUGGACUAUCAGCGUUAUAUAGCACUAUGGAAUGCCCGGUACGAUAGGCAGCCUGAGAUGCACUCCUGCAUGUUUGACUUCAGUCCCUCAAUUGAAUACAUGAAAUGGUACAUGGCCUGAUGGCAUAUUUAUUUAUAUGGUGGACAACUUAUGAUAGUACCGAAUCGCGACUACAAAUGUGGAAGUCACACUAUGGAGGAGUCCGACCCAGAGGACCAACAUAUGAUGGACCCCGACCCAAAUGACCAACCUCUAAACACACACACUUCACCUAGAAGACCGAUGUACUCUGUCACUUAGAAAUUUUCCAAGUUCUAGGAAUAUAGUUCUGCAUUCAUUGACCUUGCUCUCUGAGUGUUCUCUUUCAUGACAUUCUUGACACCUUCGACAUGCACGUGUCUUGCCUCCAACUGCUUUGCUUAUCUCAACCCUAUUUUUGGCAUCAAGGUUGCCAGCCUGUAAAACGUAGCUGAAAAAAUUGAUGAAAUUGGCAAGUGACGCGUAUGCCUUAAGAUGGAAUUAACGGCCUCAAAGAGGUUGGUCGUCCUAUGACCAUAUCGAUACCCAUCAUCAAAACAUUUAGCCCAUUUUCACGGCUCCAUUCUACCCCACUAUUGCUUGAGAAAAGGAUCGAACCCUGCCAUAUCAGUCUCCAACAUUGCCAGCUUAUGUCUGAAUUGAUGUGGUUCCAACUCGUACCCUAUGUAUGUAUUUUGAUAAAACACGUUACCAUCCAUUUUAGUAAAUGGAUUUGAAAUAUUUACAUAUACAAAUUUAAAUACGAUAUUUUUACCCGUGUUCACGAUUUGUUUGCGCUGGUCUUUGUUCUUAUAAUCAUUGUGGAAGUUGACAACGAUGUGGCGAAUGCAGUAGAUGGACCUCCAUGGAACUCGCAUUGCUGAAUUGUAGCAACAAGACCCUUCGAUCUGUCGAAGACAAUGCAAAUGUUGUUUUGUCUGACAACAUGCCUUCACAAGUUCCUAAUGAAAAAUUCUCAUGAUUUGGAAUUCUUUGACUCCACAAUGGACAAAACAAUCGGUAGUACAUUUCGCUUACCGUCUUGCGCAACUACAAUUAGAAGUAUCUGUGUGUAUUUUCCAUAAAGACACGUUCCAUCAAUCUGCACAAGUGGUUUGCAGUGGGAGAAGGCCCUAACACAUGGAUCGAAAGUCUAGAACAAUCGGUGAAAAACUCUCUCCCCAAUUCAAGUAGUUCAUUUAGGCAUCUGUAAGGCAACGUUUGCAAGCCCAUAACAGUUCUUAGGACGUACUACACCAUCAUUGAAAUCCACCUCUGAAGUUUAUUGUAUGACUCAUCCUAAUUGCCGUACAAUUGCUGCAUGACCAUUAAUUUCGCUUACCAUGCUUUCCUGUACUACACUUUGUACUGCAAUCAAAUGUCGACACAAGAAUGGUUAUGCUUUCUUUCACUAGUGGCAUGAUGCAGAUACUUUUGGUAUCUAAUUUCCAGUGGACUUAAGUCAUACGUGCGACAGUGCAUGUAUGACAUCCUUCUAAUUUUCGUAUUUUCCAUUGUUGAGUCAUCUGUAUAAAUGCAGCCUGAACUCGCCAGCUACACCUAUCGCUAGCUCUCCAACAUUCCCCAACAUAUAAUGUCAAAGUAGACUUAGUGACCUUGUAAUUAAUCGACACUUCAUGCUAUACUGUUUGAUGGAAAACACACAAUCUACCUUGUUCUUGAAUCGUUGCCCAAUGAACAAUUCUUUCAACUAGAAAUUUGAUGUCAAUCUGUGAGCAGUGACUAUAUUGACAUACUCAAGAAACUCAGAUGCAUGCGUUGCAUCUGUAUCUACACUCAACAUGUCACCCCAAUGUCAUUUCAUAAAACAAUGCCACGACUCGGGUUACUGAAAAAAGGGGCGUGAGCAUCUUCAACCUCCUCUAGGCCUUCAUCGUUGAUAUGUUUGGAACCUCAUCAAUAUCAGUGUCACUAAAAUAUUCAACAUCCUGAUCAGAAUCUUCACCAUUAUUGGUCCCUUCUCUAACGUCUACCUCAAUACCUAUCACCUCCGGAUGUAACUGUAGACAGGGACCAAUGGUAGGGUUGUUAUACAAACUCCCACCAUAAUUUAGAUUUUCAGGCAUUUGCAAUGUCCCUUCGUAGUCUAACUAAUCUAUCCAUCCGACAUUAAGAUCAAAGUCAAAUAUGCGAUGUUGACUUAUUGGACUAACAAUUUCAACGGGCUCUAAGUCCGCUAACUCAGCAAAUAACUCAACCUGUUGGAGGUUUUCACUCCCAGUCAACCACCAUAUUUCCAUCAUAGUGCCCAAGUCAUCAUCAUCUAAUAGUUGCAUCUCACAAAAUUUCAAUGGAUCUAUAGAGAUUGGAAACUUGUAAAAUAAUUUGGACAUUGCCCUUCCACAACAUAUAACUAUUUUCGCACUGAUCUUCAUUUUCAUUUCUUCCAGCUUCACAGUUUUAUUGAAUCGCAACCCUACUCUCUGUCGACUUUGAAAUACACAACCAACAUCACAUUCACCAAAAACACCGAGUUAUUCAUCUUUACCAGAAUUUUUGAGCUCUCCUACUAAACACAACAAAUUCUUUUUCUUCUCUUCCAGUUCAACUAUUACAAAAAAACCUCAACAAUAUCUAUAUAUGUAGGACAACCAAGGUGGUUGAGCCAUAAAGAAUGGUUCCACCAAAAUAAAAUAUCAUUUUUAAAAUUUGUAGAUUGAAAAAACAAUACAUUAAAAAAACCAUAUAGUACACUAGUGGCGCCAUUCUAUAUGGCUAACCAAAUAAAAUAUUAUUUCUUUAAAAAUUUAAAAUAAAAAAUAACACAUUUAAAAAUAUAUUAUACAUAGUAUACUGGUGGCGCCAUUCUAUAUGGCUCUACCAAAUAAAAUAUAUUUUUUAAAAAUUUUAAAUUAAAAAAAACACAUUUAAAAAAACCCUAAUAAUAGAAUGGUGACGCCAUUUAGAAUGACUCCACCAAUAAGAAAACAUUUUUUUAUACUUUUAAAAUUAAAAAAAAAAUGACACUAACACAUACAAAAAUGGUGGUGCCAAAGUCUAUGGCUCCACCAAAAAAGGAUUAUUUUUUAAAGCCCCCAAUUUUUCAGAAAUAGUAAUAUUUCUCUAGUAUUUAUACAUGUGGCGUUAUUCUACACGACUCCACCAAAAAAAUGAAUUUUUUUAUUUAGUUUGCUGACGUGGCAAACUCUUUGGCUCCACCAAUUUUUAUUGUAAAUUUCGAGUCAUUUACAUGUAUAAUUAGAAAAAUGAGUCAUUUUUAUAAUUAAUUAAAAUUUUAAGGCCAUUUGUGUAAAAAAAACCCUGUUUUUAUUUGGGAAUGUGGUAGAAGGUCUAGUUUUUUGGUAAGGAACGUCUCGAUAGGGCCUUCGUGAAUAUAGGUUGGACUCGACGUUUCCCAUAUCACAAACUCUAUAAUCUUACAAGUGCUACUUGGAUCAUUAUUGGUGAUAAGUGGUUUAAAUUAAUUUAUUUAAGGAUUUUACAUAAAAAUAUUAAAAGAUAAAAAAAAUGUUAUUAUAAUAAUAUUUGUUAUUCUAAAAUGUCACUUACCAUCAUAGCUAGUGUCAAAGAUCCUAUUAACUAACUUCCAAAAUAAGAAUAUUGUUGGUUAGGGUCUACAAACAAUCUUCUUAAAGCUGCCCUUCAGACCUUAACAGGAGGAUAAUUCUCUCCACUCGACCUCUCUCUUUAUGACUCUCCAAAAUCAUUUUUGAUCACCCAUUCUUAAACCGCGUAUCAACUGUGAUAUAAUACAAACCUAACUUAUCAAUCAAACACAAAAACAUAUUAUCAAUAUUGUCUACCAAAUUUAAAACUAGAUACUAAAAUUUAUUUCAUAAUAAAUAUGUCAUCCACGUGAUAUAAUUUAAUGCUGACAUGUCAUCCACGUGCCAAUCCAAGUGCAUGCUACGUCAGCAAAGUUACAAAUAUUAAUUUUCAAUCUAUUUUGAGGUGACUUGAUAAAAGAAAUACAAAUUUAGAGGUUAGAACAGGGGCGUAGCUAGGGGCUGGCAGAGGCGUUGACCCCCUAAAAUGGAAAAUUUUCUACUUAGGCUCUUUAAAAUUUUAAAAUUUUUAUUUAAAUUAAUAAUGGUAAAAUUAUACUUUGGUCCCCUAAAAAUGAUAAAAAUUUGAUUUAAUCCUUUAAAAAUUAUUAAAAUAUAAACUAUUAAAAUAAUAAAAUUGUAUUUUCAUUGUCAUAAAAAUUAUAAUUUAAUUUCUCCUCUCUAAAAAUUUUCUAGCUUAUUCUCAUAUUAGAAAGGGUGAAAAGUUAAAUAAAAGGAUAAAAAGGAUAAAAUAACUUCUUCUUCUUUUUUGGCAAUGUUAAAGGAUGAUUAUGUGAAUUAAAAAAAUAUUACACCGAUAUAAAAAUUUAAUUCUCAAAUAUUCUAAAUUUUAAUUACUAUCUUAUUUAUGUUGUUUCCUAUGAAGUUCAAAAUUAUGGGGUAUAGGUCGUUUUCACGUCAUAAAUCUUAAGCAAGAAGUUGGCAGCAAUCCCCGUAAUGUAUUCAAGAUUCAAGGACGUGGUCCAUACAAGAAUCAAAAGUGAAUCAGAGCCACCAAUUCCCAAUCAUAUAAAAAUCAGGCCAGGACCUUAAAUUCAGUUUCUACCGUUGAUUUAUGUUGAAUCACCCGAUAUUAUGGACCCUAUGUGUCUUAAACCAACAGAAUGUGACAUUAUCUGCCGUCCUACCGCCCCUCAAAACCAUCCACCUGUCCCCCUGCCUGCCCCUUGCGUGGACGUCUAAGUAGCCUUACAAACAAAACACUAAAUCAUUUUAUCCUAUGUCUUAAGCCGAAAGGAUCGGACACGUAAACGUUCCCUUCUAAACACAUGCCUCUAUCUCAUUCGCUAACAUAUUUUUUAGUCCCUCACUCCAAAAGAACGCGUUCACGACACUUAUUUAAUCUAACCGUCCAUUCUCAUGUGAGUCCAGCAAUCGUAGCCGUUACCUCGUGGAUCGCCCCUCCUCUCGCCACGUAGGGAAAAGGACACGAGUUUUUAGAAUUAAUCAUUUUAAAUUUCGUUUCUAUAAAUAGGCUAUUUUACCAAAGUGACCUAAAAAAAAUUAAUAUUUACAAAAAUGACCUAGGUUAAAAAACAAUCACCAAAAUGACCUGAAAUGAAAAGUAGAAUGGGGUUUUGGCUUGUCAAUGGCCACCACCAACUCGUAUUUUGGACUCAUGAUUGCUUGAUAAUUGUGUCAGGCUUUAAAAAAUUAAUUUUUUUGGUUUUGGCCUGCCAAUGGCCACCACCAACUCGUAUUUUAUUUUAAAAUCGUAUUUUGUUUGUAUUUAUUUCAAAAAUUACUUUUCAAAUUUGUUGUUAUUUUUAAAACGAUGAUUUCAAAUUAAAUAUGCAGCUCAUGAGUUAGAACCACGAAGAUUCAGGCAGAGGUUCGCGAGGCUUGAAUCUCAGAUGUCAUCUUUACCAACAGAUCUCCGGACAUGGUUGGGUAGCAUGGAGAACUAGCAAUGGACUCAAAGUUACGAUAAGGGGUUUCGGUAUGGGUAGAUGACGACCAACCUGGUAGAGGCGGUCAACUCUGUAUUGAGGCACACACGCCAUCUCCCGGUUUCUGCUGUGUUCUCAGCAACAUUCUAUAGGUUGGCAACAUUAAUGCCUAAGAUGGGGUUGAGACAAGCUAAGUAGAUCGAGGCUGGGCACGUGUACGUAGAGGCCAUCUGAAAGGCCAUGGCGGCAAAAUAGUUGAAGGGCACAAACAAUGAACGCUAAAUUGUAUUCCUACGACUUGGAGACUUUUCAAGUUCAAGAGUACAUCGGCCGUCGUUCGAGUCUUCCACCUAGGUCGUACGCAGUUGAUCUACGAAAUAGACGACGCGAGUGCGGGAUAUUUCAGACUCUUCGAUAUCCAUGUGCACAUGUUCAUGCAGCGUGUGCGAGAGCAAACUUAAAUGUUGAACAAUUCAUAGACGAGAUCUACACGUUUCAACGCACAUUAGUAUAUGGGGGAAUGAAUUUUCUGUAAUGCCCGAUGUCUCAAACUGGGAAGUUCCACCUUUCGAGAUGGUGCCUGACCGUAGUCUCUGCAGACAUCCUAAAGGUCGACCACAGGUGACGAGGAUUCGAAAUGGCAUGGAUGUCAGAGAGACGGGUGAACCCAAACUGUGGACUGUGUGUCAAACAUCUGGACACAACCGAUCAACAUGCCCACAUCGUGUCUAUGUUUCCGGUCAAUCGUCUCGUAAUGCUGGACUCCAAGAUGACGAGUGAUAUAUUAUUAAGCACAUGUUCUUGUAAAAACAUUGUAAAUGAAAUAAAAUUAGAUAAAUUGUAUGAGAAAAAAAAUUACAUGGAAAGGUUGAUAAUUUAAAUGAAAUGAGAAAAAAAAAUUUGUUUGAAAUGAAAUGGUACAAAAUUUAAAUGAAAAUUGAAAGAAAGAUAAAUUUAAAUUAAAUGAGUAAAAAUUUUCAUUGAAAUGAAAUGAGAAAAAAAUUAAAUUAAAUUUGAAAGAAAGAUAAAUUUAAAUGAAAUGAGAGGCACUUUUAAUUUAAAUAAAAUGAGAAAAAAAUUUAAUGGAAAGAUAGAUAAUUUAAAAGAAAUGACAAAAAAAAUUAAAUUUGCGUUGAAAAAUAGAAAAUUUAAAUGAAAUGAGGAAAAAAUUAAAUUUAAAUUUAAAAAUAAUAUAUAUGAAUUGAGAAAAAAAUAAAUUUAAAUUGAAAAAAUAUAAUUUAAGUGAAAUGGAAUUGAAAUGGGAAUUGAAAUGAAAUUGGAAUGAAAUAAAAUUAAAAUGAAAUGAAAAUGAAAAGAAAUGACUAAUCUGCAGGCCUAGCCUGCAUCACCUAAGCAUAUGCCUGAGAAUGGCCUAAAAAAAAAGUCGAAAUGACUUUUAUCAAGCCUGAUAAUUGUGGUGUCAGGCCUGUUUUGAGGCAGUUCGGUUGCGCACAAUCUAUCCCGAACCCUUCUGUCGACUUCAAAGAAGUCCACGGAAUGGACAAAAAGGGUUCGGAUUGAGACGCUUUAAAUUGGGCGCAAAAACAUGAACCAUAUAUUUUCCCAUGGAAUAUGCGACAUUCGAGGCGCCCUCCUUUGUAUGUCUUAGAGGGACGGUUCUCUCCUACGCCCGAGUACGCAGCAUGGUAUAUGGCAUACGGGAAACCUUUUAUAUUCCAAGGUCAAUACAUGCUGAUCCAAAAAGACGCGCAACCGGAAUCUUCUCGAUGGCAACCAAGGAACACAUAAUUGCGUAGUAACCGAGUUCCGCCAUUCGAUAACAUCGAGUCCGAUACUACCUUGAACCCCGAUCUCGAGCCACAAUAUGAAGCAUCCAGCUCAUCAUCACACAACCUGGAUCCGAAUUCGCUGCGAGAAAUUCCUCCAUCAUUCGAGGAUAUUUUUGGUGACGACAUCGAGCCUCAACAUUUGACACGAUCCGAAUCGUCCUCAUACCAUCCGGAGAUCCAUCCCGAAGCACGUACACCCACCAUUGAGGAUAUUUUUCCAUCAGCACCUCCGGUCACGCAAUACCCAUUUACUCCCGAUUAUGAUGUAUUUGAUUAUUCUACUUUUCUAAGUACACCGGACGAGACACCGGAGACUGGACCGAGCAAUUACCAAACGCCUGAACGAGGUGCAUGGCAUCACCGACGGAGACAUCCGAACCGUUACACGCCGGCACCAGGGACGUCACCGAGAUCGCGAAAAAUUUAAAAUUUUUCUAUUAAUUUUUACUUUAUUUUUAAUUGAUUCUGUAAAUAUUUCUUUUAUAAUGAAAUUAUUCUAUUUUUUAAUAUUAAUUUAAUUUCUCUAAAAUAAUUAUUUGUUUGAAUAAAUUACUUUGAAAUAUUUAAAAAAAAAAUCGAAUACGUAAUAGUAUACGACAAUUUUAAUUUACAUACACAAUAAAAUACAACCAUUCUACAAUAUUAAUACAAAAACAAUAUAAAAUUCAAACAAAAAUAAUAUGCACUAUAUUAAAUUUAAAUUCAAACAGAUGGGUAAAAUUAAUACACAAAAAUUUUAAAUUCAAACUUUAUAUAUUACAGAUUAAUUUAAAUUUCAGAUACAAAAAAAUUCUAAGAAAUUAAUACACGAAAAUAUAAAAAUGAAACCUUAAAUUCUAAACAACUAUAUUAAAUUUACAGAUAUAAAAAAAAUACAAACAUUGUUAAGAAUUAAUACAAUUUAUUUUCAAUAGUAGUUUCUUCACAAUUAAUCGUCUUCUGCUUGAAUCAGGUUUACGUUGCAUCAGUACAGAAUAAUUGGAUAUCUGAAACGAUCAGUAAAAUUAAAAAGAAACCUUUGCAUUGAGACUCUACUAACCGGUUCCAACCACAACCUAGUUGCGGAAUAAACACUAUUACACCAUAGAUAAUGUCCAUUUGCGUUGGACAACUCGAUUAACCAUCUAUGGUGCAAUUAAUCAUUCAACCCUUAAUGGCAUAACCUUUAGGAUGGACAUGACAACAUAAACCUUAAAAUUCAGUUGUACACUACGAAAAAAUCCCAUCUACAAUCCACUACAAAAAACUCAUUUGAUGAUAUACCACAAAACACUCUCAUUUUGAUGGCUCUCUCAAUUUUUUUUCUCAUUCCAUUUGCACUAUCAGAACCUAAAUCACCCACUAUAUAUAAGGUUUGGUGCCGACCAUUACAAGGCUAAAACAAUUUUUUUUAAUACUGAGUCUGGUGCCGGCCAUUGACAGGCCAGUACCAAUUUUUUUUUUAAAAACACGUACUCUGGUGCCGGCCAUUGACAGGCCAGCACUAAAUUUUUUUAAUUUUUUUUGGGUACUUGGUGGUGGCCAUUGACAGGCUAACACAAAAAAAAAGUUAAUUUUUUUAUACUUUAUGGUGGCCAUUGACAGGCUAAUAUCAAAAAAAUUUGACAGGUCAGCAUAAAAAAAAAUUAAUUUAUUUUUGUACUUGGUGUGGCUAUUGACAGGCCAACACAAAAAAAAAUUAAUUCUUUUACUUGGUGGUGGCCAUUGACAGGCCAGCAUCAAUUUUUUUUAAAUACUCACCUUCAAGCCUCAGCUCACAUUCAAAGCGGGAAACUUCCCCAACUCAAUAAAUUUACGCAAAACAAAAAGGAAAGAAAAGGGUGUACGAUUCAUUUCCUGUUUUCUUCUCAUCUCUGACAGGUAAUCGGAAAAGGCGAACAGUUCGAAUAAAUAGAAAAUGGCGUUGAAUUUGGCGCAUCAGAUUGGUUCUCUAGCCGGGACACAAAUUGCAGCUGAAGUCACCACCGGAGAACAAUCAUCCUCAGCGACGGCUAAUGUGUCGGGAGUUCGGAAAGUUCCAUUGGCGAAUCUCCGAUGCAACGCCCCAGGAGAAGCUCUGUCCCCUCCAAUAUUAACUCCACCGUUGACGCUGCGAAGCGCGGAAAACAGGCCGGCUAUGAUGAGUCCGUCUCUGUCCGCCGCUUGCCAGGCUUUCGGGACGUUAUCACCGCUGGAGACGGCUGAGGAGUCAUCGGCGUCUGUGGCGUGGAAGGAGGGAGGGAAGAAAGAGGAGAAGAAAGGGGUUCCGGUUUACGUGAUGAUGCCGUUGGAUAGCGUGACGAACGGGAAUACGGUGAAUAGAAAGAAGGCGAUGAAUGCGAGUCUCCACGCGCUGAAAAGCGCGGGAGUGGAGGGGAUAAUGAUUGACGUUUGGUGGGGGCUAGUGGAGAGGGAAGCGCCGGGUGCUUAUAAUUGGGGUGGCUACGCCGAGCUUCUCGAGAUGGCUAAGAAGCAUGGCCUUAAAGUCCAGGCUGUCAUGUCAUUCCAUCAGUGUGGCGGCAACGUCGGUGACUCUUGCACGUUCGUAUCUCCUCCUUACCUCUCUUUACUGUUUAACUUUUAAAAUUUAAACCCUUCUUUUUCUUCAAGAUCCCGUUACUCAGCUUAUGAAAAUUUUAUUUAAAAAAAUAGUAAUUUUAAAUUAAUUUUUGUGGGGAUGGGAUCCCUUUUUGAAAAUCAAGAAGAAAGAAAGUUUACACGUUUGAUUAAUUAUUGAUUACAAGUCAAUCAUUUGCUUAUUUUUGAAUUUGACGGAGACAAUCAGAUGAACCAACGUUUUUAAAANNNNNNNNNNNNNNNNNNNNNNNNNNNNNNNNNNNNNNNNNNNNNNNNNNNNNNNNNNNNNNNNNNNNNNNNNNNNNNNNNNNNNNNNNNNNNNNNNNNNNNNNNNNNNNNNNNNNNNNNNNNNNNNNNNNNNNNNNNNNNNNNNNNNNNNNNNNNNNNNNNNNNNNNNNNNNNNNNNNNNNNNNNNNNNNNNNNNNNNNGGCAGGGAAUAUGGGGUUUGUAUGGAAAUUUUCAUAAGCCCCCAUACGGUGGUCCAAAUCCUGUAUUUUUUAUCUAAAUCUUUAUUGAAUCAAAUACUGGGAUGUAUUGAUUUGAUGUUAUGGAGCUACUCUUUUAAAGGAAAAAAUAUGGUUGUUUUUGUACAGUAUUCCUUUGCCCAAGUGGGUUACAGGGGAGAUCGAGAAGGACCCAGACCUCGCAUACACUGAUCAAUGGGGAAGAAGGAACUACGAAUACCUUUCACUUGGUUGCGAUACCCUUCCUGUCUUGAAAGGCCGUACGCCUGUUCAGUGUUACGCUGAUUUCAUGCGUGCCUUUAGGGACAAUUUCAAACACCUCCUUGGUGAUACCAUUGUGGUAAUGCUUCUAAUUUACUAAUAAUUGUUGAUCCCAUUUUGUCUCAUCCUCUUGGAAGAAUUCAACUGCUAAGGAAUUACCAUUAUUUUUCACUACAGGAAAUCCAAGUCGGAAUGGGUCCGGCAGGUGAGCUUCGGUACCCUUCGUACCCGGAGGCGAAUGGGACAUGGAAGUUCCCUGGAAUUGGAGCCUUCCAAUGUUAUGAUAAGGUACCCUGACAUUGCACUGCUCUCUCUUGUUUCUAUUUCAGAUUAGGUUCUGUUUUGGUGUUAAUAAUACGGAUGUUAUUUGAUGCAGUAUAUGCUUAGCAGCCUAAAAGCAGCGGCUGAAGCGGCGGGUAAGCCAGAAUGGGGUAGCACUGGCCCAACUGAUGCUGGUCACUACAACAAUUGGCCAGAAGAUACGCCUUUUUUCAAGAAAGAAGGUGGUGGUUGGAAUACUCCAUAUGGUGAAUUCUUCCUUACCUGGUACUCUCAGAUGCUGUUAGAACACGGGGCGAGAAUUCUAUCGUCCGCAACAUCGAUUUUUGACGGUGCAGGUGUGAAGAUCUCUGUGAAAGUUGCGGGAAUCCACUGGCAUUACGGAACCCGAUCCCAUGCUCCUGAACUCACAGCUGGGUACUAUAACACAAGGUUCCGAGAUGGUUACCUCCCGAUCGCACAAAUGCUAGCACGUCAUGGUGCCGUUUUCAACUUCACUUGCAUAGAGAUGCGGGAUCAUGAGCAGCCCCAAGAUGCCUUGUGUGCACCUGAGAAGCUAGUGAAGCAAGUUGCUUUAGCAACAGGAGCAGCACAUGUUCCACUUGCCGGGGAGAAUGCACUUCCCCGUUAUGAUGAAUACGCCCACGAGCAGAUCUUACGAGCUUCAUCGUUGAAUGUCGAUGGCUCAGCAGUUGAUAGAGAGAUGUGUGCAUUUACGUACUUGAGGAUGAACCCAUCGCUCUUUCAUCCGGACAAUUGGAGACGGUUUGUUGCAUUCGUGAAGAAGAUGAAUGAGGGAAAAGGGGCUCGUCGGUGUUGGGAAGAGGUGGAGCGGGAAGCCGAACAAUUCGUGCAUGUCACGCAGCCUUUCAUUCAGGAGGCCGCCGUUGCCCUUAUGCAUUAGCGUAGCUUAGUAAAGAGUUUGUAUUAAUAACAGUUCCUCAAGGAUUCUGAAAUGAUAUAGUUUUUCCUUUCACAUUUUUUUCCUAUGCAGUGGCUAGGGAAAAAAUGCAUGUUGUAUAAUUUGGUAUUCGAUUUAGUUCCAACUCUUUCCAAUUUUAAGCAAGGAUGAUAUACAUUAGAUUAUUUAUUUGCCUUUUUUAAAAGAUAUUAGGAUUUGAAUUUUUUAAAGAAAGGGUUUUACGUUUAUAAAUAUGGUAAAAGUAUCACAAUGUUUAUAACGACUGUUAAAAUAUAUUUGUAUAUUUAAAUUUAGUCUUCAAUUUUUAUAUAUUUAUAUAAUUUGAUUUAUUCUUUUAUUGAAAGUAAAUUAAUUUGAUUUAUUCUUUUAUUGAAAGUAAAUUAAAAAAUUUCGAAUCUAGUUGCCUGGCUAGCAAAUUAAAAAAAAAAUUCUAAGCUCUCAUAAAUUUUUAAAAAAUUAUAAAUUAAUUGUUAAAAAUUUAGAAUUAAAUUUUUUUAUUAAAGCAUUAAAAAGUUUCUAAUUUUAAAAUUAUAAAAAUUUGGUGUGAACAUAUUAAAAGUUUCUUAUUAGUUUUAUAAUUUUAAAAUUAUAAAAUUUAUAUAAAAAAUUAAUUUUUGUAAUUUGUUUAUAAUUUUUAUGAUUUUUAAUAUUUUUAAAUUUUAAAAGUGUAAAUGAUUUUUUAAAAUUUGUUACUAAAGUCUUUUUGAUCCUUUAGUUUUGUUAGUUUAAAAAUUACUUCCAAUAAAAAAAAUAUGAGUCAAAUUGAAUACAUGUGUAAAAGUUAAUGAUUGAAUUUGUUAUUAUACCUUAUAUAUAAAUAUCAUAUUUUAAUAGAGAGGUGGCUUUGCUCACUCAUCUAACAUAAAACGGCCAAUUUGCACAUUUAUUUAGUAGAAAGGCUAAAAUGCAAUCCAAUGUAUAAUACAAGAGAUUUUGUGAUACUUUUAUCAUAUUUAUAAUAAAAUUGAUAAAUACAGAUACAUAUUCAAAUAACUAUAAAAUAGAAUCAAAUUAGUCAACAUCCUCUAAAUCUAAUGACAAAAACAUUUAUGUCGUGACAGGAGAGCUUAGGUUGAAUUACUAGCAACUCCAUUCUUACCCUCAAUUAUUAAAAAAAUAGAAUCAAAUUAUUUACAGAUGAAGAAUAAAAAUGGAUAUGGAGUGAAGGGUGAGUAUUUGUUCCACGUAAAAAUAUAUGGUACACUAUUUUUAGAAAAAGUAUAUAUAUGGUACACUAUUUUUAGAAAAAAUAUAUGAUAAUUUUUUAAAACUGCUUGUAAUAAAAAAAUAAUACACCACACCGUACUAAUACCUUUUUUUUAUUAAUUAAAAUAGUUGGAUUUGAUUGCUUUUUAGAAUGCAAAAUUACCGAAAGGAAGUGUGGAAUACUUUGGAGGAUAAAUUUUUGGAAAGAAAGUUUGAGAUCCGAGUUCAACAAAAGGAACUCUCUUUGAACUGUGACCAUAAGAGGUAUUGGAAAAUCAUGGUUUCAAACAAAAUUGGAGUGUCUAAAUAUCAGAUACUCUUAAGAGAGUUCUACAUUUUAUAUGAUGACAACAGAUUUGUUUCCCAUCAAACAUAUAUCCCAUUUCUUCCAUCUUUCAAUUACAAAAGAAAUUAAACCUCAAAUUUAAUCUCUUGUAAUAGGAGUUAGAUUAUAUUUUACUUAAUUAAUAUAUGUUUGAUCAAAGAACAAAUUAAUCAGACAGUGACACAAAUGGAUUAAUUUGUUCUUUAAUCUAAUGUAUAACGGUUAAUUUACUUAUGUUUUGAGUAAAAGAGACAAAAUAUAAUUUAACUCUUAAUACAAAUAUUUUCACGAUACUUUACCCAUUUUUUUUAUUUAACAAAUCAUGUUAUGUUCCCUCUUCUUUCACGUUUUAAUCCUCCAAAUUGGUAACACUAUUAUUGUAGAGAAAAUUUAUCCCUCAAAGAACCGACUUUUCUCAAAUCAUGAUCUUUUCUAUAGCAUUGGCAAGAGUUCUAGAGAGGUCUACAUUUUGGAGUCAGAUGGCCAUCUUUCAUGACUUCAAAAAGGAAAAUGAAAAACACUUUUUCCAUGGAUUAAAAAAAGGGUUUCACAUGAUUAACCAUUUGCUACUCCCCCCCCCCCCCUUUUUUUCUUAAUUUUGUGGACGGUAAUGUGAUAAAGUCACAUGAAUUAAAUGCUCAAGAGGUUGCCUUUUUCCUUCUUUUCUUCACCACUAUUUAGCACAUUUUUCAUCUCCACCUUCCUUAAUAUAUAUUUUAUUGAAGUUUUAAACAAAAUGUUAUUCUAAUAAAAAAAUAUUUUUACAUGAUGUGCUGGAAAAUUUUUUGUAAAAAAUUCUACAAUAGCUUUCAAAAUUAUCUAAUAAAUUUACGUUCAUUGGAAUGUUUUUUUAUUACAUGAUCACCAUAUAUUUAACAAAAAAAUUUAAAAUAUCACUCCAACAAAUUUAAUAAAUAAUUUUAUUGGUAUUAAGAAUUGGAAUUGAAUUGGUAAAUCUAAAAACUCGAGGGUUUUAACCCUCAAACACGAACACUAUUAAAAUGUCCUAAACCUUAAACUUUUAUCCCGCAAACCCUAAUGUGCCUCCUAAAAACUCUAAAAGAAAAACUUUAAACAGGUUCAGUAGAGAUAAUGAGAAAACACGUCUAGUUGAAAGUGUCUUGUUGACAGAAUAGAAAAGCACAUCUACCUGGCAACGUUUUCUUACAACUUACGUUAAAAACGCGUUCAGUUUAACACGUUUUCAAAAAUCGACAUAAUCCUACAAAAUUUUUAAAAAAAACCUACCUAAUCUCAUAAAUAUUUAAAAAAAUGACAUUUUUUUUAUUCAUAUUUGAUAUAUUGAUUGGAUUAGGAUAACUUAACUAUGUGACAAAAAUUAGGUUUUCAAGACAUAAAAGUAGUGGCUGAAAAGCAGAGGCAAUUCUAGGGGGGGCUGGCAUGGGCCCCGGUCCCCCUAAAAUGAAAAAUUAUCAUUUAGGCUCUCGAAAUUUUUUUAAAAAUUUAAAUUAGUAAAGGUAAAAUUGCACUUUGGCCCUCUAAAAUUAUAAAAAUUUGAUUUAAUCCUUUAAAAAUUAUAAAGAUAUAAACUAUAAAAAAUUAAAAUUUCAUUCGGCCCCCUAAAAAAUUGUUCUGACUUCGCCCUACUGAAAAGUAAUAAUGGCAAUGCAGUUUCCAAGAAGCCUCAUGGGAUAAUUUGAACUUUUAUUAUGUUGUCAUUGCACCAAGCGUUACUAACUUAUUAUGAUGGAAGAGUUUAUGGAUCAAAUUAAAUUAGGUGUAGACGAUGUAUUUCGUGUUACUUUUGGCUGUUCGUAAUUUUGUUGACAAUUAAAAUAUUAUUAAUUAAAGAGAUUUUGUUUCCAAAAUCUAUUUAAAAAAAUGCUUUUCCAAUAAAAAAUAAAAGUUUUGUUUUCUAGUAAAAAGCAUUUUUGAGCAUAUAGUUUACUUUCAUAUCUAUUAAAUAAUAAUGUAUUUACAUAUUUGCUAUAUUUAUAUUGUACAAAAUUUCAAGGCCAAUGAGAUUUGAAAAUUUGGAAGAAAUCAAGGAAUUUUAUUUAUCAAAUUAUGAGUUAUAAUCUUUAGAUAAAUCCUUUGAUUUUUUCUUUAAUGGAGAUUCGAUUUAAAGGUUGUCUUGAACUAAUCUUGGAUGAAUUCAAUCCUCUUUAAGAGUUUUCAAGACUUGAUCUUAGAAAUAAGUUUAGAGAGAGUUUGGAACGAAGAGUUUUCGAGAUUUGAUCUUGAAUGGUUGAGUCUGUUUCAAUGGUCAUCAAAGUUUGAUCUUGAAGAGAAAAUUUAUCUCCUUUGUGUUGAUGCCAAGGAACUAAGAGGAGGUUUAAUCUAAGGGUUAUUUAUACUUGAGCGUGGAUGGAUGAUUCCACUUCAACAGGAUCAAAGAGUAGCUUUCUUUAGAACUAAUGCAACAUUCUUUAUAAUUUCUUUGAGUUGUUUGAUUUCUUCAGAGAUUUAUGAGAGAACUUCUAGUUUUCAAAACCUUUUCGUCGGGCUUCGAUUUCUAAACUUUCAGAUUUAUGAACUUGUGAAGUUUUGUUGAAUGCGUGGAGGUGGCCCUCUUUUAUAGUAUUAGCUAGACAAGUAAAAGAUAGCUCUUAUAGAAUAUAAUCUCUUCAUUUGAGUGAUCUACAAGGCAUAAGCUAUUUUAUUUAUUAUUUAUAAAGAAAAUGAAUUCUCUAUAAAAGGAUUUAAAUGUUUUAUUUUAUCUCUUAAUUUAAUUAGAGGUAAAUCUUAUUGGUCCAAAACUUUUCCUUCUACAUAUAUAAAUUAUAUUUUAUUUUAAACAAAAUUUACUAUACAAUUAUGACAUAUUUAUAAAGUAUGGGAUUAUUAAUAUAGGGAAUAAAUAUUAAAAUUAUACAUGAAGUUUGAUCUAAUAUACAAUUAUAUUCAUGAAAUUUUGAUUGUGUUUCAAAUGUAUACACUAAACUUAGAUUUUGAUUCAAUUAUAUACAUUUAAAGAAAUAAAUACAUUAAUUUAUUUAGUAUAAUUAUUUGUGUAUACAUUAUGUAAAUGUAAAAUGUUGCUAUAUUGUCAAUAAUGUUGGUGGCUUGUGAAAAUUGCACAAAAUUAAACUUCAUGUAUAACAUUACAAAUUGGGUGAAAAUUCAUGUUCAAUUUUGAGAUUUAUCCCUUAAUACAAAAAUAAUGUUAGAAUGAAAUGAUUUUAAAGAGCAUAUUUAUAUAGGUUUAAUACUAUUAAGUUAUUCAAUUAUCAUUACAAAUAAUCUAAUAAUAUUAUUUCUAGCAUGAUGUCAUUUUGAGACAUUUUGUCUUCCCAUAAUAAUGUCAAACCCUAAAAAUCUCACAACACAUGUUAUAUACAUUUUCCCCUAAUUGAAUUUUUUAACAAAAAUAGUAAUACUAAUGGUAUCAAUAUCUUAUCUAAGCUUGAUUACUUUCAAUUUGAUGUUCAUGGCAGUCCAUUUCACUUUUGAUCUUCACAAACGAAUUUACUCGCCGGCUUCAAUUUCAUACAUCCAGUUUUCCAUCUUCAUUUGGAGUCCCAAAUCUCAUCUUUACCUUGCUUACCCAAAAUCUUCCAUCUUUGCCUUAGAUGGAAAAUAGUCAUAGUUGAUACGUCAUCAGAAAUCUGAUUUUCCAUGGCUACAGCUCCAUUUUUCACCGUAAUUUCGAAAACAUUAAUAAGAAAAUUGAAACAAAUAAUAAUAAUAAUAAUAAUAAUAAUAAUAAUAAUAAUCGUCAAUGGUUUUAAGUGGUGUACAACAUUUUCCCUUAAAAGGCUUUAAUAUAUUGUCCAAAUACAACAAAACUUUCAACCCUCCAAGUAGAAUAGUGAAAAUGACUAAUAGGAAGAUCUUUUAUAUAGAUAUAAAAUAGAUGUAUUUUUCCAUAAUAUUCCUUUCAUAAUGAUAUAUAUAUAUAUUUUAAUGAGAUACCCUUCCAUGAGGACAGGGAUGUAUCCAGGAUUUUACUCUAAGGGAGACGAAACUUCUAAAUUUAAACGACAUUUUAUUUUUAAUGUAAAAAAAGUGCCAAUUCUUCUUGGAUACUUGUUCUUCUCAUCAAAUAAAUCAAUUUAAUAUAUAUUUUUAAAAAGCAUGAAUGAUUUAACUGUAAAAAAAAUAAAAAAAAAACUCACACUAUAUAAAAUUAAGCAUUUCUUUCCAAUAUGCAAAAAAGAAUAACUAAUAUAUACCAUACAAAAAAUUUCAUAAAUAUCAUUAUAAUUCCAAAAAUUAAAUUAAGAAACUUGGCCUUAGUCCUAUUUCUCAAUACUAGGAAUCCUAAAUUGUACUCUUCGCUUUUUCAUAAGAUCAAACUCAUCAAUGAUAGAAUCUGUUGAAAAUUCUCGAGCUAUCUCUUUUUCGAUGUAUGCCACCAAGUAAGUUGAAAGAAAAUCAUCCUCCAUUCUGUUGCGAAGUCAUGUAUUCACAAUUUUCAUUGCUAAAAAUGUUCGUUCGAUUGUUGUAGCAAACACGGAAAGAGUUUGUCGAAACCACUUUUUGAAAAAAAAAAUUAGAGUAGACUUAAGGAAAUGAAAAUUGGAGUCGCCACCGAUCUUUUAUUAAGGUGUGACCGGAUCACCUUAAAAAUGAUUUUGGUCUAUGAAUUUCAGAAAGAAUGGAUUUGGGAGUCAGUUAUGUACGAGGAAGGAUUAGCACCCUCGUAACGUCCAAUAUUGGUACCGUAUUCACUAGUUAAUGUCUUAAAGUCGAAUGUCGAAAGUUUUAAAAGAUUAAAAAUGAUUCCCCUUUUAUUAAUGACAUAUUUUUUCAAAGAAAAAAAAACGUUUGGAUAAAUUUGAAUGAGUGUAAAAGACUUUCUUAUCUCGAGGAAACAAAAUGUCGUACCCCGUAAGUUAGGAUGCAACAUUUGAAUCCUCAAAAAUAAGCUAACCUUCAAAAACUUUAUUGAAAUUUAACGAUUUUGAAAAAUAAGAAAUGUUUAGCCUUUUUAGUUCGACGAGAAAAUCGAAACCCCGUAAGUUAGGGUACGAUCCCUCGAAGUUCCAAAGACAACAUGUAGUUUGCUUUUAACUUUAUUAAAGAAAACAUGUUUUUGAAAAUAAAAAAAGGUCAUUUUAAGUUAACAAGAUAAUCGAGACCCCGUAAGUUAGGGCACGAUUUCUCGAAACUUCGAAAAGUAUUAUAAAGCCGACUCAAAAUGUAUUUAAUUGAUUGGCUUGACAUAAAGAAAAAAAAAGUAAUAAUGAUCACAUACAUUGGAAUUUGGCUUACGAUACGAUAACGAGAAAUAAGAGCGUAAUUGUAUACAUGGCAUAAUAAUACAUAGCAAGAAUAUAAAUAACAUGUAAAUACAAAAUAACAAAUUAAGGUAUACAUAUAUAUAUUAGUCUAAAUAAAUAAUACAUAUGGAAUGAAAGACUCAAAAUAGAUAAUAAUAUAUAUUAUAAUAUGUGUAAAGAGUUGAAAUAAGUAAAAUAAAAAAAUAGAGAAUUUAAAAGAAAUAAAGUAUAUAUAUAUAUAUAUAUAUAUAGAAAAAUAGGUAAAAAUAUAUAAUUUGAAUUCAAUAGUAUAUUAUGUAUGUAUGUAUGUAUGUAUAUAUGUAUGUAUGUGUAAUGAAAAUAAUUUAAUAUAAAUUGUGUAUAUAUACAAAAGUAGUAUUGUAUAAGAAUAUUAUCAUAUAAUCUUUACAUAUGAAAUAUAUAAAAAAGUGGAUUUUAAAAAUAUAUUAUAAAAUAAAAAUUGUUAAAAAUAUAUAUUAUAUUGGAUUAAUAGGAAGAAAAUAAAAUAAUUCAUUAUAGAAUUAAAUAAUAAUGUAUGAUAAUAGUAUAUAUAAAAAAAGUUUAAAAUAAUAAUAAAUAAUAAAUUAAAUUAUUUUUCCAAAAUUCAAUUCACCAAGAAUAUAACUCCAUAAAUAUUUAAUAAAAAUAUUUAUGAUUUCAAUUUAUGAAAUCGGAGUCCCGAAAUCGAAUUUUUCCAACACCAUUGACUUUCGGAUCGUUACAUCAAAAUACAAGAAAGUCACUAACCUAAUAUGCAUGAGUAUGAGCAAAAUCAAUUAAUUGUAGAAUUUGGCUUUAAAGUCCAUAUUGAGCCUUUAAGUUUAGUCUUUUAAGGCCCAUCAUACAUUAUUAUUAUUAAAGUUAUAUAAUUAAAACUGAAAAAUACUUUAUUAAUAUAAAGUAUAAUCUUACGGCUUAAGGGGCGAAUUAUAUGAAAUAUAAUUUGGCCAAGGGGACGAAUGUUUUACAAUGUGGACACCAAAUCUAAAAUACAUGAUAAUUUAUAUAUAUAAUUCAAAAAUCUGAAAAUUCCAAGGGGGUGACUACCCCCCACGCCCCCUGGAUCCAUCAUUGCAUAAGGGCUUGUUGUUUCAAAAGAUAACUUUACUUAAAAGCUAUGUCCAAAUAACUUUAUUGAUAGUUUGUCUAGUGGGGUUGUGUAGGGGCGAAGCUAGAAAAUUUUUUAGAGGGGCUGAAAUUAAAUUGUAUAUUUGUAUGAUAAUACAAAUACAAAUUUACCAUUUUAAUAUCUUAUAUCUUAAUAAUUUUUAAAGGGUUAAAUCAAUUUUUAAUCAUUUCUGGGAGCUAAAGUGCAAUUUUACCAUUACAAAUUUAAAAUUUUAAGGGGCUUAAUUUUCCAUUUUAGGGGAGGUUGGGGCCUCUACCAGCCCCCUUGGAUUUGCCUCUGGGGCUAUGGAAAGAGAUAUGGGCACAACUGUAUGAAAAAGAUAAACACAAAAAAUGUUUACGCAACUCAGACUUAUGUAUAUGGGGCCUUGCUCAGAUAAUGUAAUGCCCCGAUUUAUUUAACUUUGUUUUUAUGAAUUUUGUCAUAAAUGAGUAUUUAUUUCAGUGGUUAAGUGAUUUGAGUGAGUACUUAAGGUCUUGGGUUUAAGUCCCACUUUUGGAAAAUAUGCUAUUUUUGAUCCUAGCCUUAUCUUUAGUGGUUUGCCUUAUAUUUUACUUCCGGGCAACUCAUAUUAGAAUGAGUUUGCUAGUUCAGGUGGUAAUGUGUUAGCCUGCCCUACGGUCUUGUGUUUGAACCCUUUGUGUGAGCAAAGAAUGUUAAUUUUUGCUUCUAUGAGUGUGUGCCAGUUGUGUAGUAAAAGUUGGAUGGAACUGAUACUCUAAACUAGUUGGAUGAGGUAGUGGGUUAGAUUCUGUGGGAUUGUGGUUGGUUAGUGGGGGAGUUGGGAUAGUGUUAAUUUUAUUUUAAUUUUGUUUUUUUCCAAAAUUCCUUUCCAGUUUCAUGUUCUUCACUCAACUCCCAUGUACAUUUCUUCUUCUUCUUCUUCUUCUUCUUGUCUCUCUUAUUUUUAUUGGAAUUAAUUCUGUAAAUAUGUAUGGUAGUUUUUGAGUAUAUCUCUUUUCUUUUAAUUAGGAGAUUAGAUGCUAAAGUUUAGGAGAUAAUAUUUUGGUUUAAUUAGGAGAUUAGAUGCUAAAGUUUAGGAGAUAAUAUUUUGGUUUCUAUAUUUGUAUUUUAUCAUGUAUAUAUGUUCUUGAUUUUGGGAGGAAUGAGAGACAGAGAAAAUUCCCACAAUUCUUGUUAUUUUUUCAUGGUAUCAGAGCAGGUUUUGAACGUGUAAAUUUUUGCUAAUGGCUGGUGGGAAAGGUGAUUCCGGUCACAAAUUCGGUGAAGGGGCGGUUGUGCGAAAAACGAUUUCUCCGUACAAUAUAACCUCGCUUGAUAAUCCUACACUUGCAAUCACUCAAGUACAAUUGAAAGGGGAAAACUAUGAAGAAUGGGCUCGUUCUUUCUGAACGGCGUUGCGUGCUAGGAAGAAGUUCAGAUUUAUUGACGGAUCGAUUAAAAAACCAGAUGAUACAUCAGACAACAUUGAAGAUUGGUGGACCAUUAACUCGUUGCUAGUUUCGUGGAUUCGGAAUACCAUUGAACCAACUCUUCGAUCCACCAUAUCUCAUGUCGAGGUGGCUAAGGAUUUGUGAGAUGAUAUCCGGAGAGAUUUUCAAUGGCCAAUGGUCCAAGAAUCCAACAACUCAGAUCUGAUCUUGUAGAAUGCAAGCAAAAAGGAUUGACUAUUGUAAAUUAUUUUGGAAAAUUGAAACUGAUAUGGGAUGAAUUGGCGAUUUUUGAUCAAUUGCCGACUUGUAAAUGCGGGAAUUGUACUUGUCAACUAUCAGCCGAGUUGGAAAAGCGAUGAGAAGAGGAAAAGUUCACCACUUCCUGAUGGGAUUGGAUGGGACAUAUAGCACGGUUAGAUCCAACAUCUUGGCCAACGAUCCAUUGCCAUCCUUGAGCAAGGCUUAUUCGAUGGUUAUUCAGGAAGAACGAGUGAAGACCAUAUCUCGUGAGAUGGAAGAUCGCCCCGAUGUGAUGGCUAUGGCGGUGCAAAGUCGAGGCAGUGGAGAAAGUAAUGAGAAGGGGGGUUUGUUCCCAUUGCAAACAACCCGGACAUGAUAUUGAUAAUUGUUUUACUAUUAUUGGGUAUCCUGAAUAGUGGGGAAUACAUAUAUAUAUUAGUCUAAAUAAAUAAUACAUAUGGAAUGAAAGACUCAAAAUAGAUAAUAAUAUAUAUUAUAAUAUGUGUAAAGAGUUGAAAUAAGUAAAAUAAAAAAAUAGAGAAUUUAAAAGAAGUAAAGUAUAUAUAUAUAUAUAUAUAUAUAUAUAUAUAUAUAUAGAAAAAUAGGUAAAAAUAUAUAUUUUGAAGUCAAUAGUAUAUUAUGUAUGUAUGUGUAAUGAAAAUAAUUUAAUAUAAAUUGUGUAUAUAUACAAAAGUAGUAUUGUAUAAGAAUAUUAUCAUAUAAUCUUUACAUAUGAAAUAUAUAAAAAAGUGGAUUUUAAAAAUAUGUUAUAAAAUAAAAGUUGUUAAAAAUAUAUACUAUAUUGGAUAAAUAGGAAGAAAAUAAAAUAAUUUAUUAUAAAAUUAAAUAAUAAUGUAUGAUAAUAGUAUAUAUAUAAAAAAAGUUUAAAAUAAUAAUAAAUAAUAAGGUAAUAUAUAUAUAUAUAUAUAUAUAUAAUAGGUAAAUAGAAGUAUAACCAAAUAUAAUAAUGUCAGCAACAAUAAUAAAUAGUAAUAAUAACAAUAAUAAUAAAAAAGUAAUAAAUUAAUUAAUAGCAAAAAUAUCAAACAUGACUAAAUUGAAACGAAAACAGAAAUUCUGGGGCAAAUAUGAAAUAAAUAAAAAUAAAAAGGACCAAAUUGAGUGCACGAAUAACAAAGAGGGACUAAACGGAAAACAUCCCCGCCCUCCUAAAACACAGCACCUUACAUGGAGCAAAAAUGAAAUCAAAGCAAAAUUUUAGGGCAAAAUUUGGAAUAAAAGAAAACUUAAUUGCAAAACCAUUAAAAGGUGGAAAGACCAGGGUUGUAAAUAACCCAUUUAACGAGAACAUGCGGAUCCCCCAUGGAGCAGGUCGGGUAGCACACGGGUGGCCCUAUACGGCGUCGUUUUGGCGCUAAGGGCACUAACUCAAAACGACGCCGUUUUUUAUUGUUAUUUAAACAAAAAAAACUGUUUUUAAAAAAACAUUUUCAGAAGCUAUUUUUUGUUUAAAAAAACAAAAGGGGGCUAUUCUUUGCUAGGGUUUCACAUCCCAACUAGCCCACCGUGCCUCCGCCGCGAUUCCACCGUGAACAGUGGCCGGAGCUGCACCACGAAGGGCCUUUCGCUCCUUUUCGCGCGGAUCCGAAGGCGUCCAAGGUAAACCCUCUUCUUCCCUUUUUAAUAUACAUUUUUUUAUUUAAAAAAAUCGAAACUAAAAGGAAAAAAAAUAGAAUACUACCUUCUAUCUCUCAAAAAAACUCAGAUUACCAGUAAAUCAUUUUUUUGAUUGAUCUUCUCCCUCCCUUUUUACAAUAUCAAGUCUGCUUUUUAUAGCAGAUAAUGGAAAAAGAUAAAUGUAAAAAAAAUCUAAUUUUAAAUGCGUUAUCUACUUGUUCCUUUGGUUUGUGAUUUUUCUGAUUUUCUUGAUGUUUUUUUCCUGCCUGUGCUGUUUGUUGCCAUUUUUGUUGUGCAUGUACAAGCUCGGAGGGGACGCAUGCGCGCGGAGGCGUAGCACGUGUGGGGCAGGAGCUGCGCCUGGAUCUUCUUGGGUUUCUGUUUCGUGGUCUAGGGCUAGGCAUUGGGCCUCUGUAAUUGGGCCACUGUUUAUUAGGUUAGGGAUUUAGAUUGGGUCUUGGUGUAUUUUGAAUUUGGGCUUGUAAUAGGAUUUGGGUUUAGGCUAGCAAUUUUAAUGUAAUUGGAUUGUAUUUGGACUUUGAAUUUUGGUUUUAUUUAUUUAUAUACGGGUCGGGCAAAUUGGGCCAAUUAUAGCUGCCCUUCUUUGCUCGUUGUCGUGUAACGGGAACGGAGCAAAGACUUUAGAUGGCCAAUUUUGCCGGGUCAUGCUGGAUCUUGGUGCUCUUCUUCUUCAAGUAGCCUCAUGCCCACCUAUUGCAUCUUCAGAGGUAUUGGUGCUUCGAUCCACUCCACUGUAACGUUAGGGAAAUAGGAUUUGUAGCUCUUCAAGGGAACAUUUGCUAUCUUCAGUCUGCUUCACUGCAACUUCAGGGAGAUAAGACUUGCAACUUCCACUUGUUUCACUGUAAUUUCAAGGCAAUAAGGUCUGAUUCGAUCUGCUUUACUGCAACUUUAGACAGAUAAGAUCUGUAAUUUAUAGCUUCAACCUGUUCCACUGUAACUUCAGGGGAAUAAGAUUCACUAUCUUUAGUCUGCUCCACUGCAACUUUAGGGAGAUAAGACUUCACUUCAAUCUGCUCCACUGCAACUUCAGGGAGAUAAAACUUGCUAUGGCAGAUUUAAUUCGACCUACAGCAACUUCAGAGGCAUAGGAUUCAUCAUUUUAAUCCGCUCCACUGCAACUUCAGGGAGAUAGGAUUUGUAACUUUAAUCUGCUCCACUGCAACUUUAGGGAGAUAAGAUUCACUAUCUUCAAUCUACUCCACUGCAACUUCAGGGAGAUAAGACUUGUAACUUCAAUCCGCUCCACUGCAACUUCAGGGAGAUAGGAUUAUUGGCUUUAAUCUACUCCACUGCAACUUCAGAGAGAUAAGAUUCGCCAGGAUCUACUCUACUGCAACUUUAGAGAGAUAAGAUUCGCCAGGAUCUACUCUACUGCAACUUCAGAGAGAUAAGAUCUGUGAUUUAUAGCUUUAAUCUGUUCCACCACAACUUUAGGGAAAUAAGAUUUGCUAUCUUCAGUCUACUCCACUGCAACUUCAGGGAGAUAAGACUUCAUUUCGAUCCGCUCAUUGCAACUUCAGGGAGAUAGUAUUAUUGGCUUUAAUCUACUCUACUACAACUUCAGGGAGAUAAGAUUUGUCAUCUUCUUCAAUCUAUUCCACUGCCACUUCAGUGGUAUAGGAUUUGUAGUUUCACCGAUCUGUUUUCAGGGGAACAUGACCUGUAGAAUCCAUUGCAUGGACCUAUUUAUGCCUAAUUAUUAGGAUGUUAUGAUCGGAAUGAGUCAAAAUUUACUAACUAGAUGUUAUGAAUAAAUGGAAAAUGAAGAUGAUCCCUUUUUUUAAUGUUUGGGUUAUCAUUACUUAUUAUUCGUUAAGAUUUCAUCACUGAUGUGUUAUAGAGUUGUCUUGUUCAGCUGGUGCCUUCGACAGAAACCCAAAGAAAAACUCAAUCAGUUUGCCUCAAUUGUUCUUUUGAGACUUGAGUUUUGGGCUAUCCUUCUUCCACUAUAACCCAGGGAUACAAGAUCUGACUCUUUUCAAACCUCUUUUAUCGCAAUUCAAAGGCAUAGUAUAAGAAUCUUCUUCCCUCAUUUUAGUCAUUUACACCAUUCCUAGGAUGUCGUGACCAGGUAUUUAUGCACGAGUAUAGAAAUUUUUCUAAGAAUAACUUCUUCUUAUUGUUUGGCGAUCGAAGCUUUAUCACCGGCACAAUAUUUUGUUUAAUAAAUAUUUUUGACAACAAAAUUCGAAGAGAUAGUCUUAAUUUAGACUUUUUCUUUUUAGAUAUUUCAACUUUUAAACUUGGUGCAUUCUAAAUAAUAGUCCUAUUUCAACUUCCUGUAUUAUUUAGAAACUUCUUAGAGUAAUAUGCAAAACUUCAUUUGAGAAAGUAUUAUUAGUCCAUUAAUCAUUAUUCUAAUGCAACACACUUGCAAAAGAUCAUAUCAAUGGAUAAAAAUUGAAUUGAUUUGGGAGCAUGGCUCGAAAUGAAUAAAUUGUCAAGGAUAGUAAAAAUAAAAAAAAGGGAAUUAAGUGGGAACAUGUAUCUUGAAAAAGAAUGAAGUAUUCCAAGAACAACAAAUUCAAUAUAAAUAGUAUGAAGACUAGGUGCCCCAAAUAUCGCAGCUUGAACUUCUCUGCACAACUUUCUAAAGACCAUUCUGAGUUUGACAUGUGUUUAGGAGAUCUAAGUACUUUGUCAAUGCUCCAAGAUAUCGCCUACCUUUUCCUAUUGAUUCAAGUAUAGCAAGAUCACCACAUGCGCCAAUUUGAUCAAAAUUUGAGCUGCUCUGAUCACCUCAUGUCCCAUUCUGAUCAAAAUUUGAGUCACCUUUUUUGGGUUUUCAACUCAAAUCCCCUUUGGUCUCAAGGUGCCUUUUGCAGGUUUUCACAUUGGCCUCUCAUUUUUUUAAAGAACUCAAGGCACCCUUUGCGAGUUUUCACUUUAAUCCAUUUUCUUUCUUCAGGUGAAGUAUUUCUUAAAUGAGUCCGAGUUUACAGGAUUUGGCAAGUUUUUACCAUCCAUCUCGCUCAAAAUCAAAGCUCCUCCAGAAAAGACCUUCUUUACAACAUAAGGUCCUUCAAAAUUUGGAGCCCACUUCCCUCUAAAAUCCUUUUGUAGAGGAAGGAUCUUUUUCAACACCAAGUCCCCCUCGUGGAAUUCUCUGGGACGAACCUUUUUGUUAUAGGCUCGUAUCAUUUGUUUCUGGUACAUCUGAUCGUGAUGAAUAGCUUUUAGUCUUUUUCCUUCUAUCAGGUUCAACUGAUCAUAUCGAGAUUGUAUCCAUUCGACCUCAUCCAACUUUAGUUCAAUUAAUACCCGGAGAGAAGGGAUUUCAACUUCAAUGGGUAAAACUGCCUCCAUCCCUUAAACUAGAGAAAAAGGCGUUGCCUCGAUAGAAGUCCUGAUAGAUGUUUGAUAGGCAAGGAGAGCAAAUGGUAAUUUCUCAUGCCAGUCAUUACAAGUUUCAGCCAUUUUCCCCACAUUUUUCUUGAUAUUUUUGUUGGCCGCCUCUAUUGCACCAUUCAUUUUUGCGCGAUAUGGUGACGAAUUAUAGUGUCUGAUCUUGAAUUGACUGCAGACUUUCGCUAUUGUGCUGUUAUUCAAAUUCAGCGCAUUGUCAGAUAUGGUUCUUUCAGGCAUUCCAUAUCGACAUAUGAUCUCUUUUUUUAAGAACUUACUGAUUGCUGACUUCGUGACAUUAGUAUAUGAAGCCGCUUCUACCCAUUUAGUGAAAUAGUCAAUAACCACAAAGAUGAAACGGUGCCCAUUAGAAGCCUUCGGCGAUAUUGGCCCGAUGACAUCUAUACCUAACAUGGAGAAAGGCCAUGGAGAAGUCAUAACGUGAAGAUGUGAAGGAGGUGCGUGCAUUUUGUCCCCAUAAAUUUGGUAUUUAUGGCACUUCUUGACAUAAUUGAUGCAACCUCUUUCCAUGGUGGACCAGUAAUACCCGAAUCUCAUAAUCUGUCUAGCCAUGGUGAAUCUGUUGGCAUGUAUUCCGUACCCUCAUGGAUUUCUUCCAAAAUUUCCUUGAUCUCCACAGCGUCCACACAUCUCAAUAGUACUUGAUCCUUUCCCCCUUUUGUAUAAAAUCUCUCCAUCUAAGACAUAGUCAAUGGCUAGUCUCUUUAAUGUCCUCUUAUCAUUCUUCGUUGCCUGAUUAGGGUACUCGUAAUUCUUCACAUAUUGCAAUAUAUCUUGGUACCAAGGAUGGUUAUAAUUUUCCUCUUCCUCAAUAAUAUAACAAUGAGCCGGGGUUUCAUAAAUGCUGAUUUGAAUAGGCUUCAUGCCUUCUAGUUUGUUCAUUUUGAUCAUGGAGGCUAGGGUAGCCAGAGCAUCAGCCAUCUGAUUUGCUUAUCGUGGGAGAUAACAAAAAGUGAUACUGUCAAACUUUUCGAUCAACUCCAGAACCAAUCUCUGAUAACGGAUUAACUUUGGGUCUCUAGUUUCCUAUUCCCCUUUGACCUGGUAUAUUACCAAUGCCGAGUCCUCGUAUACCUCUAUUAUCUUAAUUUUUCACUCUAUGGCUGCCUGGAUGCCCAUGAUGCAAGCUUCAUAUUCAGCCAUGUUAUUAAUACAAUCAAAAUCCAAUUUACUAGUAAAAGGAUAAUGAUCUCCAUUUGGGGACACAAGGACUGCCCCAAUCCUAUUACCUACAAACUUUGAAGCUCCGUCGAAAUUUAACCUCCAAGGAUGAUUCUCUUGAGAAUCUUCUUCAGUAGUUGUCACACACAUCAAGUUUUCAUUUGGGAAAUCAAAAUCCAGAGGUUCAUAAUCUUCUAAAGCUCUGCUGGCCAAAAAGUCUACUAUCCCACUCCCUUUGACAGCCUUCUGAUUUACAUAUACUAUAUCAAACUCGGAGAGCAAAAUCUGCCAUCUAGCCAUCUUCCCAUUCAACACAGUUGAGUCUAUCAUAUACUUUAAAGGGUCUAACUUUGAAAUUAGCCAAGUCGUAUGGUAUAGCAUGUAUUGCCUCAAUCUCCGUGUUGUCCAGAUCAAGGCACAACAUAAUUUUUAAUAGGUGAAUAUCUCAUUUCACAAUCAGUGAAUUUCUUACUGAGAUAGUAUAUCACCUUUUCUUUCCUUUCAGUCUCAUCAUGCUGGCCCAACACACAUCCCAUGGAAUUAUCAAACACCGUUAAAUACAAAAUCACCGGCCCAUCCGAACUAGCUAGUGACAGCACUAGAGUAUUGGACAAGUAUUGUUUUAUCUUGUCAAAAGCUUUCUGGCAUUCUUCACCCCACACACCUGGAUUAUGUUUCUUCAAAAGACGAAAUACGGGGUUACAUUUCUCGUUCAGUUGUAAAAUGAACCGAGCAAUGUAAUUCAGUCUUCCUAAGAAACCUCGACCUUCUUUCUGAGUACGUGGUGGAGGCAAAUAUCGUGUCGCCUUGACUUUGUCUGGAUCGAUCUCGAUUCCUUUUUCACUGACUAUGAAGCCCAACAGCUUUCCUAACUUGGCUCCGAAAGUGCAUUUCGUUGGAUUAAGCUUGAGCUGGAACUUUCUCAGUCUUAAGAACAAUUUUCUCAAGACCUGCACAUGUUCCUCUUCUGUUCUGGAUUUUGCAAUCAUAUCAUCAACGUAAACCUCAAUUUCCUUGUGCAUCAUGUCAUAGAACAAGGCUACCAUGGCUCUUUGAUAUGUCGCUCUUGCAUUCUUUAAUCCGAAUGACAUCACCUUAUAGCAAAAUGUUCCCCAUAAGGUAAUGAACGUGGUCUUUCCCAUAUCUUCAGGAUGCAUCUUUAUCUGAUUAUAUCAGGAGAAACCAUCCAUAUAGGAAAACAGUGAAUGACCCGCCGUAUUAUCCACUAAAGUGUCAAUAUGAGGCAAUGAGAAGUUGUCAUUUGGGCUGGCCUUGUUCAAGUCUAUGUAAUCCACACAUAUUCAUACUUUCCUAUAUUUUUUAAGGACUGGGAUGAUGUUGGCUACCCAUUCAAAAUAUUUGACCUCUUGUAAAAAACCAGCAUCAAACUACUUUUUGACUUCCUCCUUUAUUUUAAGCACAAUAUCAGGACUCAUCCUUCUGAGCUUCUGCUAAACUGGCUUGCAAUCCUCUCUUAUAGGAAGGCGAUGCAUUACAAUGUCAGUGCUUAACCCGGGCAUAUCCUGGUAUGACCAUGCGAAGAAAUCUUUCAAUUCUUGGAGUAAUUCAACGAGGUAUCACCUUGUCUUUGUGGAAAUAUCAAUUCCAAUCUUCACCUCUUUUCUUUUUUCUAAGCUCACAAUUUCUAUUGAUUUCUUGUGAGGUAGGAUUUGUUUUUCUUCCUGUUCUACCAUCCUCAACAAGUCCGGAGAUAAAUCACAAUCUACGUCAUCUUCAAAGUCGUGCGAUCCCUCUAAAUACAUGUUUCGUUCAAAAGGAAAUUCAGAAUUUGUAGCAGCGUUACUCAUGUCAUCGAUAUUCAAGGACCUAUUGUAGUUACAAAAGAAUAUACAAAGAAUGUAUGAAUUUAUGAAUAAUUAUUUGUACAGUAUGAUUAUGAAUGAAAGAAUGAUUUAAAAGAAAAUCCAAAAAAAAUUAAAGAAUUAAAAAUAAUUUCUCGUAUGGAAAGAAUGAAAGAAUAUUUGCUCAGAAUGAUUGCAAAUAUGUACUUCAUUAAAAUAAUGAUGUUUCGACAUGAGCCCAUUUCACAAAAGAGUUCUUAUUGUCUCUAGGCUAAAACAAAAAGUGUGUUCUAAAUAUUACUUUAAGAAAGCUCUAAAAACAUCAGGUAUUUCUUCUACGGUCCAAUUAUUUAGAACACUCCCAGGCUCAUAAGGACGUAUAUCUAACAAGGUCCAUUCUUCAUUUGUGUCUUCAUGUAUGGCAUUGAUGUGAACAUUUUCCAACAUCUCUUUGAUGCUUUCUUCCAACAGUAUCCUUCUCUUAGGAUGAAUGAUGCCUCCAGAUACAAAGGUUUUGGAUAUGUGGGGAUUUAUCAUUGGUUCCUAUUUAAUUACCUCCCCAUUUAGGCGUGCCAUUCUUCUUUCUUGCCUUCUUUCUAACUCCUUCUUUCUUUGUCUUAUAUCUGGCUUGUAUCCUAAGCCAAAGCGAUCUUGUUUUUCUUUUAGCACUGGUGCCUCAAUUCUUCCUUGAAGAUGUCUCUCUAAUCCUCUUCCGGGUAAGGCUCCUUUCCCUACCAACAACUGUAACCCCAUCUCUGUGGUUUUGGAUAUUUUAGGCAUUGGAAUUUUGUUCCCCUUAGAAAUAAAUGUUGCAUUUACAAACUCUAAAGAUAGAAAGGACCAUUCAACUGCCUCAUCAUUAGUUUCCACGUACAGCGCAUAAUUGGCUACAGCCGCUAUGAUAUCCUCUUUGGCAUUUAUUGUCACCAACCGACCUUCUGACACUAGUUUCAACUUCUGAAGUAAUGAUGACGGUACAGCCCCCGCCGAAUGUAUCCAUGGUCUUCCUAAUAAGUAGGAAGGCUUGAUAUCCAUUACAAAGAAAUCCACCUCGUAGAUAGUCAGACCAAUUAAUAAGGGUAUUUCGAUUCUUCCCAUGACCUUCCUUUUUGUGCCAUCCAAUGCCCUCACUAUAUUCUGGCAUGUCUUCAUGUGCGAGCUAUCCACGGGCAGUCUGUUAAGUGUGGAUAGGGGCAAUACAUUCAAUGUUCAUCCGUUGUCGAUGAAAACUCUUAGCAAAGUAUACCCUUUGCAUCGGGUAGUAAUGUGCAAAGCUUUAGUAGACCCCAUACCCCCAGGUGGUAUUUCAUCAUCGUUGAAGAAAAUAAAGUUAUCUGCACUUAUAUUAUUGACCAGCCGAUCUAAUUUAUUGACAGAGAUAUCAUUGGCCACUUAGGUUUCAUUCAGCACUUUCAUCAAUGCACUUCGAUGCACCUCUGAGCUCAAGAGUAAGGCUAACACAGAUAUGCGAGCUAGUUGUUUAUGCAGCUGUUACACAACACUAUACUCGCUAUGCUUCAAGAAUUUAAGGAAUUCCUUGGCUUCUUCCUCUUUUACUAGCUCGUUGAUAGGUAACACAGGCUCGGUUGUUGUCCUCUUCUUUUGUUCUGUCACUAUGACCUUUCCUUUAAUAGGUUCUGUUUGAGGACUUAUCAAAUCAUAGUGUUUGCCACUACGCGUAUGAGAACCUAUACCCUGAUCCUCUUUUGCAGCAUUGGCUAAAGUCUCCCUUCCUAGGAUGGUUACGUUGCACUUAUAGUUCCACGAGACUUUCUUGCUAUCCUUGUAAGAGAAGGUUGCAGGUUUCUGAAUUAUGAUUUUUAGCAUUACCGGUACUCCCACUUCAUUAUUCUUUGGUCGCGAGAUGAUGACCAUAGGAUGAUUUACUUUCGGAACCUUUGUCAUUGAUUUCGACGCGCAUAUACUUCGUUCUUCAUUGACUUCUUCGUAGAACUCUACUUCCUUAUCAUCCAUCAUGCCUUGAACCAAGACUCUGAAUUCUAUGCACUCUUGGAUCUUGUGCCCUUCUCCGUGAUGGAACUAAUAAUAAUUUCUCGUCUUUUUGUAGCUCCCUUUUAAAUUCAAAAUGAUUAACCCCCUUUCUACCAUCUUCUUCCAGACCCAUAUCAAAUGAGUUCUUACUUCUGUAAUGUCUGCCUUAAUUCUUCUCCCCAUGUUUCCACUCAUCAUGUUUACCCCAUUAUCAGUAUGAUUAGGUAAUGGAUUUUUUGCACUGGAUGAAUUAUCAAAUUUGACAAUGCCCAUACUAAUGAGCUUUCAACCAGCGUUUUAAAGGCAGUGCAAUUUUCUAUGGAAUGCCCCAUAAUUCCCGUAUGAUAGUCGCAUUGUGCAUUUACAUCGUACCAUUUGGGGUACGGAGGUUGUAGAGGUUUUAAGUAGAAAGGGGAAACAACGUGUGCAUCGAAUAAACUUUAAUACAACUCCCUAUACGACAUUGGAAUUGGCGUGAACUCGAGCUUCUCAGUGUUUUUUCUUGUGUCGAAUUCUUGUCUUGAUGAACCUUGUUGGUUAGCAGCCACCUUUCUUACCUGAUUCACCGUAAUCGAUUUUAAGUAACCCUUUCUAUAUGUACUCAUAUUGUUCACAUUAUUUUCCUUUUUCUUCGAGGCCGACCUUCUGUUACUUUCUCCAGCAUCAAUCUUCCCACUCCUUAUGGCGUUUUCAAUCAUUGCACCAUUCAUGACUAUGUCAGAAAAACUUUUUGUGGCACUUCCUAACAUAUGUAUGAUAAAUGGGGCUUUCAGUGUGUUAAUAAAGAGUAUUGUCAUUUCUCUUUCCAGGAGCGAUGCUGAACUUAGAUGGCAACCUCCCUCUACCUUUGUGCGUAUUGCCUAAAACUUUCAUUCGACUUCUUUUCCAUAUUUUCUAGGGUGAUUCUAUCAGGAAGCAUAUCUGUUACGUGACUGUACUACUUCAUGAAUGCUUGUGCUAAAUCCCUCCAUGAACUAAUCCUGGUACGGCUCAAUUGAUUGUACCAUUUAGAUGCUACCCCUGUGAGGCUAUCUUGGAAGCAAUGUAUUAGCAGUUGGUCGUUAACAUAUCCAGUCAUCCGUCUACAAAACAUGGUAAUAUGAGCUUCAAGGCAACUGGUCCCAUUGUACUUCUCAAAUUCUAGCAUUUUGAAUUUGUAAGGGAGUACCAAAUCCGGGACCAAGCUCAGAUUUUUAGCAUCAAUCCCAUGGUAGCUCUCAGUGCUUUCCAUUGCCCUGAAUUUUUCUUCGAGCCAUUUACACCUUUCCUCUAGCUGUUUUUGCAAUUCCUCAUUUGUUUUUUCUUUUUCAUCCAUUUCAUCGAAUUUAAGGAUAGUAGGAUUAAUAGUGUUAUCUCCAGGGUUAGAGCCUGAUCCGCCUUGAAAGCUCAUUGGUGUUGAGGCACCGACCUGAAACUACUGAGGCCUGAUUGUGACAGAGGAUUUACGCGGGUACACCUCAGCUUGGGUCUGCACAUGUGGAGGAGUAAAGCCUGGGGGAUACAGAGGUCCCUCAUUGUUUCAUUCUUCAACAUUAGCCAUAGGGCCCUUUCCUUUAUUAUUUCCCCCAGCCAACAAUUGAGUCAACUGAGUCAUCAUGUUUCUUUGAGACUCCAACAUUUUGUCCAUCAUAUCUUGCUGAAUCUUAGCUAGCUGCUCUUGCAUUUGCAGCUGAAGUUGGUCUUGCAUUUCAUUUUGGAACAGUUCAAGUCUUUCCAAUCUUUGGUCCAUGUCUUUGGUUUUUGCUCGAGUACCGUAACGAUGUUUGUUUGGUUGGUUGGUUUCCAGAUUAACUGAGGAAUUAUUUUAAUCAAUUAGGAUCUUUUAAUAGUAUUUAAUGCAUAUGAUGCAAUGCAACGUAUGAAAUGAAUGCAAAAAAGGCGUCAAUUCUGAUUCAUUUCCAUUUAGAAAACUUUACUAGAAAAUAAAUUUCUUUACAUAAAAUGGGCUACAAAUAAGGUUUUGCCCUAAUACUUAGAACUCUAAUAUUCCUAAGUAACGAGGCUAACUCUUGCCCCUAAUCUGAUUCCAAUUCAUACUUCACACUCAGCAUAUCGGCCUGCACUGCCAAAGUCUACAGGUGAUCAGCUACCUCUCGAAUCUGAACCACGGCUUCUCCCAUAAUAUGAUCCCUGUUUCUAACUUGAUUCUAAAAGUAGUGAAGCUGCUCAUUAUGACGAUCUUCGUUUGCUUCCAAGUACUCGAUCCGGAUCUCACAAUUUUGCAAUGCCAUUUCUAACUCGUCUAUUCUUUUUUUCAUUUAUUCAAUCCUGCUCAAGCUCGCUCUCAACUCUAUUGUAGAAUUUCAAUUUCGAUACUGACGAAAAGAUCUUUCUAACUCGGUCACUCUGUCCUUUAGUUCACUUUUUUCCUUUUAGUUCUUUGACAAACUCUUCUCUAAAGCCUCAUUUCGUGUUUGAACCUCCUGGAAUUUCCUUUCCCAUCUAUCGACCUUGUUCUUUUCUUCUCGAAUCUCUUCAUGCCACUGCUCUAAAGUUUUCCCAAACCCGACAGUUCUCAUUUACAGGCGCAGUCUCUUAUAAUUUUUCUUCAAGCUAUCUAAAUCCUUCUCAGCUUUAUUUUUCCCUUUUCUUAAUUUUUCAAUCUCGAGUUUUUGAACAUCCAUGUCUAAUCUCAAGUUCAUUUUUUCUUCUUCCAUUUGUUCUAUCUUCUUUUCUAAUUUUGCAUUUCUUCUUUCAAAAUCUUGUCUUAUGAUUUCUAGCUCAGAAGAGACAACCCGCAAAUGUUGCUCUAAUGACUGACUGUUUCCCUAACUUGGCUUGGGGAUAUUAUCAGUGAUCCCCCUAACCCACCAUUCAUUCCACGAUUAAUCUCUUCAUCCGGCGAGUCUGGUUCCAUGCAUUGGACAUCUCUCAAAUCUUCUUUUUGUAACCAUCGCCCUUGUAUGGGAAUUCACACUAAACUAUUCCCUAGGUUGUGGGUAUAAAUUGCCUUGACCUAUACUGCCUGAUUACUAGCAGCGGGGCAUAACCAAUAGCUCCUCAAAUUCCAUGAAGAGGAACCCAAUCAAAAUCACAGCAUUGAUACAGGAUCUUAUCGAGAAGCAACCAAGGAGCUCUCCACUCGAUGUCCUCUUCCUGAAGAUUCUGAAGAAUUGCUACCCAUUUCUACUCCAAGAUGACAUCCCUUCUCGGUGUAGCUACUAUCUCUUUCAGUGGAAAAUAGUUUUCGGAGAAGACCCGAUACGAAACCUUAUCAACCUUCCAGAAGUGACUGUGGAACCAAGUGAUUAGGAGCUGCGUACAUCUGAUGAAUCUACCCUCCCCCGCUUUUCGGCAUAUAUUCAGUGACCUGAAGGUUUCUGCCAAAAUUAUCGGGACUAGUGUAACUCUCUUAUCAAGCCGGUUGAAUAAAUCAGUAACUGCUUCAUCAACGUGCCUAAAGGCUUUGGGGAAGACAACUAAGCCGUAUAUACUCAAAGCAAAGACAUCUACUCUCUUCUUCGUAUCUGGGUGUGCUAGAAUUAGAUCCUUCAAGCUCUUUCAGGGAAUGCACUUACUAUCCCCCUUCUUCUUGAUCCGAGUUGCAACCCACUGCUCGCUCAUCCCAGUUAUAUUCAUCAACUUCUUCAAAAAGGUUAGUACAUUUACAGCUCUCGAGUAGGCUCUGUCUGCUUGAAUCUUUGAACACCAAAGUAAAGCCAUAUAUUCUUCUAUUGUAAGCACCAAAUUGACCUUCCCAAAUGUGAAGCAACUGUAAGCAGGAUUCUAAAACUGGGCGAGAGCUCGAAACAGGUGCUUGUCUACCUUCAUAUCAAGCAGAAAGGAAAAUUCCCAUAAUUAGAGUAGAACAGCUGUCUAACCUCAUCGUUCCAUUGAUCUUAUAUUUCCUUCAACUCUUGCAAACUGUUUUGAGUUAUGCUAAUGCGAGUAAAGUCCCAUAGUUCCAAUGCAUACCCCUCAGCCAAACUAUCACCUUUCUCACGCUGUUUUGUUUCGGACCAAGUUCAGACAAUCGCAUUAUCCUCCGCUUUAUCAAGAAACCCUUUUCCAUGAUAAGCUUUCUAUCUAGCAACUGAAUAUGAACCAACGCCUUUUAUAAUGAAAUGCCAUGUAGUUGAAAUGCCAUGCAAUCAAAAUAAGACACAAAAAGUCAGUAUCAUGUAUAAACAUAGAAUCCAAUACAAUCAAGAAAUAACAAAACACUUAUUUGGGUAUCUAUUAGGGUCUGGUGUAGUUCUACCUAGGGUGAGUUCCUAAGGUUCACUAUGAAGUUUGGCUUCUAGGUCAAAGGUACCUGAACUAGCCGAUUCCUCAAUCCUCACCCAUUAUAGGCUCAUGCAGGCCGAGUUCGGUUCAGUGGAAUACAUUUCCCUAUGACUAUACGGAGAUGAAAAUCUCAUGAAGGCAUAGGUACAAAUGUAUCCCGAAAGUGAUCCACUAUCCUAUACGGAGGUGAGAACCUCACGAAGGAAUAGUUUUUCACUCCCACUUAAAAGGGUAAAAUCGUCAAUCUCAUAUAAUAUGCAAUGCAAAUACACUAACAGACCUAGACCAACCGAGCAAGAAAACAAUAAUGCAAAUGGGAUAUCAUGAAUUUUAAAACAAGUUUUGACUGUUCGACCAUAAGACAGAAAUUAAUCAAUUUGUGGCUCGACUCUUAAAACAGUCCUCAGUGGAGUCGCCAAGCUGUCGAAACCACUUUUUGAAAUGAUAAUAAAUUAUAUAAAAAUAUCAUGUAAUAAUAAAAAUAAUAAUAAAGUAAUGAAUUAAUUAAUAGCAAAAAUAUCAAACAAGACUAAAUUGAAACAAAAAUAGAAAUUCUGGGGCAAAUAUGAAAUAAAUAAAAAUAAAAAAGACCAAAUCGAGUGCACGAAUAACAAGGAGGGACUAAAGCAGAAAAUAUCCCCGCCCUGCCAAAAUGCAGCACCUUACAUGGAGCAAAAAUGAAAUCAAAGUAAAAUUUUAAGGCAAAAUUAGGAAUAAAAGAAAACUAAAUUGCAAAACCAUUAAAAGGUGGAAAGAACGAGGUUGUAAAUAACCCAUUUAACAAAAACACGUGGAUCCCAGUGGAGUAGGUCGGGUCGCGCACGGGUGGCCCUAUACGGCGUCGUUUUCGAUUGUUAUGUAAACCAAAAAAGCUGUUUUAAAAAAACAUUUUUAGAAGCUAUUUUUUGUUCAAAAAAAAUAGGGGCUCUUCUCUGCUAGGGUUUCACAUCCCAACUAGCCCACCGUGCCUCCACCGCGAUUCCACCGUGAACGGUGGUUGAAGUUGCACCACGAAUGGCCUUUCGCUCCUUUUCGCGUGAAUCCGAAGGCGUCUAAGGUAAACCCUCUUCUUCCCUUUUUAAUAUAUAUAUUUUAUUUAAAAAAACAAAUCGAAACUAAAAGGAAAAAAAGGGAAAAAAAUAGAAUACUACAUUCUAUCUCUCAAAAAAACUCAAAUUGCCAGUAAAUCAUUUUUUUGAUUGAUCUUCUCCCUCCCUUUUUAAAAUAUCAAGUCUGCUUUUUAUAGAAGAUAAUGGAAAAAGAAAAUUUUAAAAAAAAUCUAAUUUUAAAUGCGUUAUCUGCUUGUUGCCUUUGGUUUGCAAUUUUUCUGAUUUUCUUGCUUUUUUUCCUGCCCGUGCUAUUUGUUGCCAUUUUUGUUGUGCAGGUACAAGCUCGGAGAGGACGCACGAGCGCAGAGGCGCAACACGUGCGGCACCUGGAUCUUCUAGGGUUUCUAUUUCGUGGUCUAGGGCUAGGCAUUGGGCCUCUGUAAUUGGGCCACUGUUUCUUGGGUUAGAGAUUUAGAUUGGGUCUUAGUGUAUUUUGCAUUUGGGCUUGUAAUAGGAUUUGGGUUUUGGCUAGCAAUUUUAAUGUAAUUGGACUGUAUUUGGACUUUGAAUUUUGGUUUUAUUUAUUUAUAUACGGGUCAGGCAAAUUGGGCCAAUUACAGAGUAAACACAAGAUGAAUAAUUCCAUCUUGAAAAGAAUAAAUACUUGACUUUUUUGUCUUAGCUAGCACUUGACACGACUCGACAACUGUAGAAGCUUUCUGCAACUUCGUGCUUUAAUGAGCAUCAAGUUGAAAAUGCUCCAAUUAAAUCUUCAUGUGUAGCUUUUCUUGCUCCGUAAAAUCGUCCAAAUAAAAUUCAUUCAUAAGCUUGUAGAUAUCUUCCGCCCAAAAAGCUUUGUAAUUAUCGCGUGGAUCCAAAGCAGAGCUAAGAACAAGUAACUCCACUACCUCAUCAUUAAAGUAAGAAUUCAUUUUUGUUAGCAAUGAAUCGAUACUAGUAAUGAAUAUAUCAAAGCUUUAGUGAUGCUUAAUUGUGAGGUUAUCUCUCUAGAUGCGAGACCAACCUCGACCAGCUUUGUACGGAGCACUUAAAUUUGAGACUUUUAUCUCAUGAUCUUUACAAAAUAAUUCAACUUUCUCAAAAAAAGGAUCCCACCCGUGUUCUUUGAAUUUCUAAAGAAGCGUUUUAGCUUAUGACAUCGGCUGCAUCACAUUUAGUAUGAACUUUGAGCAUAUGAAAUUUGUGUUGUUUAUGUCACAGUUGGUUCCAGUGCGUUUGGGCAAUAUUUUCCUUCUGGAUUUUCUUUGGUGUAUCAACAAUUAUAUUAACAAUGCAGUUGUGCCAUCAGUCUUAUUAGGUGCACAAUUUCUUGCCAUCUUUCAGCUACAAACCUGUUACUGUGAUAGUCUGAGGGAAGGUUUCCGUAGGAAAAAGCAAAAUAAUUCUUCUAGUUCAUCUAAUGGUUGUGGCUCAAAUGUGAAAUGCAAUAGUAGUGUUAAAGUAGGUCAUACUAAAAAUAUCAUCAAAGGUAGUAGUUAGAGUAUGGUUCAAUGCUCCUGUGCUAGUAUUUGGAAUAGCCUUGUUAUGUAUCCACUUCUACUUUUCAAGAAGGGUUAAAUAGAGAUAAGAGUAUAGACAGUGAAAACCAAGUUUAGUAUUGCAUAGCAGUUCUCAUUACUUCGAUGAUCUCGAAUUUCGCUAGUUAGUUAAAGCUGGGUAUCAGGUUGGGUAUGAACUAUUACGGGUUAUAAUGAUUUUCAAUGAGAUUAAGAGCGAGCUACAAUAAAUUUUAUGUCUGGAUUAUUUUGACGUUGAGAAGAAAUGCUUGAAUUAAAUUUCAUAGAGCUAUGACACAAGCCGAUCGACAGUUUGAAUGAGAAACUUAGAUUCUGAAAUACAUAAUACAUGGAUAUAUCAAUCAGAUCGGAGACAGUUGGGAAAAUUAUAAUUAUGGGUUAAAUUUGUUUUUGAUAAUAGAAGCUAGCAGAUUUGUAUUACAAAGGUACCAUUGGAAGCUUUUCAUGGAUGGAAUGUAGAACCCAGGUAUGCUACACAGAUGGAGCGACAACAAAUUAGUUGGGCCAGAGUAAUGGGAACUAUUAUCAGUUACGAGUUUCUAGUGCCGAUGAUGAAAUUAUUACAGGGAAACAUCAAAUUUAUUUAGUCAAGUUUGGUAUCUACUUAGUCUAAGCCAGAUAAGAAUUCAUUGUUUAUAAUUACGUUUCAUUCAGAUGACCUUGAAUCAUGAUGGUUUGAUUAAAAUGAAGUUAAGAGUUGAACCGUUAAUUCUACAGAGAAAUUUUGAGACACAGAGAGAAAUAUUUGAAUAUGUGCACUGAAUAAUUUUGAGAUUUUAUAGGACAUCCUAUAUGAGGUUCAUGGCAUUGUUUAUUUGAUCUCUAAAUCAGAUAGCAGCAAAAUGUAUAAGGGCUUGAGACAAAGUUACUGGUGCUCAGGAAUAAAACGUGAGAUUUCAAAGUUUAUACUGAGAUAUCUGAUAUGUCAAAAAGUCAAAGUAGAAUAUCAAGUAAUGUCUAUAAUAUUACGGUAUUGUAUGAAUUCUGAUUGGGAAUGAGUUACAAGACUACCUUUGAGGAAGAGAAAGAAGACUUGAUUUGAAUAACUUUUAUUAGGUGAAAAAAGAAUUUUGAGGAAGAAAUUUUCUUAAGGGGAAAGUUGUAACAACCCGUUUUUCAGCAUUGUCGAAAACAGUGGUUUUGAGGCUAUAAAUUCGAUGAGUGAUUUUGUAAAUAUUACUAUUUAAUAUUUACAAGUCAAAUAUUGUAUUAUAUUUGAUUUUGAUAUGGUAGUUUAUGUUAUUUGAAUGAAUAAUUUAAUUUAAGUGGUGUCCCUAAAGUCAAGUGGGUUUAGAAAAUAAGGUAUCGAAACCUCAUUUCUAUAAAUUGAGCCCAUAAAUAUUUUAUUAAAAUUUGGUUAAGAAAUUUUAAGGUUUAGGUAGUUAAUUAAUUAAAAAGGAUUAAAUUGCAAAGGUUGCAAAAGUAGGUUUCUAUUGAUUAAAUGGAUUAAAUGGCUAUGGAAAGGCAAACUAAAGGAUCUAGAUGGUAAUUAUACUAUAUAUAUUAGUGGUGGACAAAUAUGGACAUAUUCUAGUUACUUUAUAAGUUAUAACUUAAGGUUAAAUAAGUAAAUAAAUAAAUAAAAGUUUAAUUUAAUAAGCCAAAAUAGCAUCAUCUUCUCCAAAUUGCUAAUUUUUCAAAUCGAAACCCUUGUUGAGAAGAUGAAGCUUUCGGCCAUGGAGUUUUACAUGCAUGGUAUGUUGUUAAGUCAUGUUUUUAGUGAUUUUUAUAUUUUUAAGCUCAUAUUAACUUAAUUUAGUUAGCCUAGGGGCAAUUUGUAAAGUUAUGAAAUGUUUAGAAUUAUGCCAUGGAUGUAAUUGAUGUGUUAUGAAUUUAGAUAAUUGAUUAUUAAAUUUGGCUGUUAAAUAAACAAGUUUUGUUAAGUAAUUUUUAGUGAUUUUAAUGUUUAGGGAUUUAUUUGUGAAUAUGGUAAAAUUCAAGGAAAACAUUGUAAAUUUUUGAUAAUUAUGGGUUUUUAUAAGAUUGGGUAAAAAUCGGCUAGCAUGAAUUAUGGUUAAAAAUGGUGAAAUUUCAAGUUUCGGGUUUAGGGACUAAAUUGCAUAAAAUUAAACUAUUAGGGAUAAUUUUGUAAUUUUGCAAUAGUAUGGAUUAUAAGCUUGAAUUAAAUAUUUUAAGUUAAUUGAAUGGUUUAAUUGAUUGGAAAAUUAUUAUUUAGAUCAAGAAACGCUACAAUUGAAGUUAAAUCAAAGAAAAGCUUAAGUUUUAGAUUAGUUGUCGACUCCGUUUUAACAACAGUUCUAGUUGAGGUAAGUUCAUUUAAGGAUGGAAAUUCUUAUUUUUUCCAUUUUGUAUGAAUACAAAUAGUUAUUUAUGUUAUGCUAAAAUUAAUUGAUAAAGAUGUGAUAAAUUAAUCGAAUUAAAUAAUAUGAGAACUAAUACUAAUGUAUUUAGUGAUUUUUAAUUAUAGAUUGUAUAGUUUAAAGGUUACUUUAAUUAGAGUAAGUUCAUAGUAUUUCAAUAUGUAAAUGUAAUUUGCUAGUGAAUUAUAUUAUCGUUCUUUAGUCAAUUGAUGUACAUAUGUAUAUAGGUGAAAUUACCUUGGAUAUUUAUAUAACUAUGUGUGUUACAAAUAUUUUUGUAUCUAUGAAGUUGAUAAAGAAUAUUAGUAGUGCUUUUCUUGGAAUCAUAUUAAAAUUAUAUAUGAAUGAAAUGAAUUUAAAUAUGUAUACGAAAAUGAAGAAAGUGUUCCUGAAAUGCACAUUAGUGCCCCUGUUUGCACUUUGGUGCCCUUAAAUGCACAUUUGUGCCCCUGAACACACAUUUGUGCCCCUGUUCGCACUUUGGUACCCCUGUAUACACUUUAGUGUCCCUGCUUGCACGUUUGUGCUCCUGUUCGCACUACGGUGCCCUUGUAUACAAUUCGGUGUCCCCGUUUGCACGUUUGUGCCCUGUUCGCACUUUAGUGCCCCUAUUCUGUAUAUUCGAUGCCCCUGAUAAUGGAGUAAUGAUCGAUUAUGUGAACCGAGUACUAAUGAUUUGGACUAAAUGAUAUGGAUUGUUACAUGGAAUUGGUGUAAUUACUCGAGUACUUAAGUUAAGUUCCUAGUUCAUCGGGCUAUGAAAUAAUUGAAUUGCAAUCUAUUUAUAUGCUUAUAUAUUACGUCAUAAUUAUGGUAUUUGUAAGUGAAACAUAUUAUAAUGAAUUUAUUAGUUACAUGUAUGGAUUGUUACUUUGAGGAUAUGUGACUUAUGGCAUGAAAAGUCCUUUGAAUUGAAGGUUGUUUUAAUGUAUUUUGAUUGAAAAGGUAACAUUUGAGUUAUGUGGACAAAUGAUUUAUAUAGUGAAAUUCUUUUCAUAGUAUGAACGAGUUAGUAAAACUUUACAGAAUAUAUGAUUGUAUAAAAUGAUCUAUGAUUUAAUGUAAGAAUAUGAAAUUUAUGAUAAGGUUAGUUAAAAGAAGAUGAAGGUAUAUGAUAGUCAUAUAAUAGAUGAUUGGUGAAAUUGAAAUGCUUGAUAUAUUUUAUGCAUCAUUUGGGUUGGAUUUAUGUGUAUUGCUUCACCUAUUAACCUUUUGAAGUAUGAUGUAUAGGCAAAGGAAAUUUUGGUCUAUGAUUAAAUGAGUUUUCUCAUGGUUGAUUAAUCCAAUGCAAUUGGUAAGUUUAAGAUCUUUUAUAUGAGCUUAUUAAGCAUUAGUUGCUUAUAUAGUUGUUUUCUUUAUUUUGUAGAUAUAACAGCCCGGUUUAGACCUUAUUCGGACAGUGGUUUCGGGACCACAAAUCUGAGUCAGAAAAAUAUUUUAAUAUAAUUUUCGUGCUUAUAGUAUGUGAAUUGAUAUGUGUAAAAUUUUCGUGAUUUAAUUUAUCUGUUUGUGUGCUUAAUUUGUGAAAAGGGCUAACUCACAUAAAAAGUAAAAGUGGCAUUCUUAUUGUUAAUAUGCUAAUUUGUUAUGAUUCGAUUUAUGGGAAGUCCUUAAAAGGUUAUUGUGCCAUUAUAAAGUUAGUGGACAUUUAUGUCCAUGAUUCAAAUGACUUAAAUUAUUGUUUUAUUUAGGUUAAAAUAGUAAAAAGGUUAAUAACAUUAAAUAAAAUAAAGUAAAACAUAAAAAAAGGCCAUGCAUGUUCAUUUUAUUUGUCCGAAAUUUGAGAAAGGAAAAUAAGCUCUUGAGCUUUCAAGUAUUCGAGACUUUGGAGCCAAAAAGUUGGUAUGUUUCUUGUUCGGUUUUCGAUAAUUUUUACGUUUUUGAGAUCGUUGCUUCGUAUUCUAGCUAGCUCGUGUACUAAUUUUUGAAUUGGUUAAUGAAUUUGUGAGUUGCCAUUGAUGAUAGCUUGAUGUUUUUGUUUCUUAAUGAUGAAAAAUAAAUAUUUGUUGAUAGAUUAUUAAAUUUUGUUAAGUAAUUUUUGAUAAAAAUUCAAAUUAGGGAUUUAAUUAUGAAAAUGAGAAAUUGAGGGGCUAAAAUGUGAAACAAAUGAAAUAUGUGGGCCUAUAUGAGCUAAAGGAAUAUUCGGCCAAGCUAUGAUGUUGUCAAAUUUUGAAUAUUUUGUGUUUUGUGAAAUAGGGACUAAAUUGUAAAAAAUGUGAAAUAUUAGGGGUUAAAUUGAAAUUUUCCCAUUUAUGUAUUUUUGGAAUAAAUUUGAAUGAAAUGUGUUAUUAAAUAGCUAAAUUUGAAUUUAUUUAGAUCAAGAACAAAAGAAAACAGAAUUAGAACGAGGGAAGUCGAAAGUGGUCGAGUAGUCGAUUUCAUCCGCUUGUCUUCGUCUAAGGUAAGUUCGUAAGUAAAUUAUUGAAGUUAAAUUUACUGUAUUUAUUUCAUGUAUAGCCGAAUCUAAAUGUGUAUGUGUACCCUAUAAUGCUGAAUUAUAUUUGACAAAUGAUGAUUAAUUACAUGUUUUUAAUUGAUUAAUUUACGACAUCUGAAAGUCAUACGAACUACAGAAAUGCUGAAAUGUGACAUCGUGUAAGACCACGUCUUGGACGUUGGCCUCGAUUUGAGAUUUGCAUGUAAGACCAUGUCUGAGACAUUGGCGUCAUAUAAGAUUACAUGUAAGACCCUGUUUGGGACAGUGGCAUCGUUGUUUGAUUACUUGUAAGACCACGUCUGGGACGUUGGCAUUGUACGAGCUUUUUAUGCCGAUCGAGUAUCAUUUCUCUGAAUUCGAAAGGUAUAACGGGAAAUCAUAUGGUAAAACCGAAUGUGAGUUUGAUUUAAACAAUUCAGGUAUGUUUAAGUUAUACGAAAUUGAAAGUAAAGGUAGGUAGUAUAAAUAAAACAUGAAAAGAAGAAUUAAUCGUAUAAAAAUGAUUAUAUAUGUAUGUGUACAUGAAUAGUAGAAUUCGGCCUACAAGUGUAAUUUUUAUGAGUUCUUUGAAAAUUAUGUGCUUACAACUUACUAAGCUAUUUAAGCUUACUGUGUGCUUGUUCAUUCAUUGUUUUAUAGAUUUUGGAAUCUUGUUACGAGUUCGGGAGUCGUCAAGGAAGUCCGUCACACUAUCGAUCUCUAUCUCGGUAUUUUGAAAAUUCAAAAUUUUGAACAUAUGGCAUGUAGAGGCUAGUAUUUGUAUUGUUUAGUCAUAAAGUGUGUAUAUAUAAUUAGCCAUGCGAAAAUGGCUUAAUCUUGAUAUUAAUACUUAUGUGUUCGGUUAUGGUAAUAGUAUAUUAUGAAAAAAUAUUUCAUGGUAUUUAUAUAUGUGUGGUAUUUGAUUAUAUAGAUUUGUUAUAAUGUUUAAGCUUGUGUAUUAUGGCCAGAGUUUGAACCUAUUAUGAAAGUAGGUUAUUGGUAUAUAUAUAUAUGCAUGAGAUGUGAAAAUAAUUUUUGAAUGGUGGAUAGUUGUAUAAUUUAGCUUAGUAAUGUAGUAAUGAUAGAUAUGUAAUGGAUAAGCAUGCAUAUAUUAUAUAGGUUUGGAAAAAUGAAUUUUUAGGUAUAGUUCAUGAUGAAAUUGACAUGAUUUAUUUUUGGAGGUUAAUUGUGAUGAUCGAAUAUGUGGUUAAGGGAUUGGCUAUGUGUACGGAAGUUUUAAGUAUGUGAUUGAAGUGUACUUAAAGUAUGAUAUAUAUAUAUUCGAAAUGGUUCAAAAUAGCAUGGUCUCUUGCGCAUAAAAUUGUAAUGAGAAAAAAAUGUAUGAUUUGGUGUUAUAAUUUGAGGUAUAAUUAUCUUGGAAAUAGUUUGUGAGUUAGUAUAUAAUGUGCAUGCAAAUUCGGAUAUUCAGUAGUGAAAAUAAAUGUAUAAACUAGUAAUGUAACCACUUAAGGUUGGUUUACUAUGAAUAGGUUCGUGAGGGUAUGAUAUGUUUCAAUAUGAGUGAUUGAAGUUUGCUCAAAAUAUUGUGGAUAUAUGCGCAUAACCUCAUGAUGAGUGAAAUGGUAUAUUUGGCCUUAUUGUAAUGGUUAUAUAUAUAUGGUAUGGCUUGAUUAUGGAAUUUGCAAAUGAAGUAUACUAUGAUUUGUAGUACGUGUUAUAAAUUGGUUUAUAUUAAUUAGGUAAAUUGAGUGUAAGACUCUGAUGAUUUAAAUUUCAUACUUGACCACUUGUUGAGGUUGGUUAGGCUGAAUAUGUUGGGUCUAUAUGCUGUGUGAUAUUGCAUAGUAGUAUAAUUUGUAUGGUAUAAGUUUUAUAAUAAUAUAAGCUUAGAUAAUAUUGUUUUUUUUAAAGCAAAUGAGAUGAAUUUAGGAGUUUUAAGCUCUGAAAUUUGAAUGGGAUAAAUGUAUUGAUGUGGUUAAUUUAUGAAACAGGAAUUGUAAUGAAUGUGUUAUGAGCUAUGAUUUGUUCGGUAAUGCCUCAUAAUCCUAAUCUAGCGACGGAUACGAGUUAGGGUUGUUACAGUAGAUCAUCGGAAAGCUCGAACAGUUGGAAUCUUUGUCGGGGCACGAUCACACUAUCCAUCGAUCUACUUUGGUAGCUUUUGAAUAUAUUGAAAUGGUUAUAAGUGGCAUGUAUAGGGUUGUAUGGUAUUUUGGUAUGAUUUGAAUGUAAUAAGGUUUUAAGUUUUGAUUUGGUGAUUGGAUUGUUUUUGAAUGGUUCCAAGUCAUUUUUGUUUAUGUCUUUUGAUAAAGGUUUGUUAAUGGUGUGUAUUCAUAUGGGAUGAUAGUAGCUAUGCACACUCUCAUGUAGGUAAAAAGAAAAAGGUUGUUUGAUAUGUUUGUGAUAUGGUCAUUUGGUAUGCAUAAGGAAUGCUAAGUGAUGUAAAAUUAUAUUGUUGAAUAGGUUCAAAAUUUAUUGUAAUAGUGGUACCUAUUGUUGGAACAUUGGUUAGAACAUAUAGGAUGAUUGAUUUGGUAUAUUUUGAGCAAGUUUGGAAUAAGUUUUGGUUUUUUGAAUUCUUGUGGAAAUGGUGUGUAUUGAUGUGUAAGUUUUGGCUUGAUUUUAGCUUGAUUAAUGGAUUAAUUUGGAAGCACAUAGCCUGAGACACAGGCUGUCAUGCGGUCGUGUGGCACACACAGGUAUCCCUUACGGCCAUGUGUGCUUUGUUAGUUUUGGUGCAAGAUUCACACGGGCUUAGACACAGCCGUGUGUCUCAAGUCAGAGAGUUAUAUGGUCUAUGACACGGGCUGGGUCACGGCCGUAUGCCCCUACUUCGAAUGCUCACACGGUUUGAGCUGUGUCACACGGCCGUGUGACCACUGUUUUUUAAAUUUUCAAGUUUUUCCUAAAAUUUAUGUUUUGAUUCAUUUUGAUCCCUGAUUGCUUUUAAGUUAUUUUUAGGGCCCCGAAAGCCUGAUUUAAGGCCUAAAUAAGUAUGUAUGCUAAGAUUGGAAUGAAUUAUUGGUAAUUAUACUUAAGUUGAAUUAUUUGUUCAGAUUUAAAGUUAAAGGUUUCGUAUUGUACAAUAACGCUCUAUAACCCUAAUUUUUCGACGAAGAUGGGUUUAAGGGUGUUACACACACACACAUAUGCACAAUUGAUUCCAUGGCAUUAUACUAUAUCAUUUCGAUAUCUUUUAUUAAGCCGCAAACUCAAACCAAUUUCACAUAACUCAUUUUAUUACCAUAUUAUAUUGUCAAUCUAUUUCAUUACAUUUUGAAGUUUCUAAUUUCAAUUAUAAUAUCAUGAUCGAUGAAACCAUUCAUAAGUCCACAUCAUAUCCUGAAAUUAUUUUCAAUUACAUAUCAUACCCUAAAUUCGAUAGUAUUUGCAUACUCGUACCCUGUACACUUUUCUUAUCGUAUGACAAUGAUUUCAUUACAAUUCAAUCCAAUAUAUAUGUUCACAUUCAAUUUCAGAAUCACAAUUCAAUUCAUCAUCAACACAUAAAAUAUCAUGAUAAACAUGUCUUAUGAAUCAUCUUAAAUAUGAACAAAUAACUAGUUAGAAAUAUAUCAUAUUAACAUGUCAUUUCCCAAACUGGAUCGUUGAAUUCGUCACAAUUUCAUACCAAUCUUUCGGACUUAUAAAUCCAGUUUACAAAUUCCUUUCACAUUAACAAUUAUUUUCAUUAUAAUUAUAAAUUUUUACAUAUUAAAUCCUUAUUAACUUGACUCGGACACGAACGGAUACACAAAUCCAACCAACAUCGCAAUUUGGCACUCGGUGCCUCAUCGAAUAAUUUUCAAAGAAAAUAGAUUGUACCCAUCACUCAUCAGUAUGACCAAAGCGAAAAUUGUGCCCAACACUCAUCGACACAUAGUCAAAGUAACCAUUUGGCACUAGAACAUCCGAAGUAAUUAUUUUGUGUCCAACGCUCAUCGGUAUAACGAAAUAAAGGUUGUGCCUAGCACUCAUCAGAACGUUCGAAGUAAAAUGUGUCCCAUGCUCAUUGACAUAUAGUCGAAAUAACUCCACCCGAGCAGUUAAUAGGGUAAAAAUUUAUCCAAUUCCCUUAUAAGUUCAAUUCUCAUUCUAUCGAUAUCAAUAUCAUUAAUUUAUCACUCAUGAUAUCAUUUCAUACAUAACAUAGCAUACCAUCUCAAUUCCAAUCCAAUUUCACCAUUUCAUUUAGUUUUAAUAUUUUCACUUUUAUUCAAUUUAAUCCUUAAUCUCAAUUAUCAAUUAAAUUCACACCAAUGUAAUUUGAUCAAUCAUAAUAAACUCAAAUAAUCAUUUUCAAUUUACCUCAAUAUCAUACAUUGCAAAACAAAAUAAAUAGGUAACAAAUAUAAUGAUUCAAUUUAUAGAAAUACAAACAUAACAUGAAUUAACAUAAUAAGUUCCAUAUGAACUUACCUGGCAAAACAACAACCAAAUGAGCUUUUAAGGGCUAUUCGACAAUUUUUGCUUUUCCGCGAUUAGCCUUGAUUUGGUUCAAUUCUUGAUCUAUAAAAUAAUUCAGUUCAAUUUAUCAAUUCCAGACAUCUCAUAUCAUUCUAUUAUAAGCAUGUAUAAGUUCAAUUUCAUUUUUAAAUGUCCCUUAAAGUUUUUAAUUUUAUUCAAUUUAGUCGCUAAAACCGAAAUAGUCAUGUCUUUCAAAUUUGAGCUUCCUUUUACAAUCUGAUUUCAAUCUCAUCCUCUAUAACCUCUCUACUAUCUAUUUUUAUCAAAAUCUCAUAACAUCUUUACAAAUAAGUCACUUUAAUCCUUAUGUUACAAAACUAACAUUUAAACUUUAUAUAAGCUUAAAAUCUAUCAAUUUAAUACAAAAAAAAACUUUAAGAAAUCAACCUCUUAACACACGCACUUCACCCAGAAGACUGAUAUACCCUGUCACUUAGAAAUUUUCCAAGUUCUGGGAAUAUAGUUCUGCAUUCAUUGACCUCGCCCUCUGAGUGUUCUCUUUCAUGACAUUCCUGAUGUAAUACCCCGAAAAUUACUACAGUAAGAAAGUAAGAUAGUAUCCUUGAUAUAGUAAAAUAAAGAAAUAAAGUGACAGAAAGGAAAAUUUUGAUUUAUGUCAACAUUGGGAAGUAUAUUAGGACAUAUUAAGGCAAGAAAGGACUAAUUCGCAAAAGUGAGAAAAGUUUUGUUGCCCAAGAGUAAAUACUUAAAAUUUGAGGGGUUAAAGUGUAAAUAUGAAAAAGUUAAAAGAUCAAUAGUGCAAAUAUUUUAAGAUUGGAAUGAUCUAGAAACUAAGGAAAAUGGAUGAAUUAGGACCAAAUUGAAUAAGUGAAGAAUUAUGAGGGACUAAAUCGUAAUUUUACCAAAUUGAGUAAUGACUCAAGGAUGGAAUUUUAAAAGAUCAUGAAGGCUAAAAUGGUCAAUUAGAAGGAGAGAGAAAUCUAGAAGACAAUGAUGAUGUUGGUGAUAUUUUAGAUAAUUAAAUAAAUAAAUAUUAGUUUAUAAUAUCUUGAUUUGAUUUUUUUAAUGAUAUUUUAUUAUUUUAUUAUUUUAUUUAGCAUAAAUAUAUGUGGAAAGAAAGAUGAAAAACCACCAUCCCACCAUUUUUCCCAUGCACCAACGUGAGAAGAAGAGAGAAAGAAAGAAAGUUUUGCUUUCUUUACAAUUUGGUCUUUCCACCAAAAACUUACCAUUUUCACCUAGAAAUCAGAAGAAUUUCCAUAGCUACCAAGAGAGAAAAAUGUUAAGAAGACUAUAGGGAGUUAUAAUAUCAAGUUGAAUUCAAGAAAUAGAAGCUGGAGGAGUGAGAAAAAUCAAGUUAAAGAUUGAAAUCAAUAUGACAAGGUAAGAACAUCAAGAUUUUAAUAUAUUUUUAAGUUUGAUAUUAUUGAAAAUGUAUGGAAAUGAUGUUAAUGUAAAGUUUUCGUAUAUAUGGUCCUAUGUUCUUGAUAUGUUAGUGAAGAGAAAAUAAGUAAAAGUGAUGAGAAAUAGUGUAGAGAAAGGGAAAAAAAGGGUGUUAUAAACAUGGUAAUUAAUAUCUUGCACUAAAAUAGUUUUGGACAGUAGCAGUAGUCUAACUUUGAAAAAUCACCAAAAAUUGCAAAAAUCGAAUUAUAGGAUGAAUAAAAUAUGAAAUUAAAUUUUAUUGAGUCUAGUUUUUCAUAGAAGAAGCAAUGUAAGCAAUGGAAUUAUAAAUCAUGAGAUAUAAUAAAUUUUGUGAGACAAGGUCAGAAUGAUUUCGGGUUCCCCUAUUUUGAUUUUAGAAAAUCAUAAAAAAUUGGAGAAAAAUAAUUAGGGGCUUAAAUUCAUAUGUUUCAAAUCUUUAAUGAGUCUAUUUUUAAGAGAAACAAAUAGGAACAUCAUUCGAAUCCCGUACGAGGAGAUAAUUAAUUUUUAGUGAAAAAGGGUCCGAAUUGUCAAACAAUAGAACAGAGGGGACUUUAAAGAAUAAACUGUACUUAUUGGCAAAACCAAAACUUAUGAAAAUUUUAUGUAAAGAUAUAUGUGAGUCUAGUUUCAGAAAAAAAUUUCAGAUCCUAAUUUGGAGUUCUGUAGCUCAAGAUAAAAAUAAUUUAGUGACUAUGACACGGAUGGACAGCUUUGAAUAAAUUUAUAAGUAAAUAGUGAAAUAAUAGAUAAUGUUACUUAUAAGCAUGUUAUAUAAAUUAAGGAUGUGGAAUGGAGAGGAGGAGGAUGAGGAGGAGGAAAAUAUAUAUAUGAAUAUUCAACUAACAUGGCUAAUUUGCAUGAUUUAGGCUUAGGGACUAAAUUGAAUAAAAGAAAAACUUUAUGGGCAAUUUUGUAAAAAUUUCAAAAAUGACCAAAUUAUAUGAAACAAAUUGUUUUAUUAUUUAAAUUACAAAAUUAAAUGAAAUUAUUAAUUUAGAUCAAGAUCGGGUGAAAACAUGUUUUAGGGAUUAAAUUGAAAAGUGUUGAAAUUAUGGAAAAUUCUGAUAUUUCAUAGAAUUCAUGGGUUGCUAUCAAUAUGUAUGAGAAUAAUUAGGCUUGAAACAAGGAUUAAAUUACAAGAAUUUUAUUUUUCUGAGCCUAAGGAUAAAAUCGUCAUUAAUUAAAAGCUUAAGGGUAAAAUGGUAAUUUUUCCUAGAGCAUUAAUUGAAUGUAUCAGAAUAUGAAAUGAAUGAAAAUGAUGAUCAAAAUUAUUAAUAAAGAUCUGAAUGACUCAAAUAUGAGACUUGAACAUGGAAAAGAAAAUAUAUCAGAUUAGCGAAAUUAUAAACACGAACAAGCAACGAGGUAAGUCCGUGUAACCUGAAUUAUAUUCUUAAAUGCUUGAAAUGUAUGUUAUUGAUGUGAAUAUGAUUUAAAUGUUCAUUGUAUGAAAAUUUAUGAAACUUUGAAAUAUUCGAUAAAAAAGGGAAGAAAUCCCGGUUGAAUGGAAGGAAAAUUCGAUGGAUCUCUGAAAAGGAAUUGACGAUAAAAAGGAUCUAGCCCGGAUGGGUGAUCCUAUCUUGAUAUAGCCCUCUCGAAGAAUAUGUGUAAAAUGGAUUUAGCCCGGAUGGGUAAUCCGAAUUAGGGUCUGAAUUUAGCCUGGACUGGUAAUUCAGAUCCAAGCUCAUUAGAGUAAUUGUUGUUGCAGGGGAUUUAGCCUGGACUGGUAAUCCCGACAAUACUCUAUGAGUUUAUAUUACAGGGGAUUUAGCCUGGAUUGGUAAUCCCGCUGUAAGGAUGAGGCUCGCGGGAGUGUACUCUCUAAAAUGGAAAUGUGCGCAUAUGAAUAUAAAUUGACGGACCUGGUAUUGUACACUAAAAGUGUACCUUUGAAAGUCCAUCGAAAUUCUGAGAAAUUCAUCGGGAUAAUAUGGGAAAUAAUAGGGUAAUUAAGUGAAAAUUUAAAUCGAACGAAAUGAAUAAGUUGAGCCAUUGAAAGGAAACGUGAUUGUGGAAUAUAUUUGAAAAUGUGAAUUGAAUAUGAAAAUGUGAAUAGAAAGCAUGAACUAAGUGUUCAUAAGAUAAAUAAAGGCUCAAUGUAAGAGUAAAUGAUGUUAACAAAUGAAAACAAAAUUGAAUUGUAAAUAUUGAGCAAUGAAUUAUUAUAGGAAAUAUAUUAUCAAAUUUAAUACUGAUUUUGGAUUAAAUGCGGGAUUAAGUACAAUCGUUCUGUGGUAAAUGAUGAAUUGACGGAUAAGACCAUAACUGGGUUAUGGCAUUAUGAACAUAAGACGAUGGUUGGACCAUGACACUGUUUAUAUGUUCAAGACCAUAGUUGGACUAUGGCACAAAAGAACAAUGUACUCAUAUCUGUAAGUCGUUCUUCGAUUCAGAAAGAAACGGUAAAAGACUUAUGUGAUUGAAUUGAAAGAUUUAUAGAUUAUUAUUGGUAUUGAUCUGAAAUAAAUGUAUCCAUUGAUAUUUAAAUGAUAUAACGAGCAAAGUUCUGAUGUGAGAUAACAUUAGUUUGAAGUGAACUAUUACUGGUAUGUACGAGAAAUUCAUGAAAAUGAUGGUACAUGAAAUAUCGAAAUAAAGAAAUGAAUGAUAUAUGCCUAUGAAGAAACUGCAAGAGAAUGAUAUGUAUCAUUACAUGUAAAUAUAUGAUUAUCUUUAAUAUGUUGAUACAAGGAAAUUAUGUAUGAUGAGUUUAUAUGUAAUAUGUGCAAGUACGCUAACCAAUGUUGUUGCUUGAUGCUUAGGGAAGUGCCAAGCUAUUGGUUGAAUGGUAAUAUGUUUAAUUAUAAGAUGCAUUGAAAUGGUAAGUGCUCAAAUGAAAAUGUGCUUGUGUUCAUGAAAUGGUGGUAAGUUUAAAGUUAUGUAAUUUCUUAUGAAAAGGCUUAUUAUAUGAUUAAUUCUAAAAAUGCUAUGUUUAAAUGCAUUAGCUUGUGCCUAUGGUUGAAUGAUAUGUUUAUGGCUGGUGUGUUAUACAUAUGGAAUGAGUGUAGAAAGUAAAGAAAUGCAAAUGAAAAUAAUGAAAUUCGGAAGAGUAUAAAGUUGUUUAAAAUCCUAUUAUGCUAGGGAUAAUAUGUACAAGUGAUGAUGUGGAUUUAUUCACCUUGUGAGUUGUUGAAUAUAGCUUCAUGAGUAUUGUGGUAUUAAUAGUGGAUUAUUCUUGAUAUGUAUAGAUUUCAUAUUUGAAAUAAAAUAAUAUGAUUAAAGUCUAUACGAGCUUACUAAGCAUUUAUUGCUUAUGUAUUAGCUUUCUUCUACUUUUCAGAUUAUCGGAAGCUCGAUUAGGUUGGAAGCUUGUCGGAGACAUAUCACACUAUCCAUUGGUUCUAUUGGUAUGUUCCAAUGUUUGGAUUUUGGUUAUAAUGGCAUGAAUAGGUAUUUUGUUUAAUGAUGGUCUAUUUUUAUUCACAUGGGCAGAGACAUGGGCCUGUAUCCCCUACUUUUAAGAAAAUUUUUAAAAAGUUGGGAAAUGUUCGUAUUUAAUUCGUAAAGUUUAGUAAUGCUCCGUAACCUUGUUUUAGUAACGGAUAGGGGUUAGGAGUGUUACACCUGACACAUUCGACAUGCACGUGUCUUGCCUCCAACUGUUUUGCUUGUCUCAACCCCAUUUUUGGCAUCAAGGUUGCCAGUCUGUAAAACGUGACUAAGAAAAUUGAUGAAAUUGGCAAGUGACGUGUAUGCCUCAAGAUGGAAUUAAUGGCCUCAAAGAGGUUGGUCGUCAUAUGACCAUAUCGAUUCCCAUCAUCAAAACAUUUAGCCCAUUUCCACGGCUCCAUUCUACCAAACUAUUACCUGAGAGAAAGAUCGAACCCUUCCAUAUUAGUCUCUAACCUUGCCAGCUUAUGUCUGAAUUGAUGUGGUUCCAACUCGUACCCUAUAUAUGUAUUUUGAUAAAACACAUUACCACCCCUUUUAGUAAAUGGAUUUGAAUUAUUUAUAUAUAAAAAUUUAAAUACGAUAAUUUUACCCGUGUUCAUGAUUUGUUUGCGCUAGUCUUUGCUCUUAUACUCCUUGUGGAAGUUGACAACAUUGUGGCGAAUACAGUAGAUGGACCUCCAUGUAACAUCGUAUUGCCGAAUUACAGCAACAAGGUCCUUUGAUCUGUCGAAGACAAUGCAAAUGUUGUUUAUCCUGACAACAUGCCUCCACAAGUUUCUAAUGAAAAGUUCCCAUGAUUUGGAGUUCUUCGACUCCACGAGGGAGAAAACAAUAGGUAGUACAUUUUGGUUACUACCUUGCAUAACUGCAAUCAGAAGUAUCUGCGUGUAUUUUCCAUAAAGCCACGUUCCAUCAACCUGCACAAAUGGUUUGCAGUAGGAGAAGGCCCUAACAUAUGGAUCGAAAGUCUAGAACAAUCGGCGAAAAACUCUUCUCCCUGGUUCAAGUAGUUCAUUCGGGCCACUGUAAGGCAACGUUUGCAAGUCCACAACAGUUCUUAGGACGUACUACACCAUCAUUGAAAUCCACCCCUGAAGUUUAUUUAUGACUCAUCCCAAUCGCCGUACAAUUGCUACAUGGCCGUUUAUUUCGCCCACCAUGCUUUCUUGUACUACACUUUGUACUACAAUCAAUGUCGACACAAGAAUAGUUAUGCUUUCUUUCACUAGUGACAUGAUGCAGAUACUUUUUGCAUCGAAUUUCCAAUGGUCUUGAGUAAAUUAAUUAUAAAUUUAUAAUAAAUUAGUUUAGGGUUUAGGGUUUAGGGUUUUUAAGUAAAAACUCAAAUAAAUUAGGGUUUGGGGUUUACGGUUACUUAAUUAAAUUAUUUGUUAAUUUAAAGAAGCUCCGACAUGAACGCGCUUUUGCUACAGUGGCUCCUGAGAAAAUAAUUUCGAGUAGACGUUUCUGAGCAAACAGUGUCAAAAAUGCUUUAAGCAGGAUGCUUUGUCAGUAGAAGUACUGAAAAAAGCUCCCACGUGGACGCUCUUUUGUUACAGUAGCUCCUAAAAAAUAAUUUUGAGUAGACGUUUCUGAGCAAACAAUGUCAAAAACGCUUUAAGCAGGAUGCUUUGUCAGCAGAAGUACUGAAAAAAUCUUCCACUUGGACAUGCUUUUGCUACAGUAGUUGAACGUUAUUGUAAAAAACUUUGUAUUAUUUAUAUUUUGUUAAAUCGAAAAUUGCCUUAUUUAAAGCGUUAUUGUAAAGAAUUUCGAUUAUAUUAAAAAUAUUAAAGUAAAUUACAAUUACUUUAUUCAAAAUAUUUCCUUAUUUAAAAGAAUUUCUAUUAUAUUAAAAAUGUAAUAGUAAAUUUCUAUUUUAGUACAUGAAAUAAUAUAGAAGAAUUUCUAUUUUAUUACAUCAAAUAAUAUCAAAUUAUUCAAAAUGUUUGUACAAAUAUAUUAAAAUAAAAAUCAAUCUCUGUGCCCGCCGGAUUUAGUGCCACAAGGAGGCCGUCGACGGUUACGCGCUGGAUUCUUCCUUUGUCCAGUCUCCGGCGGGGGUUGUGGUUGCUCCGGCGGGGAUUCUAGUUCCUCCGGUAUGGUAUCUGGUUGUCGGUGUUGGGACGAUGAGUCACCUUGAUAGAAUAGUGACUGUGGAGGUGUUUGCAUCACCAAUAGCGAAGCUGUUUGAAACCCAUACGGUGACGGCGAUUGGUAAAAAGAAGAGCUCCCCGACGGCCCCUCUUGCGAUCCCUCGUGCGAUGUUGGCCUAUACAUCGGCGGUCCACUAAAUGAAGAUGAACCAGGACAUGGACUCCAACCUGCCAUAGGACUCGAAAAAGGAAACAUAUAAGGGUUAGGAUACAUAAAGGAGCUAAGAUACGUACCUGGCAUCAUCUGAAAAGGCUGUGCCGUGGGUAUCAUCGGGUGAACUGAUGGGUCGGGUGACUGUGUCGGUGCUCUCGCUGGCUUGGUGAUUGAAUGGCCGCUGAUGAUAGGCCGGGUGAAUGUUUGAGCCUCGUUGAUGGGCCUGCGUCGUCGUCCCUUCAUCUUGGAUUUAAAGGGUCACGUCGUUCCAUUUGGACACGUAAUUGCCGCUGCCUCUCCUCUGCUGACAGUAAAUACGGCUUGCCAUGGAUCCUAAACCAUGGCAUGUAUUCCGACAUGUACGCUAACUCAGGAACGAUGAUCGGUUCCCGAGUAGGUAUAUAAUCAUACCGAUCUUCCCACAUUUGGAUGUAGUGUGACUAGAAUCUCGGCCAAUCCGUAUGCAAUUACCGUAGGUCGAUUUUGUGAUGAUCAUCCAACACCUCAGGUGCCACGGGGAUCGGUUGUCGGAAUCCAAAUUGCCGUAAUACUCUGUCUGACUGGUGCAUCUCCACGGUCACAUAGUUGACCAACGCGACUUUCACUUGCCAAGCGUUUGGAUUUUGGAGGUACUCAUCCGAAAUUACUGCCCGAAUUGUCGGAUCCUCGUAUGGUGUCCAUUCAAACUAUAUGAACAUGAUGGAAAUAUUAGUUAUAUACAUAAUACAUAAUACUAAAUACUAAAUACCAAUCGACUAGCUCAUGAUGAAAAUAUCAAUUUUAUUUAAUACUUACUUGUGCUUCCGACUUUUGGUCUAAUAGAAGCCGUAUAUCUUUAAGACAGCUAGGUAAUCCAGCAUAACUUGCAGGAUGGUUCCACCUAAUUAAAUAAAUUUUUAGAAUACUAUUAUAUUUUAAAUCUACGUAAUAAUUGUAAAAUCUAAUAUAAAAUUUACCUUAUUAUGAGUGGGAAUGUUUAUGGGUGGUCCACUCGAGGACGUAAAAAUAGAAAGUGAAACCAUGCCCAUGACUGUAGUAGUGACAGGCAACCUCCGAUUUUCGCUUUAUUCGGUCACGUCGCCCCGCACAUCUCCCGGUAUAGUGUUGCCAACACGGUCGACCCCCAACUCAAUUCACCGGCUACUCUAAAAUCAACAAGUUUCAGCAGCCAUCUUAGAUGUACGAGGUUCCGUGACAAUUCUGGCAUCAGAUAGCCUCCAAUUAUCUGAAGAAUGUAUGCCCAAGCAUAGCAGAUUCUUUCUAGUUCAGUUGAAUCAUCAUCCAGAUCCGAGAAUGUGUCUCGUAACCAGCCCAUCUCGAUCCGACCCCUGUUAAUAUUUUUCGAAAUAGCGCCCAAAAGCUCGUAGCAUACCGCUCCCCAAUCGCCAGAUUGAAUAGACCCGGUGACUGGGUACCCGUCCACCGGCAAUCCCAAUUGCAGAUUCACAUCUUCCAAAAUGAUAGUGCACUUUCCACAUGGAAGAUGGAAUGUGUACGUCUCGGGUCUUCACCUCUCAAGCAACGCACUGAUAAAUUUCGGGUCCAACUUGCAUCCCUGGCCUACAGUCGCCACGUGCUAAAAACCCGCUUCCCGGAGGUAAUUCUCUAAUAACGGUGAUGGAGGACCAUGCAUAUUACGGAUAUAGCAUAGCAAUAUCUGAUCUACAGACUUUUAUAACAAAUAAUAAAUUAAUAAUUAUUUAAAAUUGCAUAAAUAAAAAAAUUAAAUAAUAUUUAAAAAUUAAAAUUAACACUUACCAUUUUCAUUUGUUCGACAGAUAUGUGCUUGUCAUAAAGAUGAAUCAAUUCUCCGGCCAUAGUUAAAUUCGUACAAAUUUUUACGAUUUAAAAAAAUUCAAAAAAAUAAAAUUUAAAUUUUUUUUAAAAAUAAUUAAAAAAUUAAAGCUCUUUUAAAUAGGGAUUUGAGAGAAAUUUGAAAGGAAAUUGAGAGCAAAUUGAGAUUAAAUAGGGAUUUGAGAGAAAUUUGAAAGCAAAUUGAGAGCAAAUUGAGAGGAAAUUAGAGAAGGAAUGAUUUAUUUGUGAAAAAAAAUGAAAGGGUGGAGGGGUUUUAUAGUUUUUUUUUUACCGUUGGGGGGUCACCAACGGUCAAAAACGUAGCCGUUGCUACUGUUCACGCGGCCAAAACGCGUCCCCAGUAGAGCGCUUACGUGGCAGGAAAACGCGUCCUUGAAGGCGCACUUUGUUGCCACGUAGGCAAAGCGCUUCCUUGAGGAAGCGUUUUCCUGCCACGUCCCCUGACAUCGCGCUAACGUGGACGCGCUUUCGGGGAAUUAGGCCAAUCCGAUAAUUAAUUUAUUAUCAGGCCCAUUUCGGUAAUUUUUUUAAAAUUGGGUUUUUUUUAGUGUUUUGCCCUAAAUGUUUCGUAUUAGUUUUAUAAUUUUAAAAUUAUCAAAGUUAUAUAAAAAUUUUAUUUUUAUAAUUUGUUUAUAAUUUUUAUGAUUUUUAAUAUUUUUAAAUUUUAAAAGCGUAAUUGAUUUUUUAAAAUUUGUUACUAAGGUCUUUUUGAUCCUUUAGUUUUAUUAGUUUAAAAAUUACUUCCAACAAAAGAGUAUGAGUCAAAUUGAAUAAAUGUGUAAAGGUUAAUUAUUGAAUUUGUUAUUAUGCCUUAUAUAUAAAUAUCAUAUUUUAAUAGAGAGGUGGCUUUGCUCACUCAUCUAGCAUAAAACGGCUAAUUUGCAAAUUUAUUCAGUAGAAAGGCUAAAAUUCAAUCCAAGAUAUAAUACAAGAGAUUUUGUGAUGAUUUUAUCAUAUUUAUAAUAAAAUUGAUAAAUACAGAUACAUAUUCAAAUAACUAUAAAAUAGAAUCAAAUUAGUCAACAUCCUCUAAAUCUAAUGACAAAAACAUUUAUGUCGUGACACAAGAGCUUAGGUUGAAUUACUAGCAACCCCAUCCUUACCCUCAAUUAUUAAAAAAAAAUAGAAUCAAAUUAUUUACAGAUGAAGAAUAAAAGUGGAUAUGUAGUGAAGGGUGAGUACUAGUUCAGCGUAAAAAUAUAUGGUACACUAUUUUUAAAAAAGGUAUAUGAUAAUUUUUUAAAACUGUUUGUAGUAAAAAAAAUACACCACACCGUACUUUUACUUUUUUUAAAAAAUUUAAAAUAGUUGGAUUUGGUUGCUUUUUAGAAUGCAAAAUUACCGAAAGGAAGUGUGGGAUACUUUGGAGGAUAAAUUUUUGAAAAGGAAGUUUGAGAUUCGAGUGCAACAAAAGGAACUCUUUUUGAACUAUGACCAUAAGAGGUAUUGGAAAAUCAUGGUUUCAAAUAAAAUUGGAGUGUCCGAAUAUCAGAUACUCUUAAGAGAGCUCUACAUUCUAUAUGAUGACAACAGAUUUGUUUCCCAUAAAAAAUAUAUCCCAUUUCUUCCAUCUUUCAAUUACAAAAUAAAUUAAACCUCAAAUUCAAUCUCUUGAUAAAAGCAUCAUUAAAGCUCUUAUGAUAGGAGUUAGAUUAUAUUUUACUUAAUGGAUCAAUUUGUUCUUUAUUCUAAUGUAUAACGGUUAAUUUACUUAUGUUUUGAGUAAAAGAGGCAAAAUGCAAUUCAACUCUUAAUACAAAUAUUUCUACGAUACUAUGGGGGAGUCCAUUUAGUGCUUACCGCGCAUGUUCCUAUGGCUUUUGCUAUGGAGGCUUUGGCAUGUUCUCAUGUCGUUCGCUUAGCUGCAGACCUCGGCCAGCAUAAGAUGACUUUUGAGGGGGAUUCACUUAGUGUUAUUCACAAGGCCUGCUGUCCUCUACACAACAUCUUAGCCAUCGAGGCUUACAUUUGGGAUGUGAAAGCGAUAGUUUCUUCCUUUCACCAUUGUUUGUUUGCUUAUAUUGCUCUCGAGGGUAAUACUCUAGCUCAUUUGCUGGCUACGAUGAGGCUGGUGGUUCUUUUUUUCUAAGCGGUGUCGUCCCUAGUUUUACUUCUCUCGCGGCGGAAUGGGAUCGACAGGAUAUCGAUUUGAACGAGAACGACGACUAAGGAGAUUUGUACAUAUCUUGUUCUUUAGAUGGGUCUUUGGCAAAGGAAUGUAAUAGGGUUCACUGUUUCGGUUGGCUUUCGGGGGAUCUGUUGAUCUAGGCAUCGUGGGGGUUGUCCGUGAUUAGUCGCUGUUGACGUUGGUCACCUCUUGUUCUUUACUCUAGCUAUUUGGCGAGCUUGGCGUUAUUUCACAUGGCUUUGGUUGCUAAGGGCCAUAGCUUGUUUUGUUGACAACUCCUUCUAGGAUUUGGAAUGCCUUUCUUUUAUUGGCUGGGAGCUGCUCAAACUGGGCUUUCUGUUUUAUUUUUGUUUGUUUUAGGUUUGGCCCGUCUGUUUUGCUUACUUUGUUUGGGUUUGUUGUUUCGACUUUAUUUGCUUUGUUUGUUGAUAAAAAGCCUAGUUUGAAUUAAAAAAAAAGUUAUUAAAGAAAAACGUGUAUAGUAUAAAAUGCGAUUAAAAAUAUUGAAUUGUUAAUGAAAAACACAUUUGAUGUAAAGUUUUUAUGACAUACUUUUAAUGCCGACUACAAAUGUGGAAGUCACACUAUGGGGGAGUCCGACCCAGAGGACCAACAUAUGGAAGAGCCCGACCCAAAGGACCAACCUUUGAACACACGCACUUCAUCUAGAAAUCCGAUAUACUCUGUCACUUAGAAAUUUUCCAAGUUCUAGGAAUAUAGUUCUGCAUUCAUUGACCUCGCCCUCUAAGUGUUCCCUUUCAUGACAUUCCUGACACCUUCGACAUGCACGUGUCUUACCUCUAACUAUUUUGCUUGUCUCAACCCCAUUUUUGGCAUCAAGGUUGCAAACCUGUAAAACAUAGCUAAAAAAAUUGAUGAAAUUCGCAAGUGACGUGUAUGCCUCAAGAUGGAAUUAACGACCUCAAAGAGGUUGGUCGUCAUAUGACCAUAUCGAUUCCCAUCAUCAAAACAUUUAGCCCAUUUCCACGGCUCUAUUCUACCCAACUAUUACCUGAAAGAAGGAUCGAACCCCUCCAUAUCAGUCUCUAACCUUACUAGCUUAUAUCUGAAUUGAUGUGGUUCCAACUCGUACCCUAUGUAUGUAUUUUGAUAAAACAAGUUACCAUCCCUUUUAGUAAAUGGAUUUGAAUUAGUUACAUAUACAAAUUUAAAUACAAUAUUUUUACCCGUGUUCACGAUUUGUUUACGCUAGUCUUUGUUCUUAUACUCCUUGUGGAAGUUGACAACGUUGUGGUGAAUGCACUAGAUGGACCUCCAUGGAACCUCGUAUUGCCAAAUUGCAGCAACAAGGCCCUUUGAUCUGUCGAAAACAAUGCAAAUGUUGUUUUUCCUGACAACAUGCCUCCACAAGUUCCUAAUGAAAAAUUCCCAUGAUUUGGAGUUCUUCGACUCCACGAUGGAGAAAAUAAUCGGUAGUACAUUUCGAUUACCGCCUUGUGCAACUGCAAUCAAAAGUAUCUACGUGUAUUUUCCAAAAAGCCACGUUCCAUCAACUUGCACAAGCGGUUUGAAGUAAGAGAAGGCCCUAACAUAUGGAUCGAAAGUCUAGAACAAUCAGCGAAAAAAUCUUCUCCCAAGUUCAAGUAGUUCAUUCGGGCCUCUGUAAGGCAACGUUUGCAAACCCACAACAGUUCUUAGGACGUACUACACCAUCAUUGAAAUCUGCCCCUAAAGUUUAUUGUAUGACUCAUCCCAAUCACCGUACAGUUGUUGUAUGACCAUUUCUAUUGCCCACCAUACUUUUCUGUACUACAUUUUGUACUGCAAUCAAUGUCGACACAAGAAUAGUUAUGUUUUCUUUCACUAGUGGCAUGAUACAGAUACUUUUGACAUCCAAUUUCCAGUGGACUUGAGUCAUACGUGUGACAGUGCAUGUAUGACUUCCUUCUCAUUUUUGUAUUUGCCACUGUUGAGUUAUCUGUAUAAAUGCAGCCCGAACUCACCAGCUACACCCAUCGCCAGCUCUCCAACAUUUCCCAACAUAUAAUGUCAAUGUAGACUUAGCGACCUUGUAAUUAAUCGACACCUUUAUGUUGUACUAUUUGAUGACAAACACAUAAUCUACCUUGUUCUUAAAUCAUUUCCCAACAAAUAAUUCUUUCAACUGCAAAUUUGAUGUCAAUUUGUGAGCAGUGACUAUAUCGGCAUACUCAAGGAACUCAGAUGCAUGCGUUGCAUUUGGAUCUACACUCAACAUGUCGUCCAAAGGUCAUUUCGUAAAACAAUGCCACGACUCAAGUUACUGAAAGAAGAGGCGUGAGCAUCUUCAACCUCUUUUAGGCCUUCAUCAUUGAUAUCGUUUGGAACCUCAUCAAUAUCGGUGUCACUAAAAUAUUCAACGUCCUGAUUAGAAUCUUCACCAUUAUUGGUCCUGUAAUGGCCCAAAUUCAAUUCUAUCGGAAUAGUGGUUUCGUAACCACAAAUCUGAUUUAAAGAGAAAUUUAUUUUAAUAUUUUUGCAUGAAUAUUGAUAUGAUAGGAAAAUCGUAUAAAAAUAUCGAUAGAAAAAUUUUACCGAUUUAGUGGUUAAUUAGAAAAAGAAAUUAUUGAAGAAAUUGGGUAAAAAUAAGGUACCAAGACCUCGAUCUCGUAAAAUCGAGUCAAAAACAUUUUUAUAAAUAUUUAUGAAGUGUUAGUAAUAUGGUAUUAAAAUUUCGUUAGAAAAUUUUAAUGUUUGGGUAGUCAAUUAAGUAAAAAGGACUAAAUUGAAAAAAGUGUAAAAGUUACUAGAGGGAUUAAAUAGCUCAAUUGUGAAAUGAGGAGGGACAUAAAUUGCAAAUAACCCCAAAAGAAGAUAUUUUGGGCGGCAUACGCUGAGAAAAAUUAGGAGAAUUGAAGAAAUAAGGGUAAAAUUGGAAUAUUAUAAAAUUUGCUUUAAAAGUUAGGACUAAAGUGGAAUUAUCUAGAUUUCUCUUUAUUUUUCUGCACUCUCAUCAGCCAAAAAACGUCCUAAGGGUUUCUUCAAGCUGGUUUUUCAUAAUUUUUGCACCAAGUGAGUUAAUUCCUGCCUUUUUCUUAUAAUUUUUGUGUUUCUAAGACUUUUACAACUAGGUCCUAUUACUAAAUUCAUUAGUUUUUGAUUUUAUGAAUGAAUUUGAAAGUUGAUAUGAAUAUGUUCUGGAAUUUUAUGAUGAAAUAGGAUGAAAUUGAAGCUUUAAUUUGUUUGUGAGAUGAUUUUAUUAGGUAAUUCCAAUAGAAAUUGAUUUGUAGGACCUAAUUGUGAAAAAGUUUGGAAUUAAAGUUUAGUGCUGAAAUUCUGAUUUCCAAAGGUUAUAAGGUAGUUUAAAGUGAUAUAAUAAAGUGUUUAUUGAGAAAAAUCAGCUCAAUUGAGAGGUUAAUUGAGCAGGGACGAAAUUAUCAUUGUUGAAAGUUUAAGGGAAAAAUGGUAAUUAACACCAUGCACUAAAACAGUUUUGGACAGCAGCAGUACUCUGACUUUGAAAAAUCACCAAAAAUUGUAGAGAUCGAAUUAGAGGGUGAAUAAAAUAUGAAAUUAAAGCUUAUUGAGUCUAGUUUCUUAUAAAAGAAACAGUGUAAGAAAUGGAAUUGUAAAUCAUCAGAUAUAAUAGAUUUUGUGAGACAAGGUCAGAAUGAAUUCGGGUUCCCCUGUUCUGACUUUGGAAAAUCAUUAAAAAUUGUAAAAAAAUUAUUAUGAGUUAUAAUUUAUAUGCUUAGAAUCCCUAAUGAGUCUAUUUUCUGAAGAAAUCCCUAAUGAGUCUAUUUUCUGAAGAAAUAAAGGAAAGCAUCAUCCUAAUUCUGUACAGUGAGAUAAUUAAUUUUUAGUGAAGAGGGGUCAGAACUGUCAUACAGUGAAACAGGGGAAACUUUAAGGAAUAAACUGUACUUAUUGGCUAAACCAAAAAUUCUUAAUUUUUUAUGGUAAGAAGAUAUUUGAGUCUAGUUUCAGGGAAAAUUAACGUAUCUUAAUUUGGAGUUCUGUAGCUCAAGAUAUAAAUAAUUUAGUGACUGUGACUCAGUGAGGCAGCUUUGAAUGCACUAUAAAUAAUAAUGGAAUUGUAGAGAAAGUUACAUAUGAACAUGAAAUGUAUUAGAUUAAUGAUUAAAUUUAUUUAUUUAGAUCCAGAAAAUUCAAAUACGAAGCAAGAUCGAGGAAAAGAAAAAGUUCGGGAUUAGUAGAUUUUUGUUUACGAACAAUUGUCAAGGUAAGUUCGUGUAACUUGAAUUAUAUUCAUAAAUGCUUGAAAUGUUUGUUAUUGAUGUGAAUAUGAUUUGAAUGUUCAUUGUAUGAAAAUUGAUGAAGUAUUGAUAUUCUUGAUGAAAAGAGAAAAUAAAUCCCGGUUGAAUGAAAGGAAAAUUCGAUGGAUCUCUGAAAAGGAAUUGACGGUAAAAAGGAUCUAGCCCGGACGGGUGAUCCUAUCCUGAUAUAGCCCUCCUGAAGAAUAUGUGGAAAAUGGAUUUAGCCCGGACGGGUAAUCCGAAUUAGGGUCUGAAUUUAGCCUGGACUGGUAAUUCAGAUCCAAGCUCAUUAGAGUAAUUGUCGUUGCAGGGGAUUUAGCCUGGACUGGUAAUCCCGCUGUAAGGAUGAGGUUCGCGGGAGUGUGCUCUCUAAAAUGGAAAUGUGCGCACAUGAAUAUGAAUUGACGGACCUGGAUUUGUACACUUAGGUGUAUCCCUGAAUAUCCAUCGAAAUUCCAAGUAGUUCAACGGGAUAAAUAUGGAAAAAUAACAAGGAAAUGGAAAUCCUGGAAUUGAUGAGCUCAUCAAUCAUUUAUCUUUGUAAUGAAUUUGUAUGAGGUUGAGUUUGUAUGUGAUAGGUGUAUGUUUAUGUGAAUUGGAUGUGUGCUUGUGUUAUUAAAUGAUGGAUGUAUAAGUAUGGUAAGUAUAAUUCCUGUUGCAUGAACUUACUAAGCACAAAGUGCUUACCCGGUUUCUUUUUCCCCUGUUUGUAGAGUUAAGAGCUCGGAAGUCGGAUUUGGUCAGAGACACAUCACACUAUCAAUCUCGAGAUCUCGGUACAUAAAGGAACUUUAUUUUGGAAAUCAAUGGCAUGUAUAAGCUAGUAAAUUAGAUGUUAAUGUGAAAUGAAUGUAUGGUUAGCCAUUGGUAUGGCUAACAAAUUUUGGUUUUAGUAUGUGAUGAAAUUAUCUUAUGAAUAUGAUAAAUCUAUCUUGAAAAAAAAAUUCGGUAAAAUCUGGUAAUGCCUCAUACUCUAUUUCGGCGACGAAUACGGGUAGGGGGUAUUACAGGUCCCUUUUCCGUCAUCAACCUCAAUACCUAUCACCUCCAGAUAUAAUUGUAGACAGGGACCAAGGGCAGGGUUGUUAUACAAACUCCCACCAUAAUUUUGAUUUUCAGGCAUCUACGAUGUCCCUUCGCAGUCUAACUGAUCUGCCCAUCCGAUAUUAAGAUCAAAGUCAAAUAUGCGAUGUUGACUUAUUGGACUAACAUUUUCAAUGGGCUAUAAGUCCGCUAACUCAGCAAAUAACUCAACCUGUUGGAGGUUGUAACGCCCCAAAAUUUCUAAUAAGUUAUUGUGAAAAUAUGACACAAAUAUAUGUCAGCUUUAGUAGUUAUGUUGAGUAUCUUGAUUUUAGGCCUUGAAGUGCUCGAGAGUGAUUAGGCAACAAAACGAUACCAAGUGUGUACUCGAAACACGAAAAUAAAGGAUUCGGUGAAAAGCCGGAAUUACUUGCUAUUUGGACAGCAACAGUACGCUAACUUUGAAAAAUCUCCAUAAAUUGUUGAAGUCAAAUUAGAGGAUGAAAAAAAAUAUGGAAUUAAAGCUUAUUGAGUUUAGUUUCUCAUAGAAGAAAUGGUGUAAGUAAUGGAAUUGUAAAUCGUGAGUUAUAAUAAACUUUGUGAGACAAGGUCUGAAUGAAUUCGGGUUCCCCUAUUCUGACUUUGGAAAAUUAUCAAAAAUUGGAGAAAAAUAAUUAGGGGUUAAAAUUUACAUGUUUAAAUUAUUAAUGAGUCUAGUUUCAAUAGAAAUAAAUGGAAACAUCAUCCAAAUUUUGUACUAAGAGAUAAUUAAUUUUUAGCAAAGAAGGAUCGAAGCUGUCAGACAGUAGAACAGUGGUAAGUUAGAAGAUUUUACUGUACUUUUUGGCUAAACCAAAAAUUCUGAAAAUUUUAUGGUAGAAAGUUAUUUGAGUCUAGUUUCAAAGACAUCAAGCAGUUUUUAAUUCAAAAUUCUGUAGCUCAAGAUAUAAAUAAUUUAGUAAUAGUGACUCAAGUAGACAGCUUUAAAGGAACAUAUAAGUAAAUAGUGAAAACAUAUAUGAAUAAUUAACUAGCACGGGUUACAUUAAAAAUGGAUCACGUGGCCAAGGCUAAUUUGGGUUAAAUGGGCCACAUGGGCAUGUGAGCCCAUUUUUCUGAAAAGUUCUUUACGGUUGCACGGGUUGCCUAAGUCGACUGUAGACCUACUGUAGGGUCGAUAAGCUUUACUUAGACUCCUAGAUGUGUGAUUUGUCUGUCUGAUUCCUAUAUCAAGUAUGACUUAUGAUACCUGAAUGUAUGUACUAUUAAUUGCAUAAUGGCAUGACAUAUUUUGUAUGUUGCAUUGCAUCGGGGUGGGUUGAUGUUACUUGGAGGGAGUGUCUGAAAUGUUAUUAAGCCUGUCAUCUCGCAGCUCAUCUGCAACCUUCUUAUUAUGUGCCACAUUUCGGGACAGCAUGGUGUGUAGGAAUGGGUGGGUUGAUUUAAUCCCUACAUGGUGUGUAGGGUUGGACGAAGAUGGUGUGUAGAGGCUAGUGGGUAGGAUUCUGAUUUAAUGGAUCUGCAUUAUGUAUUUGAUAUGGGCCAAGGCCCUAAUGUAUUUCUGAGUCUGUAUCUAAAUGGGCUAAAGCCCAAAUUGAUUCUGUGAUGGGCACAGGCCCCAGACUGUAUCUAACUGAAUUCUAUUGAAUAUCUGUAUACAUGUUUUCUGUGGGGAUUAUACACUGAGUUUAUAAAAACUCACCAUUUUUUGUUUAAUCUGUACAGGUAAUCCCCAAAUUUGACGGGUCAGUGCAGCGGAAGACUCGACGGUGGCCACAUGUAAAUUUUAGACUAUUUUCCGUUAAUGCCUAGAAUUUAUUACUUAUUUAGGGUUUUUGAUGUAAUUUGGACUAUGGACAGUUGGCUUUAAAUUUGGGAAUUUUUACUAUUUUUAUGGGUUUUUUUAAACUACAAUUCAACAAAACACGGUUUUUCUAAAAACUAUGGUUUUAGUAAAUACAAAUGAUUUUUCUUAAAUUAAUUGGUUACAAAAGCUUCUGCUAAGAGACAAGUUUUAAAGCAAAUCAACUAGUUUUUUUCCGAAUUAAAUAAUAGCUAACUUACUGUAAUGGUUUUUAAACUCAACAAUCUUGUCUUCAAAUCCCUUUCCAUGUGACAUCGCCAGAUUCGGCCAUAACGUCUAAGCUGGGUUUGGGGUGUUACAUUUAGUGGUAUCAGAGCCAGGUUGUAAAACUCGGCUGUGGAUUUGGAUUUUAAAACUUGGUUUUAAGGAGAUUAUUUUUAAAUAGUUUGAAAUAGUUUAGACUGAGUAUGUGGCACACCAAGUCUCCAGCGUCGAUUUUGUAAGUGUUCUAAAAACUCUGAUAAGUUUUUUGAAAAUAUGAUUAGCAUAUUCUAAAACUACUAUAGGUAGUACAUUGUACUGAAAACAUUGUAGAUAGUAUAUACUGAAAACAGUAGUGAAACUAAAAACUGUAGUAAGAUUGUAAUUUUUGAUAACAAACUCUAAACUUCUAAUACUGUUUCGCAUAAAAUAUCUACUAAUAAAUAUCGAAACUGUAACUAAUUUAUAAAACUAUUAACACAGAUAGGCUACAAAUUCUACGAUGAGUGCACGAGGCAUCCACGAAUGGGGUAUUAGAGGCCUAGGUAGAGGCCGUAGAGGGGCUCGAGCUGAGUCCUCGUUGUUAGGCAGCAUGGCGAAUCUGGAUACUAGUGUGAGCCGAUUUCACCUGCUACAGAUACUGGGUCUCCUGAUCGCAUAGCCAGGGACGACGCCAUGUCUCAGGUUAUGCUAGGGAUAUUAGAGUGGGUCACUGGACCUAACACUGGAUCUGAGAUCCGAGGGUCAGUUACAGAACGACUUCGGUCUAAUGGGGCUGAGCUAUUCAGGGGUAUCAUUAUAGUCGUCCCUAGCUUGACCGAGUACUAGAUCGAGGCCAGGGAAAGAAUCAUGGAUGAUCUAGACUUUACCCCUGAACAGAAAUUGAAAGGGGUUGUUUCUUUGCUUCGCGAUGAAGCAUACCAAUGGUGGCUAACCGUUAAGGAGGGCACUCAGCCCGAAUGACUGAUAUGGGAUUUUUAUAAGUCUACUUUCUGAGGUAAAUAUGUGGGGGCAAGCUACAUUGACACUAGAAGAUGUGAGUUUCUAAAUCUCACGCAAGGGGGUCGUUCAAUGGUUGAGUAUGAGGUCAAGUUUCUAAGAUUGAGUCGCUAUGCACGAGGAAUGGUGACGACUGAAUAUGAGCAUUGUGUCCGCUUCGAGGAUGGACUCAGGGACAUGUUGAGUGUUUUGUUAGCUCCGCAGAGGGAGCGUGAGUACUAGUAGAGAAGGCAAAGAUCGCCGAGGAGGUGAAGUGCGCUGAGCGCCAAAACCAGGAUAAGGAGAGAGGCAAGAAUAGAAGGGAUUCAGAGCCCUCGAGUUCUGCGAUGAGACCUAAGAAAAAGGUCAGAUCUGGAGGGCCAGUUACAGUUGGGGCCCCUAUUGCAUCUACUGGGAUCACGCUUUGUGGGCAUUGUGGAAGACACUAUCCGGGCGAAUGUUGGAGGACGAUUGGGGCUUGUUUAAGAUGUUAGUCUACUAAACACCGUGUCCGAGAGUGUCUGUUGAGGGCUUAUCAGGUGCAAGCUGUGAGUUCUAGUACUACACCAUUGAGGGUAGUUCAACAACCGCCUAGGGUCGUGGUCAAGCUAGGGGUGGUAAUGGUAUUGGUCGUGGGCAGAGAGCAUCGAGCAGAGGUGCUGGCCAGGCUGAGGUGAGAUAACUGUCCCUAGUUUAUGCUGCUCGCCGUCGAGAGGAUAGAGAUGCUCCAGACGUCAUCACAGGUAUGUUUCUUAUUUUUUAUGUGACUUACACUACAUUGAUAGAUAUAGGAUCUACGUAUUCCUAUGUUGCCUGUUCUGUUUCCAAAAACCUAGGGAUUCCGGUUGAGAGUACUUCUAGUGAGGUGAGGGUAAUCUGUUAGAGUUAGAAAACUGUACAAGGAUGUUCCUUUAAAGGUUCAAGGGACGGUAUUUCUGGCUAAUUUGAUGGAGCUUCCGUUUGGGGAGUUCGAUAUGAUUUUGGGGAUAGACUGGUUGGUCAAACAUCGUGUCAAUUUGGACUGUGCGACUAAAAGGGUCGUAUUGAGAACUGAUGAGGGUAAUGAAGUAGUUGUGAUUGGGGAACGUCGAAAUUACUUUGCUAAUGUGAUCUCUGCACUGGUAGCUGAAAAACUGGUUCGCAAGGGAUGUGAGGCGUAUUUGGCCUAAGUAAGCGUUUCUGUUUCUAGGGACUCUACUGUAAAGGAUAUCAAAACUAUGAGGGAUUUUCUGGAUGUCUUUUUUGAGGAGCUACCGGGUUUACCUCUGAAUCUGGAAGUGGAGUUUGGGAUUGAACUUUUCCCUGGUAUAGCUCCGGUGUCUAUCGCUCCCUAUCGAAUGGCACCAAAGGAGCUUACGGAGAUCAAGGCUCAAAUUCAGGAGUUAUUGGAUCGUGGGUUUAUCCGCCCUAGUGUGUUCCCGUGGGGAGCAUCGGUACUAUUUGUUAAGAAAAAGAAUGGAUCCAUGAGGAUGUAUAUCGACUACCGAUAACUAAAUAAGUUGACUAUUAAGAACAAGUAUCCACUUCCGAGGAUUGAUGAUUUGUUUGACCAGUUCUGAGAGGCGCUUGUGUUCUCUAAAAUUAACUUGCAUUCUGGGUAUCAUCAGUUGAGGGUUAAGGAGGCUGAUGUGCAUAAGAUGGCAUUUAAGACUCGUUAUGGUCACUAUGAGUUCCUAGUGGUGCCAUUUGGACUGACUAAUGACCGGUAACUUUAAUAGAUCUGAUGAAUCGAGUGUUUCUGCCCUACCUGGAUCGAUUUGUAGUGGUGUUCAUCGAUGACAUAUUGGUUUAUUCGAGGACUGAGGAUGAGCAUGAUGAGCACCUUAGGAUUGCUAUUCAGAUUUUGAGGGAAAAAUAGCUCUAUGCUAAGUUCAGCAAGUGCGAGUUCUGGUUACGUGAAGUAACAUUUCUGGGUUAUGUGGUGUCUGCUGAAGGGAUUCGAGUUGAUCCUCGAAAAAUUAAGGUUGUAUUGGAUUGGAAACAACCUAAGAAUGUGUUUGAGAUUUGCAGCUUUUUGGAGCUAGCAGGUUAUUAUCGACGUUUUGUGGAAGGGUUCUCCUUGAUCGCAGCAUCAUUGACUAAGCUUCUGCGUAAGGGAGUUCCAUUUGUCUAGACUGAUAUGCAAAAAGAGAGCUUCGAGAAGUUCAAGGCUGUUCUGACUCAGGCUCCUGUUCUGAUACAGCCUGAGCCCGGUAAGGACUUUGUGGUUUACAGUGAUGCUUCACAUGUCAGAUUGGGGUGUGGAUUGAUGCAGGAUGGCAAGGUGAUAGUAUAUGCAUUUCGUCAGCUCAAAACUUAUGAAGCGAGCUAUUCGAUGCACGAUUUGGAGUUGGCCGCCAUUGUCUUUGCAUUGAAAAUCUGGAGGCAUUAUCUGUACGGUGAGAAGUGUAUUAUCUACACUGAUCAUAAAAGCCUCAAGUAUCUCCUCACUCAGAAGGAUUUAAAUCUUAGGCAGCGUAGAUGGGUUGAGCUACUUAAGGAUUAUGAUUGUACCAUUGAGUAUCAUCCCGUCUAGGCCAAUAUGGUGGCUGAUGCGUUGAGCCGUAGAGCUAUGACCGAUCUGAGAGCGAUGUUCACUCGACUUAGCCUAUUCAAUGAUGGAAGUCUGUUGGCAGAACUUUAGGUCAAACCGACAUGGAUUGAACAUAUUCGAGGUAAACAGUUGGGGGAUAAGUCUCUUAGGUUACGUUUUCAUCAGGUUGAGAAUGGUGGCACUACUAAUUUUGGGAUAAACAGUGAUGGGGUACAUUAUUUCCUCGAUCGAAUUCGUGUACGAAAUUAUGAGUAUUUAAGGCAGUCGAUUCUGAGAAAAGCGCAUGGUAGUCCCAAUACUAUGUAUCCCGACAGAAACAAGAUGUACCGAGAUCUUCAAGAAUUGUACUGGUGGCCAAGGUUGAAGCAUGAGGUUACUGACUUCGUUGCUCGUUGUUUGACUUGUCAGCAGGUUAAGGCUAAGCAUCAAUUACUUUCGGGUUUGCUGCAGUUGGUUAAGAUACCAUUAUUGAAAUGGGAGCGAGUAACGAUAGACUUCGUUAGUGGGUUGCCUCUAACACCCACAAAGAAGGAUUUUGUCUGGGCCAUCGUGGAUCGAUUGACCAAGCCUGCUCACUUCAUCCUAGUAAGGAUAGACUUUUCUCUUCAGAAAUUAGCUAAACUCUACAUAUCAAAAAUAGUGAGGCUGCAUGGGGUACCUAUCUCGAUCAUUUCCGAUAGGGAUUCUCAUUUCACGUCUCGGUUCUAGAAGAAGCUUCAUGAGGCUCUGGGUUUAAGAUUAGACUUCAGUACUGCUUUCCAUCCUCAGACAGAUAGUCAAUCGGAGUGGGUGAUUCAGAUACGGGAAGACAUGUUGAGGAGCUGUGUUAUUGAUUUUCGAGGCAGUUGGGAAGAGUACUUAUCGUUAGCGGAGUUUGCCUACAAUAAUAGCUUCCAGUCUGACAUCCAGAUGGCACCUUACUAGGCACUGUACGAUCGUAAGUAUCGCACUCCUUUAUGUUGGACUGAGUUGGGUGAGCGACAUGUUUUGGGUCCUAAAUUGGUGUCCGAGACUAAAGAUAAGGUUAGACUGAUUCGAGAUCAUCUAAUAGCGGCUUCUGACAAGCAGAAGUCCUAUGCAGAUCAGAAGAGUAAGAAUAUCGAGUUUACAGUGAGGGACUUAGUUUUUCUCAAGGUCUCGCCAUGAAAAAAGGUUCUAAGGUUCGGUCGCAAGGACAAGCUGAUCCCCCGGUUUAUUGGACCUUACCACAAUCUGAAAUGUGUGGGACCUGUCACUUAUCAGUUGGAGUUACCUUCGGAGUUGGACAAUAUUUAUGAUGUUUUUCACGUCUCGAUAUUGAUGCGCUACUGCUCUGAUCCCACGCAUGUUGUUUCUGUUGAGGAGAUUGAGGUUAGGCCAGACUUGACCUUCGAAGAGGAGCCAGUUCAGAUUCUGGAGCGUGAUGUAAAGGUCCUUUGGAAAAAGUCUCUUCCCUUAGUGAAAGUUCUGUAGCAUAAUCAUAGCACUGAGGAGACUACGUGAGAGCCUGAGGAUGCGAUACGUCAGCAAUAUCCUCAUAUGUUCUUAUCAGGUAAAAUUUAGAGGACGGAAUUUUCUUUUAGGGGGUAGAGUUGUAACGCCCCAAAAUUUUUAAUUUCAUUAUUGUGAAAAUAUGAGAAAAAAAUCUGUCAGCUUUAGUGGUUAUAUGUUCUAGGAGUGUUUGGAUGGUCCCAAGUUCAAGCCUUCGCUUGGGCAAAUUUUGGUAUUUUGAAUGAAUUAGGCCUUACUCUUGUUCAGUAGGUUUUUAUUUGAUUGUUGGGUAAAUUACAUCAGAAUGGGCUUGCUGGUUUGGUGGUUAAAUGGUGUGUUAUUAUGGUAGAGGUCUUGUGUUCGAAUCCCUAUGCAGGCAAGGGUAUUAUUUUUGCUCAGAUUUUGGGAUAGAGUUGUAUAAUAGGGGGAUUCUGAGUAGUGGAUAUGUAGUGGGAAUUAGGGGAGAAGAUUAAGGGAUUUUGAGGGUUAUCGAGAUUUUAUUUUAUUUUAUUUCCCCAUAACCGAAUUUUGACUCUCUUUUUCAAAAAAAAUUAUGCCGUCUAUUCUUCUCCCUCUCCUCUUGCCUAAAUUCUCUAAGUUUUUCCAUCUUUCUCUUCUUUUUCUUCUUCUUGAUUUUUCCCUAAUCCAUUUAUUUUCUUUCGUUUUCGUACGUGGUUAGUGCUCGCUUAGUUUCAGUAAGUGUUUCUCUUUGUUUCUGUCAUGAAUCUUUUAAUGACUGAAGUGGUAAUGUUUUUCUCUACGAUUUGAGCGUAGGGGGAGGCUCGAAUUGGUGAAUUCAGUGUUCUCGUCUUAACAAUAGUUAAACGGAGUGUUAUCAUUGGUGGUAAGUUGGGUUUCUGUUCGUUCUUGGCUGUCAAUUCGCUUGUAAAUCCAUUAAAUUGAUGUUGAGUAUCUUGAUUUUAGGCCUUGAAGUGCUCAGGAGUGAUUAGGUAUCAAAAUGAUACCAGGUGUGUACCCGAAACGCAAAAAUAAGAGAUUCAACAAAAAACCAAAAUUGCUUGCUAUUUGGACAGUAACAGUAGGCUAACUUUGAAAAAUAUCCAUAAAUUGUGGAAAUCGAAUUAUAGGAUGGAAAAAAUAUGAAAUUAAAUCUUAUUGAGUCUAGUUUCUUGUAGAAGAAACGGUGUAAGUAAUGGAAUUGUAAAUCGUGAGUUAUAAUAAACUUUGUGAGACAAGGUCAGAAUGAAUUCGGGUUUCCUUGUUCUGACUUUGGAAAAUUAUCAAAAAUUGGAGAAAAAUAAUUAGGGGUUAAAAUUUACAUGUUUAAAUUAUUAAUGAGUCUAUUUUCAAUAAAAACAAAUGGAAACAUCAUUCAAAUUUUGUACUAAGAGAUAAUUAAUUUUUAGCAAAGAAGGGUCGAAGCUGUCAGACAGCAGAAUAGGGGUAAGUUCGAAGAUUUUACUGUACUUUUUGGCUGAACCAAAAAUUUUAAAAAUUUUAUGGCAGAAAGUUAUUUGAGUCUAUUUAAUUCAAAAUUCUGUAGCUCAAGAUAUAAAUAAUUUAGUAACAGUUAUUGAAGUAAACAGCUUUGAAGGAACAUAUAAGUAAAUAGUGAAAACAUAUAUGAAUAAUUAACUAGCAUGGGUUACAUUAAAAAUGGAUCACGUGGCCAAGGCCAAUCUGGGCCGAGUGGGCCACAUGGACAUGUGAGCCCAUUUUUUUGAGAAGUUCACAAAAAUGGUGGUGCCAAACUGUAUCGCUCCACCAAAAAAGGAUUAUUUUUCUAAAUACCCCAAUUUUUCAGAAAUAGUAAUAUUUCUCUAAUAUUUAUACAGGUGGCGUUAUUCUACAUGACUCCACCAAAAAAAUGAAUAUUUUUUAUUUAGUUUGCUGAUAUGGCAUGUUGUUGGUGCCAAACUCUCCAAACUUAUUUUGGGCCUAAUAUUAUUAUCUAAACAUGCCAAAUUUCUCGGUGAACAUUCAAGUUUGAAUGAAUAAUCCAAUCCUUAAACAAAUCUACUAUUCAUAACUUCUAAUCCUUAAACAAAUUUACAUUCAAACCCAAAAAAUCUAAAUUAUUACGAUAACUAAGGUUCCAACGAGUUUUGUCGAUAUCCUUAAUCCAGUUUAUAUAAUUAAAAAGAUAUAAUGAUUUUUUUGGCUCUCCAACUUUCUAAAAAAGUAAUUUUGACCCUCUAUUUAUAUUUUGUCUUUUAGUCCUUAAACUUGUAAUUUUUUAUCAAAUCACCCCAAAAUGGGUGGAAAAGUUAAUGUUUGGUACCUUUGCUAAUGUGACAUACACGUGGAUAACAUGCCAAUAUUUAAUUAUUUUUUUAAAAUUAAAAACAUAAAAAAUUACAUUUUUAUAUUUUUAACCAUUUAAUUUUAGAAAUAAUUUUUAAAAUUUUAAAAAAUUAAUUUAAUGCUGACAUGUCAUUCACGUGGCAAUCCACGUGUAUGCUACGUUAGCAAAGUUACAAAUGUUACUUUUUCAAUCUAUUUUGAGGUGACUUGAUAAAAAAAUACAAAUUUAGAGGUUAGAAUAAGGGCAUAGCUAGGGGCUGGCAGGGGCCUUAACCCUCUAAAAUGAAAAAUUUUCUACUUAGACUCUUUAAAAUCUUAAAAUUUAUAUUUAAAUUAAUAAAGGUAAAAUUAUCCUUUGGUCCGCUUAAAAAUGAUAAAAUUUUAAUUUAAUCCUUUAAAAAUUAUAAAGAUAUAAACUAUUAAAAUGAUAAAAUUAUAUUUUUAUUAUCGUAAAAAUUAUAAUUUAAUUUUGCCCCAAUAAAAAUUUUCUAGCUUCGUCUCAUAUUAGAAAGGGUGAAAAGUUAAAUAAAAGGAUAAAAAGGAUAAAAUGACUUUUUUUUUUUGGUAAUGUUAAAGGAUGAUUAUGUGAAUUAAAAAAAUAUUACACCGAUGUAAAAAUUUAAUUCUCAAAUAUUCUAAAUUUUAAUUACUAUCUUAUCUAUGAUGUUUCCUACAAAGUUCAAAAUUAUGGGGUAUGGGUCGAUUUAAUUACAAUCUUAUCUAUGAUGUUUCAUACAAAGUUCAAAAUUAUAGGGUAUGGGUCGAUUUCACGUCACAAAUCUUAAGCAAAAAGUUGGCAGCAGUCCCCAUAAUGUAUCCAAGAUUCAAGGGUGAUCCACACAAUAAUCAAAAGUGAAUCAGAGCCACCAAUUCCCAAUCAUAUGAAAUCAGGCCAGACCCUAAAUUCGAUUUCUACCAUUGAUUUAUACUGAAUCACCCGAUAUUACGGACCCUAUGUGUCUUAAACCAACAGAAGGUGGCAUUAUCUGCCGUCCUACCGCCCCUUAAAACCAUCCACCUGUCCCCCUGCCUGCCCCUUGCGUGGACAUCUAAGUAGCCUUACAAACAAAACACUAAAUCCUCUUAUCCUAUGUCUUAAGCCGAAAGGAUCGGACGCGUGAAUGUUCCCUUCUAAACAUGUGCCUCUAUCUCAUUCAGUAUCCUAUUUUUUAGUCCCUCACUCUAAAAACACGCGUUCACAACACCUAUUUAAUCUAACCGUCCAUUCUCACGUGAGUCCAGCAAUCGUAGGUGUUGCCUCCUGGAUCGCCCCUCCUCUCGCCAUGUAACGAAAAGGACACAUGUCGAGAAGCUAAUAAAUUACAAAAUUUCAACAUAAACCAUGAAAUAUUUUGUUCUAAGUUUCUAAAAACUCAAAAAUUAGAAGGAAAAGACUUAAAUUAACUUACCAAAUGAGCUUGGAACCUCAAAACCUAAAUUUUCCCUUUUUCUUUCUUUCUUUCCUUCUUUCCUUUUCUGUUUCGUUUGCCUAUUCUGUUUCUAUUUCUCUUUUUCUAUCUUUUAUUUCUUUUAUUUAAUUAGUUUAAUAUAAUAACAAUAAAAUAAUAAUAUAAUAUUAUUUACUUAAAUAAUAAGUAAAUAUUUAAUAAUUACUAAUAAAUGUAUUUCAUUUUUCCACAUGUCAUCAUAUGUAUCAUACAUUUGUCAACUUUUUUCUUUAUUUAAAAUAAAAUAAAAUAAUAUAAUAUAUAAAUAUCUUUUACUUAAUUAAUAAGUAUGUAUAUAUAUUAAUUACAAAUGUAUACAUAUAUUUAUUACACAUGUAUUUAUAAUUAUCACACACUUGUCACUUUUUAUGGUUUAAAUAUUAGUUUAGUCCUUUCAUCUUUCUCUAUUCUAUAAUUAACUUUCACACUUAAUUCAAUUUUAGUCCUAAUACUCAAUUAACUUUAAUUCAACUAAAUUCACUUAACUAAAAUUCGAUUGAUCAUGUAACUAACUCUAUAAAUAUUUUAAAUAAUUAUUUACGAGUCUAUUCUACUAAAAUAGAGACUAGAUAAUUCACUUUUCAAUGCCUACAUUUUUUAAGUCAUUAUAUGGAUGUCCCCUUCUCUUGCCACAUAGCGAAAAUGACACGUGUCGAGAAACUAACGGGUUUUUAGAAUUAAUCCUUUUAAAUUUCGUUUCUAUAAAUACUUCAUCUCACAACGCGUUCAACCCUCAGCACACAUUCAAAGCCGGAAACAUCCCCAACUGAAUAAAUUUACGCAAAACAAAAAGGAAAGAAAAGGGUGUAAGAUUCAUUUCCUUUUUUCUUCUCAUCUCUGACAGGUAAUCGGAAAAGGCAAACAGUUCGAAUAAAUAGAAAAUGGCGUUGAAUUUGGCGCAUCAGAUUGGUUCUCUAGCCGGGACACAAAUUGCAGCUGAAGUCACCACCGGAGAACAAUCAUCCUCAGCGACGGCUGAUGUGUCGGGAUUUCGGAAAGUUCCAUUGGCAAAUCUCCGAUGCAACGCCCCAGGAGAAGCUCUGUCCCCUCCAAUGUUAACUCCACCGUUGACGCCGCGAAGCGCGGCAAACAGGUCGGCUAUGAUGAGUCUGUCGCUGCGUCCGGAUCUGUCCGCCGUUUGCCAGGCUUUCGGGACGUUAUCACCGCUGGAGACGGCUGAGGAGUCAUCGGCGUCGGUGGCGUGGAAGGAGGGAGGGAAGAAAGAGGAGAAGAAAGGGGUUCCGGUUUACGUGAUGAUGCCGUUGGAUAGCGUGACGAACGGGAAUACGGUGAAUAGAAAGAAGGCGAUGAAUGCGAGUCUCCACGCGCUGAAAAGCGCGGGAGUGGAGGGGAUAAUGAUUGACGUUUGGUGGGGUCUGGUGGAGAGGGAAGCGCCGGGUGCUUACAAUUGGGGUGGCUACGCGGAGCUUCUCGAGAUGGCUAAGAAGCAUGGCCUUAAAGUCCAGGCUGUCAUGUCAUUCCAUCAGUGUGGGGGCAACGUCGGUGACUCUUGCACGUUCGUAUCUCCUCCUUACCUCUCUUUACUGUUUAACUUUUAAAAUUUAAACCCUUCUUUUUCUUCAAGAUCCCGUUACUCAGCUUAUGUAAAUUUUAUUUAAAAAAAUAGUAAUUUUAAAUUAAUUUUUGUGGGGAUGGGAUCCCUUUUUGAAAAUCAAGAAGAAAGAAAGUUUACACGUUUGAUUAAUUAUUGAUUACAAGUCAAUCAUUUGCUUAUUUUUGAAUUUGAAAGAGACGAUCAGAUGAACCAACGUUUUUAAAAAAAAAAUUUAGAUGAAGGGAUAACGUAAGCUUUCAUUGCAUCUUUUUACAAAAGUUGGGUAAAAAGGGGACCGAAAGAAAUUAAAUUUGAAGAUAGAUAUNNNNNNNNNNNNNNNNNNNNNNNNNNNNNNNNNNNNNNNNNNNNNNNNNNNNNNNNNNNNNNNNNNNNNNNNNNNNNNNNNNNNNNNNNNNNNNNNNNNNGAACCUAUUUUAGAAGUUCAUGAAUCAGAACAAUUUUUUUUGACGGAGGGUACGGUGGUAGCUUUCAUUUCUCUCCAUCUCUCCAGGCAGGGAAUAUGGGGUUUGUAUGGAAAUUUUCAUAAGCCCCCAUACGGUGGUCCAAAUCCUGUAUUUUUUAUCUAAAUCUUUAUUGAAUCAAAUACUGGGAUGUAUUGAUUUGAUGUUAUGGAGCUACUCUUUUAAAAAGAAAAAUAUGGUUGUUUUUGUACAGUAUUCCUUUGCCCAAGUGGGUUACAGGGGAGAUCGAGAAGGACCCAGACCUCGCAUACACUGAUCAAUGGGGAAGAAGGAACUACGAAUACCUUUCACUUGGUUGCGAUACCCUUCCUGUCUUGAAAGGCCGUACGCCUGUUCAGUGUUAUGCUGAUUUCAUGCGUGCCUUUAGGGACAAUUUCAAACACCUCCUUGGUGAUACCAUUGUGGUAAUUCUUCUAAUUUACUAAUAAUUGUUGAUCCCAUUUUGUCUCAUCCUCUUUGAAGAAUUCAACUGCUAAGGAAUUACCAUUAUUUUUCACUACAGGAAAUCCAAGUCGGAAUGGGUCCGGCAGGUGAGCUUCGGUACCCUUCGUACCCGGAGGCGAAUGGGACAUGGAAGUUCCCUGGAAUUGGAGCCUUCCAAUGUUAUGAUAAGGUACCCUGACAUUGCACUGCUCUCUCUUGUUUCUAUUUCAGAUUAGGUUCUGUUUUGGUGUUAAUAAUACGGAUGUUAUUUGAUGCAGUAUAUGCUUAGCAGCCUAAAAGCAGCGGCUGAAGCGGCGGGUAAGCCAGAAUGGGGUAGCACUGGCCCAACUGAUGCUGGUCACUACAACAAUUGGCCAGAAGAUACGCCUUUUUUCAAGAAAGAAGGUGGUGGUUGGAAUACUCCAUAUGGUGAAUUCUUCCUUACCUGGUACUCUCAGAUGCUGUUAGAACAUGGGGCGAGAAUUCUAUCGUCCGCAACAUCGAUUUUUGACGGUGCAGGUGUGAAGAUCUCUGUGAAAGUUGCGGGAAUCCACUGGCAUUAUGGAACCCGAUCCCAUGCUCCUGAACUCACAGCUGGGUACUAUAACACAAGGUUCCGAGAUGGUUACCUCCCGAUCGCUCAAAUGCUAGCACGUCAUGGUGCCAUUUUCAACUUCACUUGCAUAGAGAUGCGGGAUCAUGAGCAGCCCCAAGAUGCCUUGUGUGCACCUGAGAAGCUAGUGAAGCAAGUUGCUUUAGCAACAGGAGCAGCACAAGUUCCACUUGCCGGGGAGAAUGCACUUCCCCGUUAUGAUGAAUACGCCCACGAGCAGAUCUUACGAGCUUCAUCGUUGAAUGUCGAUGGCUCAGCAGUUGAUAGAGAGAUGUGUGCAUUUACGUACUUGAGGAUGAACCCAUCGCUCUUUCAUCCGGACAAUUGGAGAC
This 95149-nucleotide long non-coding RNA is filed under the name Gossypium raimondii (Peruvian cotton). Its description in RNAcentral is "long non-coding RNA (GRAI_LNC009391)". The record is from RNAcentral. Lineage: Eukaryota; Viridiplantae; Streptophyta; Magnoliopsida; Malvales; Malvaceae.